CACAGGCAAACAAUGCUGCUCAACCAGCACCUCAACUUUACUGGAACUCCGUCCUGCCAAACACACAGAUGCCAAGAUCUAUCAGUGAACUUCUGCAUCCUGGUUUGUGUUGAGCUCUUUAGAAUCUUAGAUAUCUCUUCUACCUGCCAUUUUACUUAAAUAUGUUCGACCACAUAUUUAUCAGUUAACUACUGUCAUUACAUGAGUGACACAUAUUCACAAAUCGGCUGAUCACUUAUUUUCCAUUAUGACGUUGAUAUAUAAUUUGCAGACUCCACAAAUGAAGAAAAGAGCACAAAUGACGUUGGCAAACCUGAAACUUUCCCAUUGGGCAAUCAAAAUUACUCCAGUCAAAAAAAUUAUGGAACAGGCAAUAAACGUUACUGCAGUCAAAAAAGGUAUGGAAGAGGCAAGAAACGUUACUGCGAUCAAAAAAAGUAUGGAAGAGGUGCUUCUCCAUCUGACAAUCAACUACUCCAUUAUAAAGACUUAGCUAUUUUCUUCUUGGAGAAGGACAUGCGCCCUGGCACAACAAUGAAGUUCCAAUUCUCUAGAAAUUCAAACACGGCUACUUUCUUGCCACGAGAAAGCGCUCAAUCGAUCCCCUUCUCCUCUAACAAACUACCAGAAAUUUUCAACCAUUUUUCAGUGAAGCCAACAUCUGAGGAAGCCAAAACAAUUAAGCAAACAAUCGAAGAGUGUGAAGCUCCCGGCCUUAAGGGAGAGGAAAUAUAUUGCGCCACAUCUUUAGAAUCAAUGGUUGAUUUUAGCACUUCGAAGCUUGGAACAAGAAACGUUGAAGCAAUCUCGACGGAGGUAUUGGAAAAAGGAGCCACCAUGUCCAUGCACAACUAUACAACAAUGCCGGGACUGAAGAAGUUGGCCAGUGACAAAGUCGUUGUGUGUCAUAAGCAGAACUAUCCCUAUGCUGUGUUUUUCUGCCAUGCAAUAAAACAUACAGCAGCUUAUGUUCUCUUCCUGAAAGGCGAUGAUGGGGAGAAGGUUAAAGCAGUAACCAUCUGUCAUCUAGACACAUCAGAAUGGAACCCAGAGCAUAUGUCCUUCCAAAUCGUCAACGUUAAGCCCGGAACCAUUCCCAUCUGCCAUUUCAUUUCCACUGAUGCUAUUGCCUGGGUUCCGAACCACAAAUCUGCAUGAUCAUCACUUAGCACUGUACGUAUAAUUAUCUCCUUACUUAUUUCUGCCUCUUCAUCAUGUGGUGUAAGAUAUAUGAUGAGAUGAAGUUUUUGGGAUUAGUGGUUGGGUUGCCUGAAAAACACAGAUUACAGAAACUGCUUGAAAUUAACCCGAUCAUGUUUUCUCUUGUAACUAUAUAGACUUCAACUUGUACUCAUAAUAAAGCAUGCUAUAUUUAUGAAGAGAUAUUAAUCUAUAUAUAUUUUUUAUAUAUGCUUUGGCUUUGUGGUUCUACCCAAUGUUUGAGUGUUGAAUUGUUACGUUGGAAUAGGCUGCUAAUGCAUGUAGUUAGAGAAGCCUUCAUUUAUAUCAAAGUCCUCAAACUAUCAAGAACUAAUGUAUCCAGAAACAUAUACCAAGACGCAAAACAACAUAUUUUCCAUGCUCUGUCUGUAACACCAAAGCAAACUUCCUUGAUCACAAAAGGAUCAAAUUCCAGUACUAAUCUAAUCCAUCAUGUAAAGCAUACAAGUGCCUCCCUAAAUACUAUACUCUUUUUGUUAUUUCCUACUAUACUAUUUAAGAUUUAAAAUUCAGGUCAACCCAUAGAUUUCUCGCCUUUUUCUUCUUCAUCUCGUCGGGCUUGUCUUCUUCUUGAGGAUUGUAUAGGCCAAGGAAAUGCUUUGAGUUAGUUUUUGCGCUUUUGCGUUUUGGGCCUUGGAAGUUGGGACCCAAACCAACUUCACAAAAAGAAAACGCUCAGACUAUAAUGAGUGGAAAGUUAUAAGGGGUAAGUUAUAAGGAGUUCACUUUAUAGCCAUCAGAUCAAUCUAAGGGCUGGGGAGAAUUGAGAUAAAGUUUUAAAAUCGGGUAGGUGAGGAACCCAAACCCGAAUUGAAUAUCCAGCACGUCCGAAAAAGAAGAAGAAGAGGCAAGCACGUCCGAAAAAGAAGAAGAAGAGGCAAGGUCGAAGUUUGAACAGAAAAAACUCAUCUCUUUAAAACCCAUAGCUCUGAGAAACGGUUGAAGGCAACGGUUAACGACGGUUGUUGAAGCCACUCCGUUCUCCAGACCCUGAAAAAGUAUUUAUUUUGAGUAGAAGGGGCAAAUGUGUGGAUUCCGAAACAGUGAAGGGGCGAAGCAGUGGAAGGGGAAGGAGAGAAGCCGUAUUCGUUGGAAGUGGUAGGUUCCAUUUGUGGAGCAAAGCAACACAAAGACCCCGCACAGACACCUUGCGAUUGUUCAAUAACCAGCAUUUGGUGAGUAAUUUAUGGAAUUUGAGUUUAGGGUUAGAGUAAUGGUUUUCCCCAAUUUGUACCAUCAAUUUUGUUGGAUUUGGCAUCUCUUCUUUGUGCUUCAGUUGCAUGUUAAUUUUUGCUUGGGUAUAUGUUAAAAAAAGAAUGAAAAUCAAGUCAAUAACAAGUGAAUAACAUGUCAAUAAUGAUAUGAAUAAGAUAAUGGUGUUGAAUUGGAGGAGGCCCUCAAAACAUUCCACAUUUGAAGCAGUGCAUAGUGCAGAUUAUCUCUCUGGCGCUAGAAUAUAUAUAUAUUUUGAAAUAAAUAUGAUUUCCUUUGUUACUAAAUUUGCCUGAGAAACAUGAGAACAGAUAAUAAUAAACUCAUGAAUAGAAGUGCAAAGCAUUUGAUGAGUAAUUUAUGGAAUUUGAGUUUAGGCCCAGGAAAUUCCUUGACCCCAAAAAAAAAAAAAAAGUUGAUUUAAAAUUCAGGUCAACCCAUAGAUUUCUCGCCUUUUUCUUCUUCAUCUCGUCGGGCUUGUCUUCUUCUUGAGGAUUGUAUAGGCCCAGGAAAUGCUUUGAGUUAAUUUUUGCAUUUUUGCGUUUUGGGCCUUGGAAGUUGGGACCCAACCCAACUUCACAAAAAGAAAACAGAUUUGCCAAAAAUCAAAUUUCAAGUCUCUCCUCCGAUCGAAAUUUGGAUUUGAUGAACUAAAGUGGUUUUACUUUCUCCAUCAGUGUUUGAUAACUUAAUUUGUUAUUUACUUUUUUUUUAAAAAACUUUGGCUUAUAUAUAUUAGUUUUCUUUUUUCCUUCAUAUUCACCACCUUUAUGUUGCAUAAGUAUUUCAGUCUUAAUGGGUUUCCAUCUACCACUCAUCUUUGCUCUUCUCAGUGUAAGCCUUUUUUUUUUUUUAAAGCACAAGAUUAGAGGGGAGGGGGAUUUCUCAAUGUAAGCUUUGCAGUUUCAUAAUUAAUAUUUCCAAUAUCUCACUGUUAGUAAAAUACAGAAAAAGUACUAAUAACAUAUGCACAUGUUACUAAUUUAUUGAGAUAAAACACCAUUUUGCCCCUAGAAUAUUUUAUUAGGUUUAAAGUUGACUUUUUGACCAGGAAGGAAUUUGGGUAUUUAGACUAUAUCGUUGCGUAGAGCAUGGCGAGAUGAGUCCGUAGACACAUGAUUGGCUCGAAUCAGAGUUAUAAUGAGAGAGAUACGAUCAAAAUACCCUCAGUGGUAUAACCGUAAUUUUGGCUUAAAGGGUUUGAUAAAAUAUAAUUUUUCUUUCUUUCUUUCUCUCUCUCUCUCUCUCUCUCUCUCUCUCCUCUCUCUCACGACGGCAGUGAUAGCCGGCCACUUUUUGGCCAGCCAUGCUCUCGUCCGGCCACUAAAGUUGACGGGGCCGGUACCAAAAUGACCGGGCCACCAUCCUUUUCCAACCCCAGCCAGGCCCCACUGCCAGCAGUCGUGAUUUUGCUGAAAAAUGGAGAAGAAGCGGCCGAUUUCGUUCGAACUUCUCCGACUUCGUUCUCUCUCCUCCGGCCACCGAUUUCGAUGAAUGAGGUAUGGUUUCUCACCUACUUUUUAUGCUCUAGCUGCCUGUUGGGUAGGAUUCGAUCAAUUCCUUGCGUAGGUAGCUUGAUUUUCGAAUUGGAUUUCGGCCGGUUUUGGGAUCUCGAUUCCGGCCACUUCCGGUCAGUUUUUGGGGUACAUCCCAAAACAAAAGUGGUUCUAAAUAGGGUGUUAUACCUAGGGUAGGAACCUUGAACCGUAAUUUUGAGAAUUUUCGGUGAUGCCUAAUCGCUUUGGACACCUACGCUAUGCCUGCGUGUGGGCACUAUAGAAAAAGGGCAUUGUGUCCCGAUGCAAUCCCCUUGUUGUCUUGAGCGCGUAGGUGUGCUCGGAUUUCAAUUUGGAUACCGUUUGAAUCUCGAACGAAUAUCGCAUAUUGUGCGUUAUUCGGGGUCGAUAGGUUUGAACUGUUGGAUAGUCUUAGAUUUAUAAUAUGUUAAUCUAGACAUUCUUAGGAUCGAAUGGGAUUAAACGGAUCGUAAAACGGAGUCCCGGAUACUCCAAAAAUGCCAACCCUAGGGCUAGGUUCCUAGUAACCGUCCGAUCGUGCGAUCGUGAGCGAUCCGACCGUUUGAUCCGAACCAAACUUGCAGGACGUGUAUCCUAAACCUUGUAGAACCCAUAGGAACUUUCGGAUUAGAAUUUGGAGGUCGUGGGCCCCUUGGGCCGUUUGACUAAGUUUGGGUAGUUUGACCCUUGGCUGAUCGUGAGUCUUCAGAGGUCUUGAGCGUUGUUGAGCUAUGUUGACUAGGUUUAGACUUUUAGAGUGUUUAUUAUUAUCAUAGGAAACUAUUAGAUAUUAUUUUAAUAAUUGAAAUUAUCAAAUUUAUGUUUAUGUGCAUGAUUGUUGGUCUAAAAAUAACAUUGUUUUCUUGAUAAAAUUACGUUGCAGUCUACUAUAGACUGGUAUCACUAAAUGGAGAUUACCUCUAUUAUUAGUUUAGAUAAUUAAGAGUAUGUCAGUUUGAAGUGCUAUAUGCACUACCCUAAGUACCACCCUGUGAUUGUUAGGUCCCAUGUGGUGUAGAUUAUACAGCGUCAGGACAGACCCCAUACGUGGCUUUGGAUGUUCUGGCGCAUGGGGGAGAUUAUGUAAUGGUUAGGUCAUACGUGGCGUAGGUUAUUCAGCGUGUUGACAGACCCUAUACGUGGCGUUGGAUGUUCCAGUAUGGAAAGAUUUUGUGAUUGUUAGGUCCCACGUGGCGUAGAUUAUCCGGCGUGAGGACAAACCCCAUUCGUGGCUUUGGAUGUUCCUGCGUAUGGGGGAGAUUAUGUGAUGGUUAGGUCACACGUGGCGUAGGUUAUUCGGCGUGUUGGCUAACCCCAUAAGUGCCGUUGGAUGUAACGACCGGUCCUAAAUAAAUUAGUGAAUAUUAAUUUAUUCAGAGAAAAUACCAUUUUGCCCAUAGAGUAUUUUAUUAGGUUCAAAGUUGACUUUUUGAUCAGAAAGGAAUUUGAGAAUUUCGAUUAUACCGUUGCAUAGAGCACGGCGAGAUGAGUCCGUAGACACGUGGUAUGCUCGAAUCGAAGUUGUAACGAGAGAGAUACGAUCAAAAUACCCUCAGUGGCAUAACCGUAAUUUUGGCAAAAAGGGUCGAUAAAAUCAUAUAUAUAUAUUUUCUCUCUCUCUCUCUCUCUCUCUCUCUCUCUCUCUGCGAUAUUGUCCCUCUCUCUCUUUGAUUCACUGCCAUCUGCCCACGGCAGGACUUGAGACUGGUCACGUUUGAACCGGCUCGAUGUCCCGAUCACGUCGCACCCAAAAUGCAAAUGGAAACCUUGAAUUCCAGCCACGGCUUCGACUGGUUUGAACUGGGUUUUUCCCGGCGUUGCGCCACCGCCUCCGCCGCCCAAUUCCGGUGAAACAGGUAUAAUUCCUCACCUAUUUUUCGAGAUCCAGCUGUUGUUGUGUAGGAAUUAGACGAUUUUCAUGUUUAGGAACUCGAUUUAGAAUUUAGGUUUUGGUCGAAUUUUCAAAGUGAAAUUUCGGCCACUUCCGCUGGUUUUUCGGGGUAUGUCUAAGAACAAAAGUGGUUCCAAAUAGGGUGUUAUACCUAGGGUAGGAACCUUGAGCUGUGAUUUUGAGAAUUUCCGGCGAUGCGUAUUCGCUUUGGACACCCACGCGCCGACAGCGCGUGGGCACUGUAGAAAAGGGGCAUUGUGUCUCAAUGCGAUCUGCUUGUUGUCUUGAGCUCGUAGGUAUGCUCGAAUUUCAAUUUGGAUACUGUUUGAGUCUCGAACGGAUAUCGCAUAGUGUACGUUAUCCGGGUUUGAUAGGUUUGAACCAUUGGAUAGUUUUGAAUUUGAUAUAUGUUAAUCUAGGCAUUUCUAGGAUCAUGUAGGAAUUCAGGGAUCAUGAAUCAGAGCCCCGGAUGUUCCGAUUUAAUAACUUAAAGUUUAUGUUUAUAAUAACUAUCAGAUCGUGCGAUCGUGAGCGAUCCGACUGUCUGAUCUGGACCAAACUUGCAGCACGUAUAUCCUAAACCUUGUGGAACAUAAAAAAAUUUCGGAUUAGAAUUUGGAGGUCGUGGGCCCCGUGGGCCCAUUUAACCAAUUAUGGGUAGUUUGAUCCUUGGUUGACCGUGAGUCUUCCGAGAUAGUUUUACCUUCCUAGGAGGAUUAUAAUGACCCUAGUGAUAGGUCUUGACCGUUGUUCAGCUAUGUUGACUAGGUUGAGACUUCUAGAGUGUUUAUUAUAUUAUUGUAGGAAACUCUUAGAUAUUAUUUUAAUAAUUGAAAUUAUGAAAUUUAUGUUUAUGUGCAUGAUCGUUGGUCUAAAAAUAAUAUUAUUUUCCUGAUAAAAUUACGUUGCAGUCUACUAUAGACUAGUAUCACUAAAGUGGGAAUACCUCUAUUAUUAGUUGAGAUAAUUGGGAGUAUGUCAGUUUGAAAUGUUAUACCCUAAGUACUACUCUAUGAUUGUCAGGUCACCCGUGGCGUAGGAUUUUCCGGUGAGAUGACAGACCCCAUACGUGGCGUUGGAAUUUCCAACGUAUGGAGAGAUUAUAUGAUUGUUAGGUUUCACGUGGCGUAGGAUUUUUCAGCGGGAUGACAAACCCCAUACGUGGCAUUGGAAGUUUCAGCGUAUGGGGAGAUGAUAUGAUUGUUAAGUCACACGUGGCGUAGGUUAUUUGGAGUGCUGACAGACCCCAUACGUGGCGUUGAAAUUUCUGGCGUAUGGAGAGAUGAUAUGAUUGUUAGGUCACUUUGGAUGUUCUAGCGUAUUGGGAGAUUAUGUGAUUACCAGUGAGAUGAAUAAAGGAUUGUUAUGUUAUAUUGGGAAAAACAUGUUUGUAGAAAGAAUUACGUGUGGCUUGAUCCCUCAGUAAGGGUACGUAGGCAGCCUAGGGUAGUGCCUUGGUGCAGUCGCUGACUAAACAUUAUAAUGUUGUUUUUAGGUUUGAUUAUAUGGUAUUAUGGGGCAAGGCCCCUAGGACUAUUGGUGAUAAUUCAUAGAUGGUAGUGGAUGCAUGCUAGAAAUUUGUAGGAAGUUAUUUCAUGUGGAUUGCAGUGGUACUCGUAAAAUUUAUUUGAGUUCCUUAAUUGCAUUGUUAAUAUAUUAAUUUACUUAAGAGUACUGCUAGUAGUUCUGCCUUGAUUUAUUUGAAGGCUGGAGGCCUUGUCUGGAAACUGUGUGCAAUUAGAUUGUGUGUGCUGGCAGUUGACUUUUUAAAUUGUGAAUUUUGUGCAGGUUGAAAUUUGGGAAAUGUUCAAUUUACAGGGGAGACUCUGCUGAAAUUUCGGUAGAAAGUCUUGUGCCCUUAUUCCUUUUUGGGGAAAAGGAUAUAGUUUUAGAAGUGGCGAUGUCGGGAAUUUCCACAGGAUUCGUCUCGGGUUUCGGGAAAUUCGGGGCGGGUCUGAAAAAGUUGUUUCAGUUUUGGCAAGUAUCGGAAAAGACCAAAAUUUUCCGACUUUAUUAUUACUAGAAACAAGGUCGAAGUAUUUACCAAUCAUGUGGCCUUCCAAGUGCUCUAGGUUAAGCCAGGAACCGUUCCUAUCUGCCGUUUCCUUCCCAACUAUGAUCAUGUUGUCUGGGUUCCAACCCACAAAUCUACAUUGGGCUACGUAUUUGAAUUUGUACUAAAGCGUGAUCUAUAGUAUGCAUAUAUUGGAUAAGUUUGAGAUCAGUGGCUUGGGUGUCCGCUGAGCUUGAACAAGUUUGGGUGUGCUGAGUGUUUCCAUGGGUGUGUUGAUGAUCAUGGUUAUUAGAUUUGUGAUAGUUUGGGCUCAAUUUCAACAGAACUCAUCUCAAGCCUAGAUAGUUGAUUCUUAAGUUUAUCAGGAAAAAAAAUUAAAAAUUAAAAAAUCUAAAGUUAAGCCCAAGGCGCCGAACUUGGACUUCUCACCAAACUGUGCAUAAAUUGAAAUAUUUAAUAGAAGCCCAAGAUUUUUGAAGCACAUAAUAUCUACAAAAAUCUACAAAGUGUAAUACUUUACAAACUUCUUAUGUGUACCAAUUUCUGCUCAAAUUAAUUUCUCUGUGGUGCUGAGAUUCAUCAUAAUUUUAGUAGAAAUUGGAAGUUUUCAUCAUUUUUGCUUUAAGUCUCUCCUCCACUCACUAAUAAAGAUUACUCAAGUGAGUUUACAAAACAUUUUUUUUCUACUCUCUCCUGAAGACUACACAUCUUCUCAAAAGAUUAGAUCACUUCACAUCUUGUAUAUGUGAAAACUAAUGCAAAAAGUUGAAACUUUAUCAUAAAACCUCGACAAAAAUUAGCUCUACUUAGAACAUUAAAUUUGGAUUCGUUGAUUUAAAUGGCAAUUUGACACUUCAUAGAAAUUUUUACAUACAUGUGUUAGUGUUUGAUCACUUCACUUAUUACUUACUAUAUUUAUUCCAUGAUUCUCCCUCAAGUUAUGUAAAUAUUAUUAUCAAACAUUUCAAUUCAUUUGUGAUAUUUCUUGUCCAUCUUUCAAUGUACCCUGAAAUCCAUUAGCCACAUAUGAUGACCAAAAUCCACACUCUGUUGUUUGCAAACGUUCAAUAUACGACUUGCAUCCACAGUCCUGACCCAAAUGAAAUGCGGAAACUGUCAAGCUAACUGUAGGGAGGACUAUAUUUGAUUUUACCUUAAAGACUGAUCCGAAACCACCUUCUCCAAGUUUAUUGUUGUUUGAAUAGUUUUUGGUUGCACAAACAACAGCGGCCAAGUCAAAUAAUGGCAAUUCCAGAUCUUCCUUUUGGCCGGGCUUCAGUUCUCCUGUGAAGUACGUAGUGAAGUAAAUAAUGUAGCAUGGAACCUUAGCUUAGAAACCAGAGAGGCAACAGCAAAAAUUUUCUAUAGAACUGAACCUACCUAUCUUAGAAAAUGAAGGGGCAGAAGAGUAGAAAAUCAAAUAGCUUACCAUAUUUUUGUUGCUGGUUCUUCCUCACAUAUAAUAGCAGGGUAAGGCCCAGGGUCAGCAGUCCAGUAGACAACACAGUACUGGUUACUAUGAUCUUUGUAUUGUGUCCUUGAUCUAGGAAUGAAGUAUUUGAAAGCAGAAGAUUGAGGAGUCAGAAAUUCAUAAAGAAAAAAUCUCUACUUUUUAUCAUCCAACGAACAAUUAAUGCUAGUUUCUGAGACAGUUCUAAAGAAAUAUUUUUCUAACAAUGUCAAAAGUUUUCUGGCUCUAUCUUGUUUCUAAUCAUGUCACUGUUGGAAGAUUUCUUUCUUCUUUUUUCCUUGGUGGCUUUUAUUUUUCUUUCAAACUUUGUUUUAAACAGCAAGAUGAUUCCAUACCUAGUUCUGACGAAGCCAUUCUUAUGUAAAUAUCUUGCCCAUUUAUAUUGGAAUAUCUUAUAUCAACCAGAUCGCUGAACCACAGCAAGGACCCCCUUCCUCCAUCUCGGAUAUCCAAAUUUGAAAAAGCGGCGCAGGAGCAGUUGUUCAUGCACAUCAUCUCACAUUCCUUGAGGUUCAUAAUUGUGUUAUACUAGGAUUGUUCUGUACUUUAUUUCACCCCAGUGUACUUCUUAAAGAUGUCUCCACUGCAAUUCAGUUGGCUCUUUCUCACAGAUCUAUAUGACCAAUCCACCAAGUCCCAGUCUUGUUGAAAGUCGGUAUAAAUCCUUUCAAGCAGCUACGUACUGGGGACUUGUCAAUACAACAUGCACCAUUCGGACCACAUAUUCCAUAUUUGUCGCAGAUAUCAGUCGUUGCUCUUAGAUAAACAACCCAACCUUGGUUUCCAUCACUCCCGAUGUAGCUCAGCCCAAAUCCAUCUUGAGUUAACGCCAGCCUGAAAAGAGUUGAGCUGUUGAGAAGCUUAUAACCAUAAUAUACUUCAUCAUCAUUAUCCAACACAAAAUCAUAUGUUGGAUUUAAAUUAUGCAUCCCACUAAAUUGGAUUCCAUUCCAUGGUGCAGUCCGAUAUUUUAUAACAGAACCCUCCCUCAGAAUUAAUUCAUGGUACCCAUAAGGACCAAGUUGAUAUGGGUAAUGUCCUUGAGAAGGAUCCUGGGGGCUUUUCCAGGGUGUAAGAUGCCAAUUAAAACCUGUGAUUUUGUUCCUAACAAGCUUCAUACCUGGUAUUAAUGUAUCUCCUGGGUAAUCAAAACUCUGCCAUAAAAUAUUAUCAGAGUCAUUACGACCAUUGCCAUCUAUCACAACAAGAUUUCCGGAAUCCAAAAUCUGUGCCACUGGAUUCUAUGAAGAACUUGAUGUGUUGGAAGACCUGUAGUGUUCUUUGUUGAAUAUUUGGAUUGCAAAGGGAGCAAGAAAUGUACUGAGAGAGAAAGAGAGAGAGAGAGAGAGAGAGAGAGAGAGAGAGAGAGCAGUGAGCCUUAGAUUGUUCUAACAGUUUUCUUACUCUGCAUGAACAUAGCAGCAGAGCUUAUAUUCCUUCAUGACUGUUACAUGUUCUCUCUUACAUCAGUAGAUUCAAAUCUAACGGUUUGUAAUAGUAAGCCAAUGUGAGUAUGACACAUGGCAAUACACAGCUGUCCUAACAGCUGGGAAUUCAAAACAGACUCUAGCAUUGCACCUGGCAUAUAAGCACAAGGCACUCAGCUAACACAAAGAUUAAAAACAGAUUGAAUAUAAACUGACAUAGAACUUACUAACUAAUCUGAAAUUAGCUAGACAGUUUACAUUUUAACACUCCCUUCUAAAGUGCUAGCUGAUUUCACUCCAAGCAUUCUCCUCAAAUAGUCAAACCUGUCUUUGGGAAGAGCUUUGGUGAAGAUAUCAGCAAUCUGCUCUUCUCCUUUGCAGUAGAGCAGUUCAAUCACUUCUUCUUGUAUUGCAUCUCUAAUAAAAUGAAACUUCCUUUUAAUAUGCUUGCUCCGUUGAUGAAAAACAGGAUUUUUAGCCAUUGCUAUGGCUGAAGUGUUGUCACAAAACACAGUUGUUGCAGUGGUCUGUUCUUCCCCAAAAUCUUCAAGAACAAACCUGAGCCAAAUGGCUUGUGAUGUAGCUUCUGCUGCACUCACAUACUCUGCCUCUGCAGUAGAGAGAGCCACACUGUGUUGUUUGACUGAUGCCCAUGAAAAAGCACCACUUCCAAAUGAAAAUGCAUAUCCAGAAGUGCUUUUCAUAUCUUCCUCAGAUCCACUCCAGUCACUGUCACAGUAACCAACUAAGAGUGCAGAUUUUCCUGUCACAUACUCAAUUCCAUAGUCAAUUGUGCCUUGUAUGUACCUUAGAACCCUUUUAGCUGCCCCAUAGUGCAUCUUAGAAGGGUUAUGCAUGAAUCUUGCAAGCAGGCAGGCAGAGAACAUGAUAUCUGGCCUGGUUGCAGUAAGGUACAGCAGGCUGCCUACAAUUUUUCUGAACAAACUUUCAUCUGCAGCAUCACUUCCAUCCUCUCUUUUCAAUUUAUCAGUAGCCACUAAUGGAGUGCUUACUGACUUGCAGUCUUUGAGUCCAAACUUAUCCAAGAGAGUGAGAGCAUACUUCUUUUGAUGAAUGAAGAUGCUCCCUUCAGUUUGUGUUACUCCCAUACCAAGAAAAUGGUGGAGUAAACCCAAAUCAGACAUCUCAUACUUGCACAUCAUUUCAGCUUUGAAUUCUUUCAUCAUUUCAUCUCUACUUCCUGUGUACACUACGUCAUCUACAUAGAUUGACACUAUUAGUGUUCCCACCUUCCUUUGUUCUCACAUAGAGAGUGGCUUCACUUGGACUUCUGUGAAAACCACACUGAUUCGAGUAGGUGUCAAUUUCACUAUACCAGGCCCUUGGAGCCUGCUUCAACCCAUAGAGGGCUUUUCUUAACCUAUACACCUUAUCCUCAUCAUCUUUAACCACAAAACCAUCCGGUUGAUCAAUAUAAACUUCUUCUUCAAGGACACCAUUUAGGAAGGCUGACUUGACAUCCAAUUGCCAUAGUUUCCAGCCUUUCUGAGCAGCAAGAGCUAUGAGAGUUCUAAUGGUGUCUAACCUUGCUACAGGAGCAAAGGUUUCAUUGAAAUCAAUCCCUGGUUUUUGUGUGUAUCCCUUGGCAACAAGUCUUGCUUUAUGUUUUUGAAUGGAGCCAUCAAGAUUAAGCUUAAUUUUGAAUAUCCACUUCACUCCCACAAUUGGUUUACUACUUGGCCUGUCAACCAAUUCCCAACUGGAGUUUUUCUCUAUCAUAAGUAUCUCCUCAGUCAUAGCCUUCCCCCAAGCUUCAUCUUUGACUGCUUCUUCAAAAUUUUCAGGUUCAAUGAUGCUCAUCUUGCAUUGAGCAUACACUUCACUCAAACUCUUCCAUUUCUUUGGGGUGUUAUCAUAAGUUUCUAAUGGAGCAGAGUCUUGAGUAGCAUGCACAUCAUUACUUGUUUGUGUUUCCAUAGGAGACUGUACAAUCUGUUGCUGUAACAGAUUUGGUUAUGAAUCCAAAUCUGAUACAAUUGAACUUACUCCAUCACCCCAAGACAUAGGGAUUUGCAAUGCCUCAUUGGUUUCCCAAUUCCACAUUGCUUCUUCAUCAAAAAUAACACUCCUAGACAGCUCAAUCUUUUGAGUUCUCAAGUUGAGCACUCUAUACCCCUUUUCACAUACACCAUAUCUUACAAAUACUCCCUUCUCACCUGUGUCUUCCAGCUUGUGCCUUUUCUGUGUGGGGAUGUGAAUAUAGCAUAGAGAACCAAAUAUUCUCAAAUGCUUGACACCUGGUUUUCUUCCACCGAACUUUUCAAAUGGAGUGGAAUUGUCCAGUGCACUUGUAGGACAUCUGUUCUGCAAAUAUACAGCUGUAUUGACAGCUUCUGCCCAAAACUUCAAAGGGAUUUUCUUCUCAUACAUCAUGGCUCUUGCCAUUUCCAUCACAGUACGAUUCUUUCUCUCUGUAACUCCAUUCUGUUGUGGAGAGUAGCCUACUGNNNNNNNNNNNNNNNNNNNNNNNNNNNNNNNNNNNNNNNNNNNNNNNNNNNNNNNNNNNNNNNNNNNNNNNNNNNNNNNNNNNNNNNNNNNNNNNNNNNNNNNNNNNNNNNNNNNNNNNNNNNNNNNNNNNNNNNNNNNNNNNNNNNNNNNNNNNNNNNNNNNNNNNNNNNNNNNNNNNNNNNNNNNGGUGUGGUCAUCAAUGAAGGUGAGGAAAUAUCUGUUCCCUCCAAGAGUGAUGGUCUGCAUUGGACCACAAAUGUCUGAGUGAAUCAGUUCUAGAGGUUGAGUGGCUCUCCAAGCUCCUUCCUUAUCAAAAGAGCUUCUGUGAUUCUUGCUUUCAGCACAACCUGAGCAGACCUUCUCAUGUUCUUGUAAAUUAGGCAUUCCCUGAACCAUAUCUCUCUCUUGUAACAACUUCAAACUAAUAUAGUUUAGGUGCCCAAAUCUUCUGUGCCACAGCCAGGAUGUUUCUCCAACUGUUGCUCUGUUUGCCAUAGGAGGAUUAACAUAGUCAAGAUUUAAAGGAAAACAUUUGUUUCCCUUCAUUGGCACUCUUGCAAUGCAAUCUUCCAACUGCCUAUCUCCAUAGAUAUCAACUGCAUUAUCACCAAAUACAAGCCAAUGCCCAUGUUCUAUCAUUUGACCUACACUUAGCAAAUUUUCAUCUAAACUUGGUACAAUCAUGAUUUCUUUGAUAUAUCUAGUCACACCCUUCAUUUCUAUAGCCAAAGUCCCUUUGCCUAUUAACUGCACUAGAUCACCAGUCCCCAUUUUGACUUUACUCUUCAUACUUUUAUCAACAUUUACAAGUAAUGACUCAUGGGAAGUCAUGUGAUUGCUGCAUGCACUAUCAACAUACCACAUAUUCACAUUCUUUCCAAUUGUUGCAGCAUGACAUGCAUAGAACAUAAUGGCAGGUUCAGUUACCUGAUUUGCAAUGUUAGCAAGUUUCCCUGCCUUGUUUGCUUGGUCACAGUCCUUAACAAAAUGACCAAAUCGAUUGCAGCCAUGACACUUUGGUUUUCCUUUAAACCAACACUCACCAUAGUGUAACUUCUCACAAUGUUUGCAUUUUCCAGAUUUGUCUCCUUGACUUGGUUUUCCCCCUUGAUUGGCACUGUUUUGGGGUUUAGAAUCCCAUUUCUUAUCCUUGGACUUCCAAUUCUUCUUUGAUUUAUUAGAGCCAGAACUAGAACUUGAUUGAGAUCCUUUUGAGUUUAUGCUCAUGCUGCUGAAAGCUUUCUCAGUGGUGCUUUCUGCAUGUCUGUCAAGGCGCUGAGCAAAACCUCUUAAUGCUGCAAUUACCUCCUGCACUUCAAUGGUUUCAAUGUCUCUAGUUUGCUCAAUCACAUAGCAGACUGGAUCAAAUUCCUUGGUUAAGCUUAUUAGCAGUUUUUGAACUAUCCUCCCUUUGGUCAGAUCUUCCCCAUAUCCCUUCAUCUGAUUUACAAGCUCAAGUAACCGAGUGAUGUAUCCAGACAAGAUCUCAUCAUCCUUCAUCCUGGUGUACUCAAAAUCUCGACGCAGACCCUGCAACAUGAUGGAUCUGACUUGCUUAUCACCAUGAAACUCCUGAUGCAAGAUAUCCCAAACACCUUUUGAGGUUUCUUCAUUUGAGAUUCUGGGAAAGAUGUCAUCUGAAACAGCACCUUGGAUAAUACCAAGAGCCUUAGCAUCUUUCAUCAACAAGGACACCAUCUCUGAAUCUGAUGACCCUUCUUUAUCAGCUUUUGAAUCUGGAACUUGAAGGCCUUUCUCAACCAAAUUCCAGAUUCCAUGAGAUUUGAAAAUUGUUCUCAUUCGAAUCUUCCAAAACUCAUAGUUCUCCCCAUUGAAUAUUGGAGCUCUAAGAUCACUCCCUCCUGACCCAGCCAUCUGAGACCAGACUCAAUGAGUUGAGAGUAGGAAAUUUCCCGUUGGAUUUCCAGACUCAGCUCCCACAGCUUCAACGCCCUCUAUCCAGAUCCAACCUGCGCACCUGAUACCAUGUUGAAUAUUUGGAUUGCAAAGGGAGCAAGAAAUGUACUGAGAGAGAGAGAGAGAGAGAGAGAGAGAGAGAGAGAGCAGUGAGCCUUAGAUUGUUCUAACAGUUUUCUUACUCUGCAUGAACAUAGCAGCAGAGCUUAUAUUCCUUCAUGACUGUUACAUGUUCUCUCUUACAUCAGUAGAUUCAAAUCUAACGGUUUGUAAUAGUAAGCCAAUGUGAGUAUGACACAUGGCAAUACACAGCUGUCCUAACAGCUGGGAAUUCAAAACAGACUCUAGCAUUGCACCUGGCAUAUAAGCACAAGGCACUCAGCUAACACAAAGAUUAAAAACAGAUUGAAUAUAAACUGACAUAGAACUUACUAACUAAUCUGAAAUUAGCUAGACAGUUCACAUUUUAACAUUCUUAUGGUCGGCAGGGACAAGAAUUCCAGGGCUGCUCAACUUGAAUACACCUGAUGAACCAGUGAGGGGUGUGUUUCUUUUAGUCUGCACUAUAUAUGCAGGGUCUGACUCUAAUUAGAAGAUAAUUGUAUUAAUUUGGUAAAGCUUUGUCUGUAACUGUCUCGCACCUUAAAAAAAUUUCACAAUUAGCAGCAUUGGCAAUACUUGAUUAGAAAGCAGAAACCCUACAGUAUAUAGUUAAGUUGAGUAGCUGGGAAGACAAUUAGUAAGCUUUCAAUACUAAAGUUGAAUAUUGGGGAGACAAAUUACUAGAGCUUCAAGUUCAGAUAAAUAGGAUGAAUUUCUCUUAAGGGAUCCCCUUUCACUGUAGCUUGGAGUAGAAUUCAUUUUGACACAAUAUCAAUUAUCAAUGUAAACACGUUACUGAUGCACUAUUGACAAUAUCGAUGCACGUCAUAUCAUAUUUGUGGGAGUAAAUUUCCUCACGAGAAUAUUUGGUUCAAAAGAUUCCCCUUUUUUUUUUUUUUGCCGCCUCUUUCUCCUUGCAAAAUAGAACAAAUAAGAGGACCACACCCGGGGGGUGUUGGCCAAAGGCCCUCCGAUGCUAAAUUAGUUCAAGUAUUUGUAAGAAAAAUACUAGCUAACUAGGGUACAGAGGUGUAUUUAAGGUGUAAACCGGGCAGCCGAAGUCUUAUGUAAAAGAGAGAGAGAAAGGAGGUGGCUAGCGUUUGAGAGGAAUUUUCUGCAGAGUUUUUAGUAGAGAUUUCAGACGUACCUCAACCAUUGUGUGUGGCCAUCUUUUUAUAGUGGUCUUGGAGGCUAGGGUUUCAGAGGAAUAAUUCCGUAGAUGGAAAGGAAUUAUUCCUCCCCUAUUUGGAAUUGAUUUGAUUAAUUAGGGAUUUGAUUUAUUAGGGUAAAUCAAAUCCCUAAUUGUGGUAGGUAUCAAAUCAAAUCCUUUUUUAAUUAGGUAACUCCUCAUUUAAUUGGGAAUUGUGGUAGGAAUCAAAUCAAUUCUCAACCUAAUUAGGUAACGUUCAAUUUAAUUGGGUAAUUCCCAAUUAAAUUGAGUAACUCCCAAUUAGGUUGAUUAAUUCCCAAUUAGAUCAAAUAAUCCCCUAAUUGAAGGAAUUAUUUGACCUAGGGUCUGAUUUAAUUCGAUUCCCACAAAUGCCCCCCAGCUUCUGCAUGGUGCAUGGUGGCACGUAGGAGAUGUAAAUUAUCUGUUGGGCUGUCCAGCUGUAACUGGGCUUCCUUCGUGGACCUGGGCUCCCGAGUAGAGGAGGUGUUUGACUUGCCAAUUUUAUGAACACCCAAUUGGAAAGGGUUUGAGAUUCCUUGUAGGUCAAGGAAUUUUGCUCCUUAUAAAUGUAGGGCUCCUCCAAAUUAUUCUCGACAUCAGAAAUCUACUCCUCCAAAUUUGUUAGUGAGAGAGAGAAGACUUUGGAGAAUUUUUCAGCGUGCUUGAGACUUCAUCUUUGCAGCCCAUCCAAGGUAAUUUGAUAGGAAGAAUUUUAUUUUGAGUUGCUAUGACUUUUGGCAGCAAGCUGUGAGACUAAGGGCAUGUCUUGAGGUGCGCGCUAGGGCUUUAGGCAUGGCAAGAGACUCGGAAAGGCUAGCAGGUUCGUUUCCACCUACGCUGGGCUCAAGGAGAAGGCAACAGGGCUUCAGGCCUUGUGGAUGAAGUGGGCUUUCGCUGGGAGCAAGAGGCCUGGAGCUGAGGCAAGGAGACAAUGGGCCUGGUACGAGGUGUGGGCUGAGCAUGCCAGCUUUGGAGCAAGGGGGCCAGGACGACUGCUGGGCAGGAGGUGCGCUGGGCUGCAUGCGCGAGCUGCGCCGAGUGCUGGCUGGAGGAGCGAGCUGGGCUGCGCGCUAGGCCAUUCAUGCUGGGCUACUUCCGUUUUUUUUUUGUUUUUUUUUAAAUUUUAUUUGCUGUUGCUGCUUUUUUUUUUGUUUUUUUGUUUUUUUUUUGUUUGGUAUUCUAACUCGUAAUUUUUUUUUUCUUCUUACAGCUACUUGUUGAUCAACCAUGUCUUCCGGAGAUGGUAGCAAGGCUCCAAGCUCUUAGGUCCUUUUGUAUUUAUGGGGAGGCUCCAUAGUGCAUGGCAAGAAGUUUGUGGUCAACUUGCAUCGCGUCACGACUUAUGCUCAGUUCCAGAAGUGGCGGGCCACUUAUGCGUCUGCCAUUCCAGAUGACGUGCUGGUCAAGCUAUUGAAAUCUCAAACUGAUAACGAGCCUUUGGUGGACGUGAGUGAUCAUGAUGCUAGGAUCAUUACCUUCCGUCCUUUUUACUUCUCUUUAGGCUUCAAAUUCCCGUUGUCAAAGCUCUUCAAGAAGGUGUUCUGUGCCAUGGGGUGUGCUCCGAGCCACUGUACUCAUGUGCUUCAAGAAUUUGAGUCGUUUCUUCAUGUUGGAGCUGACGAUGCGAGAGUUCUUUUAUUUUUUUCGAAGUGAGGCACUUUGAGCGGUACGCCCAAGUUCGUAUCUACAAGGCCAAGCUGUUCCACGGUCUCAGUCAAGGAGAUCACGCUUGACAUGAAGAUGUGUUGGAGGUCAGCAGACGGUGGGAGGGUGACGUCGGUGACGGCCCACCUGUUCCCAUCACCUAUUGUGAUGGUAUGUCUCUUUACGAUUUUUGAUAUGCUCCUUUUAUUUGAAUUUCUUGAAGUGUGGCAGACUAACUUCUAUCUUCUGCUCGUAGUGAGUGACAUUAGCAAGCAAUUGGAGCUCCGACCAGACAUGGCUAAGGUCCGUCGUGCUUUGAACAUCCCUCUAAGGUUUCACGAGUGGCGCUGGCUGUUGAGUGAGUACCGGGAGGAAGACGGUGGUUUUCUCCUUGCCGAGGAUGUCGAAAGGUGGAAGCAGAACGAUCCUGACCCUGAUGAUCUGCUUGGCAGACAGGAAGAAUGUUCUGCUUAAUCGCUCUUAAAGAGAAAGGCUGCUGCCAAAUCUUUGAGAUGUGAAGCUACUUCUUCGCAUGCAAAGGAUGGGUCUCCAUCGAGGAAGAAACCAAGGCUCCCUUCUGCUGAGAAGACUCAAGUGGGGUCUGCUCCCUCAUCAUCUGCCAGGGUUAAGCAUCUCGUGGGUGCAGAUAGCAAGAAGGUUGGUGGUAUGCAUGGUACUCGGGGUGUUCUGCCCAAGCUUCCUGCUGACACGCUCGAAAACCAUGAUAUACUUCGUGAAGUGGCUCGUGCCCAACCUAGUUCUGCCAAGCGUCAAAGAGAUGUAGACAUUCCUCCUAGAAGUUCGAGUUGUCUGCAUCGGUCAAAAGAUGGAGACCGAAGCGGGAGGUCUGCUUAUGAUCCAGCAUUAUUGACUCAUUUGGAGAUGAGGUUGGCGAAGGCUAAGAAGGUGAAAGAGUCAUCUGCCCGGGUUAAGGGUUCUUCCUCGGCGUUGGUAGUUGGUCCCAAGAUGAACAAGUCUAGCUCUGUAGGGGAUGCAUGCGUAUCUGAUCUGCUCAAGAUGAACUUCCUAUCAAACCCGUCCUCUUGUGUUGAGUUGGUUGAUCACAUCCCUCAAGCGGGCGAUCUAGGCACUUUCUCGUGCCUUUCCUUAGAAAAAUGAAGGAAAAUGACAUUCCAUCUGAUUCAAAAAGGACUGGUUUUUGCUACUGAGACUAUUUGGAACUCAUCUGCUAUUGCCCCUCUUCUGUCCAACUCAGCGAGUUGGAGAAGAAGAAUGCUGAUUGGCUAGACAGCUUUCCGCCGAGCAGGCCCGUUACGAGAAGAAGAUGUCUGAUUUGAGGGCGAUGAUAUCUGAGCUGAAAAGCUCCCUUACCGAGAAGGAUUUCGAGCUCAACUCUUCUGCUGCUGAUUUGGCUAGUCGAAAAGAUACCUUCUUUCGUCUUGAGCAUAAGAAUGCUGACAUCUUCCUUAGCUAUAACAAACUCCUGGCUAGAUUUCAUGCCUACCAUAAGUCUGCUAAAGAAUCCAAGACAGAUGGAGCUGCUGAAGGCGUAGCCGGUCAGGUGGAUGCCGAAGAGGCUGCAGCUUAAAAGUCUUCUGCUGGCGUCUCAGAGUAGAUGAAGACUCUUUUUUGUUUCUUUUCAGCUUUUGUAGUUUGCUUUAUUGUUUAGAAUAACUGGUCUUAUUUGACCAUCUUCUUUUUGUUGAACUUGGCUGGUUGGUCUGUUUGUUAGGGAAAUUUCAGUUACAUUUUCCAACUUCAAUUUGCAUAUUUGACUUGUGAACUGCUUAAGUAACCAGCCUGUGUUUUGAUUGCACAUCCCCCUUUAGAGAUUUGUGAGUACCAGGGUCCCCCUUGGAGGACUCCGGCCAUGCACAGUAUAUCUCGUAGGAUGGUUCCCCUUAGGAAGUUGGCGAGUACCAGGGUCCUCUUUGAGAGACUCCGGGUGUGUUCUGCACAUCCCGUAUGAUGCCUUAAUCGUCGCCUUGCUUCUCCCGUAGGACGCUGCUUAUAGGCAACUAUAUGACUAUCCUGCCUUUCUUAGGAAACGGAUAGGAACCUGGAUAUUUCCCGCAUGAAGCAUGGAGACCUCCUUUUAAGAAAUUUUUGGUGCACCAUGCUUCUCCCUUAGGACGCUUUUUUCGCAGGCUGGGUCUCCAAAUGGACGCUUUUAGUCGUUGCCCUGCGUCUCCCUUAGGACGCUCCUUAUGGGCAACUGUGUGACUAUCCUGCCUCCCUUAGGAAAUGGAUAAGACUUGAAUAUUUCCCGCAGUAAGCAUGGCGACCCCCUUUUAAGAAACUCCUGGCGUACCCUGCAUCUCCCUUAGGAUGCUUUUUAAGAGGGCUGCUUCUCCAAACGGACGCUUUUAGUCGUUGCCUAUGUCUCCCCUAGGAUGCUCCUUAUGGGCAACUGUGUGACUAUCCUGCCUCCCUUAGGAAACAGAUAGGAAACUAGAUAUCUCCCUUAGGAAAUUCCUAGCGCACCUUGCGUCUCCCGAAGGACGCUUUUUUAGCUGGCUACGUCCCGAAACGGACACUUUUAGUCGUCGCCCUGCGUCUCCCUUAGAAUGCGCCUUAUAGGCAACUGUGUGACUAUCCUGCCUCCCUUAGGAAACGGAUAGGAACCUGGAUAUCUCUCUUAGGAAAUUCCUGGGGCACCUUGCGUCUCCCGAAGGACGCUGCUUAUGGGAAAAUAUUGUGUUUCGUGGGCAGAUGAGACAUUUUGGAAUGAGAAACUGAACUUAUAUUGAUAUUCAUAAGAUUACAGUCCUUUAUUUGAAAAUGGAAAUAACUUGGUUCAAAAACUUAGAACUUCUAGCAGCUACGAGGAAGCACUAUGGAUAAUACUUUCGGAGAUGGUGAGCAUUCCAUUGUCGUGGUAUUUCCUUCCUAUCCAUGGUGUCCAGUGUGUUGCUUCCUCUGCCCCGGACCUGCUGAUCACAUAAACGCCCUCCCAGUUAGGAUUCACUUUUUUUGACCCGUGUCUUGGUGCAGUAAUGAAAGCCUUAGCACGAGGUCGCCUGGUUGAAACUGUUUGACCUUAGCUCUUUUGUCGUAGUAAGACUUCAACUGCUAGUGAUAGGAGGCGACCCGAAUAAUGGUCUUCUCACGCCUGCCCUCAAGUAAGUUGAGGUUGAGCCUCAUCUGCUCGGAGUUCUGAUCAACACUGCCUACCUUAAGACUUAUAGAGAGGACAGUGAUGUGAGGUGGUAUGAUCACUUCUGUUCCAUAGGCGAGAGAGAAUGGGGUUUCACCAGUCGAUCUUCGCUUGGUGGUGUGAUAAACCCAUGGUACUCUGGGGAGUUCAUCCACUCAUUUCCCUUCAGCGCCUUCCAGCCUUUUCUUUAAGCAGUCCAAUAUGACUUUGUUGGAUGCCUUGGCUUGUCCAUUUCCUUGUGGAUACCUCGGGGUGGACAAGUGUUGUUUGAUCUUGUAUUUCACAAAAAAAGCGGUGAUCUGCUUGCCAAUGAACUGUGAGCCAUUGUCGGUAACCAACGACUGUGGGCAGCCAAACCGGCAUAUGAUGUUUCUCCAGAUGAAUCACUCCACAUCGGCUUCUUUAGUAAAUGAUAGAGCUUCGGCCUCGAUUCAUUUAGUAAAGUAGUCGGUGGGGACGAUCAUCAUUUCUUUCUUGGCGGGCGCUAGUGGCAAGGGAUCCACUAGGUCGAUGGCCCAUUGCAUGAACAGCCAUGGACUGUUUUGCGGAUGAUAGACUUCGGCAGGCAAGUUAGGGAUCGGCUUGUAUUGCUGACAGCGUCACAUUUCUUGGCACAUUCAGCACAGUCGUGACGUAUGGUAGGCCAGAAGUAGCCUAUGUUUAGAACUUUCUGGGCGAGUGACCUGCCCCAGAAUGGUUGCCAUACUCGUCGUCGUGAAUUUUACAGAUAAUCUCAAGUGUUUGAUGGUACUUUAUGCAGGUGAGAUGAAGGCCGGAGUAUGAUCUGUGGAUGAGCUUGUUGCCGUGCAUGUAGUAUCUCUCGGCCUUUUGCUGGACUUUUCUAGCUUCGGACUUGUCCGUUGGCAGGUUUCCAUUCGUGAAAUAGUCGAUGAUGAGGUCUUGCUAGCUGGGGUCCUCGUCAAUCUGCAUGGUAUUAAUCGGCUCUAUUUCUUCAAUGCUUGGUCGGUCAAGGUGUUCGACCUAGAUGGAGUGUUUGAACUGGGUAUCCAGCGUUGAACCUUGGCUUGCCAGUGCGUCUGCAUGCGCGUUCUUUGCCCGGGACACUUGUUGGAUAGUGAAGGUAGGAAAUGCCUUCAACAGCUCUUGGACUCUAUCAAGGUAUAAGAUCAUCCUUGGGUGCUUUGCCAUAUAUUCACCUGAGGCUUGAUUCGUGAUCAACUGUGAGUUUGAGUAGAUGGCUAGCUUUUUGAUUGCGAGCUCCUUUGCCAAGCGUAAGUCGGCGAGUAAUGCCUCGUAUUCUACCUCGUUGUUCGAGACCGAGAAGCCAAGCGUAAUAGCUUGCUCUAACAGGGUUCUAUCCAGGGUGGUGAUAACGACCCCUGCUCCAGCUCCUUUUUGGUUCGACGCUCCGUCUACACGCAACUGCCACAUGUCUCUGGGAUGGCUUGGUUCUGCGGAGGUCCUGUCUGCUUUUGAACUUCCCUCCUUUUGGUUGACUAACUUCUCUUUUUUGGCUGAUGGGGUGAAUUCUGCGACGAAGUAUGCUAAAGCCUGGGCUUUUAUUGCAGUUUUUGGCCCGUAGAGGAGGUCAUAUUGGCUUAGCUCUAUAGCCCACUUCAUGAGUCGCUGAGAAGCAUCAGGGCUGUGGAGGAUUGAUCUCAAAAGAAAGUCAGUCAUGACUAUGACUCGAUGAGCUUAGUAGUAGGGUCGCAGCUUUCUCGCAGAAACUACAAGAGCCAAAAUAAGUUUCUCCAAUUUCGGGUAACGAGUCUCUGCAUCGAGGAGAGCUUUUGACGUGUAGAAUACCGGAUAUUGGGCCCCUAUCUCUUCUCGGAUGAGAGCUGAACUGACAGCUGAGUUGGACUUACCUCACUAGGGACUGGAUUUGAGAGCAUGGAAGGUGAGGUGAGGUAAGUCUUCAGAUUAUGGAAAGCUACUUUGCAGUCCUCAUCCCAUUUCUCUCUUUGUCCUUUCUUCAAAGCUUUGAAGAGUGGUCUGCACUUGUCGGUUGAUCUCGAGAGGAAUCGGUUGAGAACCGCUGCUUUGUCCGUCAGACUUUAUAUCUCUUUCACCGUGGAAGGCGACUUCAUCUCUAGAAUGGCUUUGAUUUGACGUGGAUGUGCCUCGACACCUCGUUGCGUGGCUAGGUAUCCCAAGAAUCGGCCGGAGGAUACACCAAACAGGCAUUUACUUGGAUUCAACUUCAUGCGAUACUGGCGGAGCAAGCUGAAUGAUUGGGUAAGACUUCCGAUGUGAUCUGCACGUUUUGGGGCUUUGACCAGCAUGUCAUCCACGUAGACCUUCAUAGUUUUGCCGAUCUGCUUAUUGAAGAUUUUAUUCCCGAGCCUUUGAUAGGUUGCUUUGGCGUUCUUCAGCCCAAAGGGCAUGACCUUAUAGCAGCAGGUCCCUCUCUCGAUGAUGAAAAAAGUUUUUGCCUUGUCAUCCUCGUGCAUCAGGAUUUGUUUAUAGCUGGACUAGGCGUCCAUGAAGCUAAGCAGUUGAUUGCCAGAAGUGGAAUCCACGAGUUGGUCGAUUCUCGGCAAUGAGAAGUUGUCUUUAGGGCAUGCUUUGUUGAGGUCUGUGUAAUCGACACAAACUCUCCAUUUGCCAUUUUCUUGUUUUGCCACCAAAACAACGUUGGCAAGCCACUCUGAGUAGGAGGCCUCUUCGAUGAAGCCGACAGCUAGGAGUUUGUCAAUCUCGGCCUCGAUGAUAGCAAGUCGCUGGGGUGCGAAGUUGCGUCUCUUCUGCGCCACUGGCUUGCAGGCAGGGUUGAAGUGGAGUCAGUGACAGAUGAUGUUCUUGUCGAUGCCAGACUUGUCUGACGGCAACCAUGCGAACAUGUCUCUGUUGCUCUGGAGGAAGGUGGUAAGCUCCACAUUCUCUUCUGGCCUUAGGCGCGAACCGAUCCACUCUUUCCUAUCUGGUUGGUCAGGAUCCAAGGGUAUUAACUCGACGUCCUCCUUGGGUUUCCAUCCUUCUUCAGGAAAGACCUAUGGACGGAUUUCCUCGACUUGGUCCUGACGCUUUAAUUGCUAUAAGAUAGCAAGAUCCAGUUGCUCAACCUCCUCCAGAUCUGCCUGGCUCACAGGGAGAAACUGCGCUUGUUUACCUUUCUUUAGCCCUUGGGCGGAGCAUUUCCUCGCCAUUGCCUAAUCGUUGUUGAUUUGGCCGACACCGCCCCCAAGGAUUGGGUACCGAAUUUUCUAAUGUGUGGCGGAGGUGAUUGCAUUAAUUUUGCCAAUCGAUGGUCUGCCCAGAAUGCCGUUGUAGGGUAAGACCUUAUUAAUGACCAUGAAGGUUAUGAGCUGAUUAUAAGUGGGGAGUAGACGUCGAGGUCUAUCAUGCCCACGGUAACCGUUGUUGCACCAUUAAAAUCGCUCAGCAACCUAGCUAAUUUGUAAAUCUUUGUCUCCAAUCCCAUCUGUUGAAUGACCUCCAGUUGCAGGAUAUUGGCUGCGCUGCCCUCGUCUGUGUGGAUUCAGUCUACCAUGACCUGAGCAAUUUGAAUGCUGAUGACAAGGGCUUCGUUAUGUGGCAUGUAGAGGCCGAUCAGAUCUUUCUUUUGGAAGCCGAUUACAGGAUCGUCUUCUGCUGGUGGAAGGUCGGUCGAGAUUUGGGAGAUCACAGUGGUCUGUUUGAUCUUCCUCUUUUUUUCCUUUCUGGUCAGCCCAGACUCCUCGGAGUCAGCUAGGAUUGUGUUAAUUCUUAUGACCUUCUGAGGCGGCUCCUUGGCGAUGUCACGAUCUUCUAUCCGCUGGAUGACCUUCUUUGCAAUGAAUUCUGUGCAGUGACCUUCUCUCACGAGUUCUUCAAGAUGUGCUUUCCAAGCGAAGCAGUUGUUCAUAGUGUGUCCGUGCAUUUCAUGGACGGCACAGUAUUUGCUAGUAUUCCUUUUGUCCGGAUCUUCUUUCAAGGGUGGUGGUCUUCUUACCCAAGGUUGUUCUUCACUUGGGCUAAGAUUUGAUGUAUGGAGAUGGUGAACUUGGUGUAGUUCUCUCCUGCCGUAGCAUCCCCUUAUGGGUGCGACCUGCGCUUGUCCUUGUCCCUGUUGCUAAAUCCGUCGCUUCUUUGGCCUGCCCCCUUAGUCGGCUGAUCUUCCUGCUUAGUAGAGUUCUUUGCGGCGAUUCGAUCGUCAUCCCAAAGCGCAUAGCUUUCCGCGGUCUCGUAGACCUCUGCCAAAGUUUGGCUGGGAGUGAUGGUCAGCUCGUGGUACAAGUCGUGCUCAGUCGAAAGGUCUUUCUUGAAAGCAGAGGACGCAAUUUGGUCAUCACAUCCUACAAUGUUGGCCUUUUCUACUUUGAAUCUCUUGAUGUAAUCUCUAAAGGAUUCGUCGAACUUCUUGCGCAGGUUAUACAGGUGGUCAGGGUUCUUCUUGAUUGUUCGGUAAGAGGUGUAUUCUUUGGUGAAUAAGUAAGUCAGCUCCUUGAAGCUGCUGAUCGACCUGGAUGGCAGAGUAUGGAACGAGUCUUGGGCUUCCUCACAAGGUCAUUGCAAACACCUUGCACAUCAGCGCGUCGUCAACCUUGUGGAGGAUCAUGACACUUUUGAAGUGUUUUAGAUGGCUCUCAGGAUCGGAAUCCCCCUUGAAGUGUGUGAAUGUGGGCGUUGAGAAUCGCUUCAGGAGAGCAGCCUGCUCGAUUUUGGCAGUGAAAGGUGUAGAGUAUGCCUGGUCUACCUCAUUUCGUACAUCUUCGAAAUUUCCACCGGUCUUCAAGUCUCGAAGUUGGUCAUUCACAAGCUUCUCUACGUCUUCCGCACACAUUGCUUGUCGGCCACAUUGGCGACCUUCACGAAUUGUUCGAUGCUGACUGACUUCCUCGUUGAUUUCCGAGGAUCGACCUUCUUGUCUGCAUUGCCUAGGUGGAGUGUUGGUGGAUUGCGCCUACGAAAGAUUCUCUGUGGCUUGUCAAUGAGAAUCGGUUCUUCGAGAGUGAGUAACGAAGUGCCUUUCCUCAUGGUCCUUAUUGUGAGGGUUAUCCAGCUGACCUCCCUGGGGCCUAGCCUUUCCUGAAUGCUUCUCUGCGAGUAGACAGUUGAAUGCUUUUCUUCACGAUCCUCGUUGUGAUGGUUGUUUGGCUGACCUCCUUAGGGUCUUAGCCUUUGAUGUACAUUUCCCUGCCUGCCCAAGUAGGUGCGGACGUCGAGUCGUGGGCCCAGCCUUUCGUGCACGUCGUUCCUUAAACUCAAUCUGCUCUGAGUGUGGCUUGCAGAUGCUUGCGACAUGUCGGCAGGUCGAUCACGUUGUUGUCCCUCGACUUGUCUGCCCACUCUUGCUUGACCUGCUUGGUACUCGUUGAGCUGUCUACCGGCCCGUUCAUCCUUCCUUCUUUCCUCGCCUGGUUGUCCAAGGCCAAGGUUUUGAGCAAAGCUUAUUUGGUUGAGGAGCUGCCUCAUUAGAUUGUUUUGGUCGUCCAUUCUUUAAGCUAGCUGGUCAACUCUCAGAUUAAGGUCUGCUUGAUUUCAUGGAUCAGGAGGAGAGAAGUGUGUGGAGCUCAACUGCACAUAGGCUAGGGUUUCAUUAGAGGUGUAUGCGGGAGCGUGUGUCGAGCGUGGAGGCAAUAGAGGGAAUGCUUGGAGUUGCUCCAAGACCGGCCCUAGGUCGGCGGUGGUAACGAGUCCACCUUGAUGGGAAGUUCCACCAUGUUUGGCGGCAGUGACCGAUGCAGUGGUGAGAGGUGGUGGUGCCACCAUGUCGAUCGCGGGAUCGUUGGUGGAGUGGCUUUGGGCCGUCGCAAAUCUAGCCAUCAUGGCGGCUUUGCCUCUCGUGUUCAUGCUUCCAACCAUGGUUGUUUGGAAGGCUUAGGUGGAUUGGAAAAUUAGAGGAACGGAUUCCUUGAGCACGCAUUGAGUAUAACUCGUGCUCUCAAUGAAAGCACCAAUUUGUGGGAGCAAAUUUCCCCACGAGAAUAUUCGGUUCGAAAGAUUCCCCUUUCUUAUUCGCCGCCUCUUUCUCCUCGCAAAAUAGAACAAAUAAGAGGACCACACCCGAGGGGUGUUGGCCAAAGGCCCUCCGAUGCCUAAAUUAGUUCAAGUAUUUGUAAGAAAAACACUAGCUAACUAGGGUAUGGAGAUGUGUUUAAGGUGUAAACCGGGCGGCCGGAACCUUAUGUAAAAGAGAGAGAGAAAUGAGGUGGCUAGGGUUUGAGAGGAAUUUUCUGCAGAGUUUUUAGUAGAGAUUUCAGACGUACCUCAACCAUUGUGUGUGGCCAUCUUUUUAUAGUGGUCUUGGAGGCUAGAGUUUCAGAGAAAUAAUUUCGUAGAUGGAAAGGAAUUAUUCCUCCCCUAUUUAGAAUUGAUUUGAUUAAUUACGGAUUUGAUUUAUUAGGGUAAAUCAAAUCCCUAAUUGUGGUAAGUAUCAAAUCAAAUCCUUUUUUAAUUAGGUAACUGCUCAUUUAAUUGACAAUUGUGGUAGGAAUCAAAUCAAUUCUCAACCUAAUUGGUAACGUUCAAUUUAAUUGGGUAAUUCCCAAUUAAAUUGAGUAACUCCCAAUUAGGUUGAUUAAUUCACACUUAGAUCAAAUAAUCCCCAAAUGGAAAGAAUUAUUUGACCUAAGGUAUGAUUUAAUUCGAUUCCCACAAUAUUUAGAUGCAUAAUUGAAUGCGAAUAAACAUCACUCUCUCCAGUGUGAAAUGGCGAAAAUUCUCUUCAAUCAAAAGUGGGCUUACUUCAAAUUUAGUUGAAGAAUGAUGGUGUGUCUUGCCUGACAAUUGACAAUUAGGUUUAGGAGCGUUCCUCUAGUAGAAAAAUCUAAAUCAUUUGUGGUCAUCCACUCACUUGGUUAGUCUUCCAGAAUCAAAUACCAAAUCAACCCAAAGGAAGCUGCAAUUUUCUGAAUUGUAUACUUGUUUUAAUUCUUCCUAUCUUUUUCUCUCUUUCAUUUUUUUUGUCUCCCUCAAGUUAAUACUUAAGUGAGUUGCCAAAUGGGGGUAAAAAAGAGAGUAGAAGAGAUGAACCCCACAUUUGACUUUAAUAGACAAAUGCCCAAGAGAAGUACCAGUAAGAGCAUCUCCAAUUGGGAGGUGCUAUCCUAUAAUUUGACACACAUUUCUUUUUUCUUUUUUUUCAAUUCUAACAACAUGUCAUCUAUAUCGCAAUAGGCCGUUGUAGUUAAAUUUUCAAAUAACCAAGUUGCUCUCUAUUUUCCAAAGAAGACUAGAAAACAACUUACCAUCUAUCUGGUGCUGCUUCUUCCAAACAUUAGAAAAAACAGAGCUACACCCAGGAGGAGCCCAGGAGAUGACACAAUACUGCCUACUAUGAUUCUUACUUUCUUCACAUUCAAUGAGACUAUAAAAUAUAACCCAAGUGGUCUAACCCCCCAGGGCGGAAAUUGGGUUUAGCAAGUUUAGCACUGAUUGUUGUAUAGUCUUAAACAGUCCUGAUCUCUUGGACCCCUGUAGUCCAAGAGAUUUAUGGUCACCCACCGUUGGAUGUAAAUUCAACGGUUGACUUGAAUCGGGUAAUAAUAAUUUAUGUCAUAUUGCAUUUAUAUAUAUCAUUUUGAACCAUUGGAUUAAUAUCCAACGGUGGGUGACCACAAUCUCUUGGACUCCUGUGGUCCAAGAGAUCGGGACUGUAGUCUUAAAAUAAGUAGUUUAGCGAGUGCAAACUUCGACUUAAAAAAACUCUCAUGUAUAGCCGCGCGGCUAUACUAUUUACAUAUAAAUAUAUAAAAAAGCACCCCCUAGUCACGUGUCACAAAUAGUAUAGUCGAAAACAGUAGAGCCGCGCGGCUAUACUGUUUUUAAAAUAAAAAAAACCAUAUUCGAUUCUCCUUAUAUUUAAAAGGGGUAUAGCCGCAUGGCGAUACUAAUUUUUUUUUUUCAAAAAAAGGGACCCCAGUACUCCUUUUAUAUAUUAUAAUAUAUUGUCUAAUAUUUGGAAUAUUUACUCUAAAAUAAACAAUAUAUUAGGUUCUUUUUGUCUACAAAUUGACCAUUAAACUUCUUAAUCACUCUUAUACUUUCAAUUAAAUCUACUAGGCUAGGUUAUGAUAUUUUCACUAAAAAACUCCUCCUUUUUUUCUUCUCUUUCUCUUCCUGUUUUGUUUAACUUAAGCUUAAGUUUUGUAAUUUUUUUUCCCGCCCUUUUUACAUGUUUGAGUAGGGUACUUUAAUAUUGGGAUUUAUGAACUUUUUUUGUAUUUCUUCUUUAUAUUGGAAUAUAAAUUAUUAACUUUUGAGUCUUUAAUAGUGUAGAUGAUGAGAUUAUUAUUCAACCAUUUUAUAAUAUGAAAUGAAGGACAAUCAUGAUUGUGAUGAAUGGAUUAUUAAUCAAUAUGAAAUGAUAUUAUGAAGUGGGCUAAAUCGAGUAGUUAGUAUCGUAUUGUUGAGACCCAAAAAAUCCAAGGCUAGGCCCAAAUAUAUUAUGAAGUGGGCUAAAUCGAGUAGUUAGUAUCGUAUUGUUGAGACCCAAAAAAUUCAAGGCUAGGCCCAAAUAUAUUUCCGGUCCAAUGCGAUACCUUACCGAGAAGAAACCUUAUUUGGGCACGCGAAAGUUCGUCAUAUGCUCUUGCACACAUGCCAUGCCAAGCAAAUAAGCAACAUGCCACGCUACAAGCUUAAGUGGGCCCAAGCCACGUGAAUGCCUAGGGCCUGCUGAGUGGGUUGUGGUAUGGAUGGUUAUGAGUAUUCACGAGGCCCAUUGAUGGUCUAAGGAGUGGAAGUUUUGGGCUACUUGGGAGCACCAAAACUCAAGCCCAUUCAUUGAGCCCAAACAUAUGGGUAAGCAUGAGAUAAAACCUAGUAGCCCAUCACCUUAAGAAAUCCUAAUAGCCCAUAACAUGUGAGAAAAUCCCACAUCAACCAAAGCUUCCAGCAGUCUGACGAAAUCAAAGGGAACUCACAAGCCGUUGGAAACAAAACAACCCAACACUGUAACACCCCGACCCCAAAUUUCCCCAAAUUUAACCCUUAUUUAAUUAUUUAAGGGUAUUUUAGUCAUAUUUUUAACCGGAGAGAGUUUGGGGCAAUGACUAGUAUUUUUGGAUAGGUCGUACUGAGACGAGUUUAUGGACACGCAGUGAGCUCGAAUCGGAGUUGUAACGAGAGAGAUAUGGUCAAAAGAAGCCCAGUGGCACAAUCGUAAAUAUUUUGAAAUGAGAUUUUUUAUAAAAAUCUGGUUUUCUCUCUCUCUCUCUCUCUCUCUCUCUCUCUCUCUCUCUCUCUCUCUCUCUCGCUAGCGACCUCUCUCUCUCUCCCCCGUCGGUCUCUCCCCUCUUUCUCCUCGUAACUCCGGCCACCGGCCCCGGCUGUGGACGGGGCCGGUACCAAAAUGACCGAGGCGUCGUCCUCUUCCUACCCCAGCCACCUCCCACCGCCAGCCGUCGCGGAUUCGCCGGAAUCUGGAGAUGAAGCGGCCUACGUCGUCCAAAUUUCAAAGCUGCCGAUCUCCCUCCUCCGGCCACCAAUUCCGUCGACCCAGGUAUGGAUUUUGAACUUCUCGAGCUGCUCUAGCUGAUGGUUGGGUAGGAUUAGAUCGAUUCUUAGCUUAGACAACUCGAUUUUCAAAUUGAAAAUCGGCCGAACUUCGGCUGCCGUGAUCGGCCAUUUCCGGCCACUUUUUGGGGUAGGUCCAAGAACAAAAGUGGCUCCAAAUAGGGUGUUAUACCUAGGGUAGGAGUUUGGAGCCGUGGUUUUGAGAUUUUCCGGCGAAGCGUUAUCGCUUUGGGCACCCACGCGCUGCCGGUGCGUGCGGCGGCGCGUGGGCACUGUAGAAAAAGUAGCACUGUGUUCCGAUGAGAUCCUUAGGUUGUCACGAGUGCGUAGGAUUUUGCGGAUCUCAAUUCGGACGUCGUUUGACUAUCGAACGGAUAUUCGCAUAUUGCGCGUUAUUCGGGUUCGAUAGGUUGGGACCGUUGGAUGGACCCAAAUUUAAUAUAUGUUAAUCUAAUUAAUUCUAGGAUCGUGUAGGAAUUCACGGAUUGUGAAUCGGAGCCCCGGAUGUUCCGAAUAAUAAUUUUAAAGUUUGUAUUUUAUAUUAAUUGUCAGAUCGUGCGAUCGUGAGCAAUCUGACCGUUCGAUCUGAACCAAACUUGCAGGACAAGUGUCCUAUACCUUGUAGAACCCAUAGGGACCUUCGGAUCGGAAAUUGGAGGUCGUGGGUUCCGCAAGUCGGUUUGACCAGGGUUAGAGAAGUUUGACCCUUGGUUGACCGUGAGUCUCCCGGAGUAAUCUCACCUUUCUAGGGGAGAUUAUCGGGUACUAGAUGAUUGUGGACACAAUAUUAGAAUUAAUUUAUAUAAUUAUAAUUAUAUAUGGUUGUACAAGGGUACAACAGAGUCUAGAAUGUCAGUUUGGAGUGCUAUACGCACUACUUUAGGUACCUCCCCGGAUGUUGGGAUUUACUACAAGUACCACCAAGUGAAAUUGAGGUCCCGCGUGGCGUAGGUUAUCCAGCGUUGGGAUAGGUCUCAUACGUGGGGUUGGUUGUACCGGCGUAUGGGGAGAUUUGUGAUAUUAUGUUCAGGUCUCACGUGGCGUAGGUUAUCCGGCGUUGAGACAGGCCCCAUACGUGGUGUUGGUUGUACCAGCGUAUGGGGAGCUAUGUGAUAUUGUGUUGAGGUCGCACGUGGCGUAGGUUAUCGGGCGUGUCGACAGACCCCAUACGUGGCGUUGGUUGUACCGGCGUAUGGGGAGAUUUGUGAUAUGAAAUUGAGGUCCCACGUGGCGUAGGUUAUCCGGCGUUGGGACAGGCCCCAUACGUGGCGUUGGUUGUACCGGCGUAUGGGGAAAUAUGUGAUAUGAUGGCAUGGUCGCACGUGGCAUAGGUUAUUCGGCUUGUUGACAGGCCCCAUACGUGGCGUUGGUUGUACCGGCGUAUGGGGAGAUUAUUUGAAAUGCAGAGAAACGAAAUAUGGUAUCGCCCAAAUGUGGAAUUGGGUUUUAGGGAAGAACUACGUGUGGCUUGAUCCCUCAAGGAGGGUACGUAGGCAGCCUAAGGUUAAUAGGUGCAGCCGCAGACUAAAUGUUAGUCAUAAUUGAUAUUUGAAUUGUUUGGUAGUUGGUUAAGAAUUAUUGGAAGGCCGAAGGCCAUUUGUGUGAAUUGCAUGAAAUUAUAUUGUGCAUGCUGCCAGUUGGGAAUAUUAAAUGCGUUUUUAUGCAGGUAUAAAUUUUAGGAAAUGUCCAAUUUAUAGGGGAGACUCUGCCGAAUUUUCGGCAGGAAGUCUCAGUUUUUAGUAUCUGGGCCUGGCAUCGGGAGGAUGUCGGGAAUUCCAAAGGGUCGUCUCGAGUUCUGAAAAAUUCGGUGCGGGUCCUUUCAAACACCUUAUAAAAUAUCCAACGCCGUGCAUCUCUGUUAAAACCAGAUCACAGCCAAACCACCAAAACCAUGCAAACCCAUAUGCUGAUCACCAUUUUUACUAGCACCCUUACCCAUUCUUUCCUCUUCAAGCUUUGGUGAGAAAACAAGAAACAAAAGUGGGCGGAUCUUCACCCACAUGGAGAAAUCCAGCUGCCUGAGGGCCCUGGAACUCCAAAAAACUUCUUACCUACAUGCUCAGGCUAGGGAAGUUUCACCAAAUAAGCAAGAAUGGAAGAAAGUGAAGGAAAAGGGGAAAGGGUGGCUUGACGAAAUUAAGGUUUUCAGCACUUAUAAAAGGAAACACUUUCUAUCCAGCAAAAACAACUCACCCUGGUUGCUGCAAGCCUCCUAGCAACCAUGAGAAUUCAUUGAAGGCAAGCAUCCCCUUUGGAACCCUUCAAUUUCAUGCUUUGUUCUUCCAUCUUCCUCCUUUCUCUCUCUCUCAAAACCCACAUCCAGAGAGAGCAAGCAUCAUCUCUCAUCUUUGGAACCCUUCGAUUUGAAGCCUUGUUCUUCCAUUGCUUCCCAUUUUCUCUUCUGUCAAAUCACCUAGGAGCUUGACGAAACUUUCGUCAAGCUGCUGGAAAUAUGGUAAAGCCACCCAUGCUUCCAUCUUCUUCCUCUCUUUCCAUAAACACACAUCCAAAGAGCAAGCUUCAUCUCUCAUCCUCUAAACCUCUGCAAUUUCAAGCCUCAUUCCUCUAUCUUCUCCCAUUUUCAGCGGUAGUGAGAAUGAUUUCUGCGUGUGCAUGGGAAGGAUUGUAACUCAGAUGAGGAGGAGAUGGUUUGGAGUGGGGUGAGGCAGUUGGAUAGAGCUCUUGGCCUUUUCAAGUUUGGAUGGGAAAGAGCAGGGAUGAAAGAAGCUUUACAACUGCAAGGGCAUAUAUGGUGCGUAGGGGCUGAAGGCAGAACACUUACAUAUAGAGGAAACACAUUUUUUGUCCAUGGGAUUCAUGUUUGACAAACACUUGUCUUAGACUAUGAGUUCAAAUUUCAAAACCUUUUUUUUUUCUUUCUGAAAUCAGGACCAGUGUGGAGAACUAGCAAGGAUUGGAGAAACAGAUUUUUGGGCGUCACUUGACCACAGAUUGUUGAUUGCUCAAAUGUGUAGAAUUGGCCAUCUUAAAUGUCAAAAUGAUUUAUCAAUUGGGGUUUUUUUAGAAACGUUUAUGUUUGUCAAUAGAGACAGAAGUCAGAGAACAUAAACCUUUCUCAGCAAAUUGAAAUUCUCAGUGCAUGCUCUGUUCUUCCAUGGCUUUCAAACCUUCUCUGCCACGGUGAAAUGGAUCGAUAGAGAUAGUUUAGGCCGUUCCAUUUGUUUGAUGAAGCAUUCGUUCUAGGGAUUCUGUAUAUUCAUAACAAAAUCACUAGAAUGAUUCUUAGAAAUUCAUCACUGCUAAAGGCAAUGGGUUCAGCAUAAUAACUUCUUAGUCUUGCUUCUUGGUCCUUUAUUUUCUUUGCAUAAUACUCCAAGUUUACCUGGGUUCUACAGAGAAAAUCUCGUAGAUACCUCUUUUUGUGGUCUUCCAUGGCAUUUAAGUGCUGCUUUCCAUGGUGAAGUGGGCCUAUAGAGACUACCUGAGGUGUGUAGGCUUUGUCAUUUCCACGCCGUAAUCGCUCAGGAACUCUGUAGAUACACCUUCAAGGGGGACAAGGGAGACAAACUAUCCAAUUCCUUGCGCCUUACAAAUAGAUCGCAUGGGUUUUCUAUUUCAUCUGCAGCUUCAUCAAUUCCUUCCAUUUUUCUCCUGAUCAUCAUGCGCGGUGAUUCAAAUAUUUCAUAAUGAACAUUGAAAUGAGAUGCUACAAGCAAACUUAUGAAAAGAAACAGAAAUACCAAAAAGACAAAUCAAUGUAGAUGGUUUAGAAAAUCUAAACAUUGCAAUUAUACUCCUUUGCCCAACUUCUAGGAGCAAACGUACACAAAGACCUUAUUGCUUCCAACUUUUCCAACAGAAUUUCAUAUGAAUUGCUCCAAGUGAAAUCCGUAUGAAAAAUCGGUAGUUGGAUUUUCAUCCUGCUUUAAUAUGAUUAUUUAACUUCUAACAAAAAAACUCUUAUUACUUGAGCAAGUAAAAUACUAUUCCAGGUUUCUCCUAGUUCUAUAUGCGCUUAUAAUUGGUAUACUCUAUAAAUACCAUAAUCUGAAUUUCUCUGUUUUGAUUACUUUAAUUUAUUACUUAUGUUUUAAUUAUUGUUUACUUAGUGAAUUAUUAGUAUUUAAGAGAAGGCCUUCCAUCGAUUAGGCACCACGUGUCUAUAAUAAGUAAAGCCGUCCGGCUAUACUUAAAAAAAAAAAAAAUUGUAGUAUAGCCGACCGGUAUAGCCGCGCGGCUAUACUAUUUAAUACAUUAUAUUUAAACGGUAUAGCCGCGCGGCUAUACUAUUUAAUAAAAUAAAAAACAAAAGAAAAAGAAAAAUUACCCUCCUAUUUCAUUAGUUUGUACUUUAUAGAUACUAGCCCCUUGACACAUGCUCACGCAUGUGCCAAUUGGUUUUCUUUUUCUUUUUUAUUUUUAUUUUUAGAAUUAAGAAAAAAUAACAGGAUAGUUAUGUUCCAUAAAAGUAGGACCUAUUAUCUUAUUUUGUUUUUAAUUUUAAUUUUUUUAAUAUUAAAAAAAUAUGAAUUUACGAUAUUAUCCUCAUUUAAUUAAUAAUUUCAAUUCUUAAUGUUUGAAUUAACAAAGGGCAUUUUCUGGUAUUUUGAAUGUUUCACCAUUCUCUGCCUUUUGCUUUAUAUAUAUAGAUUAAUUUGCCAGUUUCAAGAUAUCCAAAGUACAUAUUAGACUUUCACUAUAUAAAUUUCAAUAUAUAUUUUUUAUAACAUGUGUUGUUCUUAUUCAAUAAUAUGUGAGAAUUAUUUGUAUAAUACGUGAAUUUUGUGUGUCUUACUGAAUUUUUUUAAAUACGUGUAUUAAACGUUACAAAUACGUACAUAUAUGUACAACACGACUAUUGUAAGUUUGCUAUAUAAAAAAAAGUGAGAUGUAUCUAGAACACGAAUGUAUUAUCGAAAAAUAUAUAUGUAUGUAUAUAUAUAUAUAUAUAUGUAAAAGCCUAUAGCCUCUCACCUAUACUAUUUAUUAAAGACAAUUUAAAAAUUACAACAACAAAAAAACCAGUACAGCCACAAAGCUAUACUAUUUUAAAAAAAAAAAAUAGAAAAAAUAUCAAGUACUACACAGGGCAAAGGCCCAGUGUAAAAUAGUAUAGCCGUACGGCUAUACGUUUUUAAGAAGAAUUUAAAAAACUAAGUAUAGCUCACCGACUAUACUAUUUUUUAAUAUAAAAAAACAACCCCAUCCAUUAGGCGCCACGUGUCAACAGAAGUUUAUUUUUAAAAAAAAAAAUUAAAAGACAAGGAGUAUAGCCGGGUGGUUGUACUAUUUUUUUAUUUUAAAAAGAAGACAGUCCAUCGAUUAGGCGCCACGUGUCCAUAAUAAGUACAGCCGCUCGGCUAUAUGUUGGAUAUUUUGAAACUAGCAAAUUAAUAUCAAUAGCCGGUCGUAACCUAUGCUGUCCACGUCACUCAUGUUUUACCAGAGUUAAAGCAUCCACAAUGAGCUCCCCAAACCAUCUCUUUAGACAAAUUUUAGGGAGAAAUUGGAAAAGUACAACUCCAACCAUGCUCCCUAUCCACCAACUAAAAUAGGGAGACCUCUAGGAGCUCCUAAAUCUGAGGAGAGGGAAAGGACUCUUAGUGACUCCCUAUAAUUUAAUGUUGCUUUGUUUUAUGCAUAUUUUAAACUUUUAAUUAAAUCAAAUUAUUAUUUUAUAUUAUUUUGUAUACAGAUGGACCAAUUAUAUUAAAUUAAAAAAUAAUUAAAGUAUUUGUGACUCUCUAAACUAAGGAGUAUGAUUAGAGUUCAAAUUUUAUAAAAAGCUCUUAAAAUAGCUUUUGUGUGUUUUUAGCUAAAUUUUAACUAAAAAAUUUGAAGAUUCUUUAUUUGGGUUUCUUUCAAGACGAAAACCAUAUCCACAACAGACAUCUUUGGCUGUUCAUCACAAUUGAGAGACAAUGAAGAAGACAUAAGGGAGAGGCUGCCAAAUACUUAUCACCUUAGCCACCACCAACACCACAAGACCAAUAUGUGUAGGCCAGGAGGCUUUCCAAUUUUAAUAUAUAUAUAUAUAUAUAUUAAAAAAUAAAAUAAAAAUCAAUCUAUUAUCAUAUAUAUUAUAAAAUAAAGAUUAUUGCUCCAUCCUCCAUGCACUUGCGUGCCCUCUUACAAAGUAUGAAGUAGAUUUUGUUAGCUGGAUUUAUAAGAUCUUUUGUUUUUUGGAAAUUUUCUGAAAUAAGGAAAAUCAAGUAAAAUUAAUAAAGCAUAAAUUGGAAAGGGAAAAUAUCUAGAGGAUGCAUUGUAGGAUUGCUCAAGCCAAUAAUUGUACCCUCUAAAUAUAUAGGGACAUAUUUUUUUUGUUUUCAUGACAUGUCGUCCUAAAAUUAUUGUUCUUAGCGGGCUCUCCACCCCCUCUCGAUUGAAAACCUAUUGUGUAAAUCUUCAAUCCUGAAUUAGAAAAGUACAACUCCAACCAUGCUCCCUAUCCAUCUCCUAAAAUAGGGAUACCUCUAGGAGCUCCUAAAUCUGAGGCGAGAGAAAGGACUCUUAGUGUCUCUUUAUAAUUUAAUGUUGCUUUGUUUUAUGCAUAUUUAAACUUUUAAUUAAAUCAAAUUAUUUUUUUAUAUUAUUUUGUAUACAAAUGGACCAAUUAUAUUGAAUUAAAAAUAAAUUAAAGUAUUUAUGACUCUCUAAACUAGGGAGUAUGAUUGGAGUUCAAAUUUUAUAAAGAGCUCCUAAAAUAGCUUGUGUGUGUAGGGGUCUUUUUCUUCUGGCAACUACAGAUGGGUUGGGCUACCGUAAGGAGCAAACUGAAGAAAAUAUCCCCUGUGUCUGAGUUCAAAGAUUCGGCCCCAAAAUAUUUCGAAAAGGCAGUAAAGCCUUAGGAAACACCUUAGUUACCUUCACCAACGAAAAUGACGGCUGCUUACAGGUAGAUUCUUAGUGCUUACAGAUGAAUUCUUAGCUUAGCAUGAGGAGAUCGUGGCAUGGAAGCAAAGUUAGCAUGAGUUUAGCACUAAAGAGAAAAUUAUGUGUUCUUGGGAGGAAGAAGGGGUGUCCAGGUAAAUGGGAAAAGGUUUUGCAAGUAGAUUUGGCUAAGAGAGAAGGGAGAGAGAGAAGAGGGUGGCUAGAGUGCUUCUUCCGGCAGCUUGACAGUGACUCUGUCAAAUGUUAGAGCAAUCUGCCAUAAGAGGGAAAAUGGGGAAGAAGGAUGAACAGUGCACAAAAUUGCUAGGUUUUUGCAAGUAAGAGAGGAAGCUUGCUCUCUGGAUGUGGAUGAUCCGUUGGGUAGAAGAGGCCCCAUUUUAUAGCCGCUGGAAACUAUCAUUUCUCAAGAAACCCUAAUAGUUUCUACCCAAUUUGGUCAAGCUUUUCCCUUCCUUUCUCAUCUCCUCCCUUGACUUUUCCUAUCUUGGUGAAAUUUCCUCUGUCUAUUUGCACAAAAUCAGGAGCUCAAGGCCUCCCUUUCCCGCAACUGUUCAAUGGGAGACUCCAUUCUUAGCUAUUUUUCUUCUUCUUUCCUUCCUCCUUCCCUGACCAAAUCUGAUGAAGGAAAGCAAAUAGGUGCACACAUUGGUUUGAAGGGUGCUUCUCCUUCUAGCAGCUUACAUGCCAAUAUCCCUUGGGUCCUUGCAUGUUUUUUGCUUUGAAACUUGUUUCUUCCUUCCCGUCAACUCACGUGGUCUUCCAUGCUUCUUCAUGGCUUUAUCUUUCAGCCAAAAGAUGGAGUUUUUACUGCUUGCUACUUUUAAUUGUAUGGGUCUUCUAGGAUAGGAAGUCAACCUACCAAACAAAUGGGCCACCUUUAUCAAAUAUUGGGCUGUUGGGGUUAGUUUUAGUGGGCCAUUUUGACUGGGCUUUUUGGUUGGGUUAUUUAAGUUAUUUUCCCUUUUGUGCUCACCCAUGUAUUUAGGCCUAAGAAAUGGGCUUGGGCUCCGAGUCUCCCAAGCAACCCGGAACCUCCAUUUCUUGGCCCAUUAAUGGGCCUCAUGACAACCUAUUACCAUCCAUACCACAACCCACUCAAGCAAGCCCCGGGCAUUUGAAUGGCUUUGGCCCACUUUAGGCUUGUAGUGUGAUUGGGUGUGGCAUAACGAUUUCUCGCUUGGCAUGGCAUGUUGCUUGGCAUGUUUUUUCAUUACGAUGCUUGAUGGAUUUGUAGAGCUACCUAUUUUUAUGAUCUUAAUCUUGAUUCCUAGCAUGACAAAUUUAUUUAUUUGGCAUGGCAUGCGGAGCGUGACUUGUGCGUGGCGAGUUUUGUAUGCUCCAACUUGGGCCUUUCCUAAAUAAUGUAUCAUUUUGGGUUAUGAAUUCUUUCGGGCCCAACCGUGAAUUUUUUGGGUUUCAACAGUGUGUUUUUAGCUAAAUUUUAACUAAAAAAUAGGGAGCAUGAUUGUAGAUCAUCUUAUAUACCUUAAUUUGAAGAUUCUUUAUUUGGGUUUCUUUCAAGAUGAAAACCAUAUCCACAACUGGCAGACAUCUUUGGCUGUUCAUCACAAUUGAGAGACAAUGAAGAAGACAUAAGGGAGAGGCCGCCAAAUACUUAUCACCUCAGCCACCACCAACACCACAAGACCAAUAUGUGUAGGCCAGGGGGCUUUCCAAUUUUAAUAUAUAUAUAUGGAGUGAAAAAAAUAAAAUAAAGAUUAUUGCUCAUCCUCCAUGCACUUGCAUGCCCUCUUACAAAGUGUGAAGAAGAUUUUGUGUGCUUCAAGUCAUUGACUAGAGCUGAAACAUGGUUAGCUGGAUUUAUAAGAUCUUUUGUUUUCUGGGAAUUUUCAGAACCAAGGAAAAUCAAGUAAAAUUAAUAAAGCAAAAUGGAAAGGGAAAAGAUCUAGAGGAUGCAUUGUAGGAUUGCUCAUGCCAAUAAUUGUACCCUCUAAAUAUAUAGGGACAUAUUUUUUUUGUUUUCAUGACAUGUUGUCCUAAAAUAUUUGUUCCUAGCGGGCUCUCCACCCCCUCUCGAUUGAAAACCUAUUGUGUAAAUCUUCAAUCCUGAACGAUGCUCCUAAAACUCAAGUGUCCCAGGCCAAUUAUUGCUCUCAUACCACUUGUUGCAAUACACAUCCACUCAUUCUCAGGGAAAGAAACCCAUCGAUAUUAUCUCAAAUUUAACCACUUUAGUCUAUUAUGAUUAACUAUGUAUUUUAUGGAUCAAUGCAGUUGUGAGGUUUUAUACCCAAUUAGAUCGACCAAUACAGAGAUCACAUGUGGACUGAAAAGCGCCAUCGGUAGGGGAGUGUUUGGCACCCUUUACUGCCGAGUGCAACACAAGACCCCUUACCAGGAACUUAUCUACUAGGACACGUGAAGCCACCACAAGUAAUAUCAACAGUCCCACAUCGAAGUUUAACAUAACAUGUACACUCCCCAGGACUGAUAAAAGUGGGCACAAGUCCCAAAAAUGGGGGAACUUGGACUUUCAGCAAUUCAUCCAUUAUUAUGUCCAAAUUACUAUACACUCCGUACUUAUUCUUACUUAAGCAUUGGAGAGCCUUCGGCCGGUACCACACCAGUGCCUAAGGGCUUACCGAGCGUUCUCUAUCUUGCAUAUUGAUCGCUCUACUGAAGCCCAUAAAGAGUUAAAGGUCAAGACAUCACUAAGUUGAGCCCAAAAGUGCUGAACCACAUCAAAAAUAUGUAUAGAUUGAAAAAAUAAAAUAAAAAUCAAUCUAUUAUCAUAUAUAUUAUAAAAUAAAUAUUGGAUAAAUUACUCAAAUGGUCCUCAAACUUAUACUCGAUUUACAUUUUGGUCUCUCAAUUAAAUUAUUUGUUCAAAUGGUCCAUCAACUCUAUAUUAUUUCUGCAAAAUCUACAAAGUGGUGGGAGGCAGACCAACAAAAAAAAUUAGCGAAGGCUUAUAACUCUGGUAAAACAAGAGUUACUUGGAUAGAAUAAUGUUACGUCGUACUGAAGAUUUUUGGGUUUCUUUAAUUGGUUAAGUGAAGAUUCUUUAUUUGGGUUUCUUUCAAGAUGAAAGCCAUAUCCACAACCACAACCACAACUGGCAGACAAUCUUUGGCUGUUCAUCACAAUUGGGCGACAAUGAAGAAGACAGAAAUUGGAGUACUGUAUGUUAUCACCCACACCACAAGACCAAUAUAAGGAGGAUGGGGAGGCUGCGGAAUACUUAUCACCUUAGCCACCACCUACACCACAAGACCAAUAUGUUGUAGGCCAGGAGGCUUUCCAAUUUUAAAUUAGAUAAAUCGGAAACUGUUUCGAUAUCCAAUUGUAUUCUAUAAAAUCAAUGAACACGGUGCUUCAAGAAAGUAAUAAAAUUUCAAUAAUUCAAUUGAGUGGUCAAAUUCAAGUGAUUUUUUGUAGUGAUGAUCUUUGAAUGAGUAUCUAUAAAAGAGACGGUUUGGAUUAGUGAAAUACAAUAUGGAGUGGGCCCUACCAGCAAUCCACGACAAAAUGUCUGCAAGCUUUCGUAAUAUAAGGAGGAUGGGGAGGCUGCGCAAUACUUAUCACCUUAGCCACCACCUACACCACAAGACCAAUAUGUUGUAGGCCAGGAGGCUUUCCAAUUUUAAUAUAUAUAUAUAUAUAUAUAUAUAUAUAUAUAUAGGGAUGUGAUUUCUCUACUCCCCUUUUCUCUACUUAUACUCCCUUUUGCUUUUAAAUACUUUUUAAUCAAUUUUUUUUCCGCUUUCCUAUUAAUAUUCUACCAUUUCCCUACAUUAAUUUCUUUUUACUUCACUUUUAUAUUAGUUCUUUUUCUUUAUACUUAAUUUUUCAACUUGCACUCCAUUUUCAUUAUUUUUUUCCUAAUCGAGUAAGAAAUUAAGUUUUUUUUCCCCAUUUAAUACUGAAAAUGGAGUGUAAGUUAGAAAAUUAGGUAUAAAGAAAAAGAAAUAAUAUAAAAGUAAAGUAAAAAAGAAAUUAAUGUAGGGUAAAGGUAGAAUAGAAAAGAGAAUGAACAAAAUUGAUAAAUAAAUAAAAAAGGUUUAAAAAGCAAAAAGGAGUGUAAAUGGAGAAAAGGGGAAUGAGGAAAUCAGCUCCAUAUAUAUAUAGAUUGAAAAAAUUAAAAUUAAAAUCAAUCUAUUAUCAUAUAUAUUAUAAAAUAAAGAUUAUUGCUCCAAGGAAAUGACAUCUUUUGUUUUCUGGGAAUUUUCUGAACCAAGGAAAAUCAAAUAAAAUUAAUAAAGCAUAAAUUGGAAAGGGAAAAGAUCUAAAGGAUGCAUUGUAGGAUUGCUGAUGCCAAUAAUUGUACCCUCAAAUUAUACAUGGACAUAGGGGUGGGCAUUCAAAUAGGCAAACUAGAAAUCCGAGCUGAACCGCACCUAGGAAAACCGGAAAAAAAACCGAGUUGACCAAAAAGUCAACAACUGGUCAAAAAUCGAACCGGACCGAUUUGGACUGGUUUUGGAUUCAGUUUAUAUGCAAUGCUACAUUUUUAGUCUCAUAACUAAUAUUUAUCCAAGUUCAAUUUCAAAACAUCUUUCUUUUUUAGCUUUAAUAUUUAUUUUUAUAUGAAAUUAAAUAAUUUAUUAAUUUUCAAGUAAAUAAAAUAAAAUUUCAGUUGAAAUUUAUAUUAAAAAAAUAAUUUUAAUAAUCCAGUUCAAAACCAAACCGGACCAUCCAGCUGUGAGGUACAUUUCUCCCACAUGCCACAAUUGUAUAUUCACAAUUACGUCUGAUACAUCACAUCAUGCCACUUGCCUCAAAUGAAUUUAAGUGAGUGUGGCAGUGGAAAGUAAUUAAGCUCUAUAUUGGUGGGUGGACUGUUACUUCUGGGUUCCCCUCAUCAUUCGUCUAUAAAAUGGUGAAGGCAGUUGCUAUUGUUACCAUAAGAGCCAGCUCCGACUUCCUUUAAUUUCUUGCUUCAUAUCCACUAGCUACAUCUGUUACCAAGUUAAUUUCAGUCCUAAUGGGGUUUCAUCUCCCACUCAUCUUUGCUCUUCUCAGUGUAAGCUCUGCAAUUUGAUUAACUUUUCCAUUCUCUCUCAUUGUACUCUAUAUAAACGAAAGUUUUGUGUUCCUAUAAUUCUCUCCGAUUUUAUUUAGUACGUACUUAAGUGUCGUCCACUAAUUAAUUACACUUUGUGAUUUGAUUUUAAUUUGAGUUCGAAUUAAUGUUGCAGCUAGCAGCAGUGGCACUGGCAAACCAUGCUGCUCAACCAGCACCUCAACUUUACUGGAACUCCGUCCUGCCAAACACACAGAUGCCAAGAUCUAUCAGUGAACUUCUGCAUCCUGGUUUGUGUUGAGCUCUUUAGAAUCUUAGAUAUCUCUUCUACCUGCCAUUUUACUAAAAUAUGUUCCACCACAUAUUUAUCAGUUAACCACUGUUAUUACAUGAGUGACACAUAUUCACAAAUCGGCUGAUCACUUAUUUUCCAUUAUGACGUUGAUAUAUAAUUUGCAGACUCCACAAAUGAAGAAAAGAGCACAAAUGACGUUGGCAAACCUGAAACUUUCCCAUUGGGCAAUAAACAUUACUCCAGUCAAAAACAUUAUGGAAGAGGCAAACCUGAAACUUUCCCAUUGGGCAAUAAACAUUACUCCAGUCAAAGACAUUAUGGAAGAGGCAAACCUGAAACUUUCCCAUUGGGCAAUAAACAUUACUCCAGUCAAAGACAUUAUGGAAGAGGCAAACCUGAAACUUUCCCAUUGGGCAAUAAACAUUACUCCAGUCAAAAACAUUAUGGAAGAGGCAAACCUGAAACUUUCCCAUUGGGCAAUCAGCAUUACUCCAGUCAAAAAAAGUAUGGAAGAGGUGCUUCUCCAUCCGACAAUCAACCACCAAUUCCAUAGAAAUUCAAACACGGCUACUUUCUUGCCACGAGAAAGCGCUCAAUCGAUCCCCUUCUCCUCUAACAAACUACCAGAAAUUUUCAACCAUUUUUCAGUGAAGCCAACAUCUGAGGAAGCCAAAACAAUUAAGCAAACAAUCGAAGAGUGUGAAGCUCCAGACCUUAAGGGAGAGGAAAUAUAUUGCGCCACAUCUUUAGAAUCAAUGGUUGAUUUUAGCACUUCGAAGCUUGGAACAAGAAACGUUGAAGCAAUCUCGACGGAGGUAUUGGAAAAAGGAGCCACCAUGUCCAUCCAAAACUAUACAACAAUGCCGGGACUGAAGAAGUUGGCAGGUGACAAAGUCGUUGUGUGUCAUAAGCAGAACUAUCCCUAUGCUGUGUUUUUCUGCCAUGCAAUAAAACAUACAGCAGCUUAUGCUCUCUCCCUGAAAGGCGAUGAUGGGGAGAAGGUUAAAGCAGUAACCAUCUGCCAUCUAGACACAUCAGAAUGGGACCCAGAGCAUAUGUCCUUCAAAAUCGUCAACGUUAAGCCCGGAACCAUUCCCAUCUGCCAUUUCAUUUCCACUGAUGCUAUUGCCUGGGUUCCGAACCACAAAUCUGCAUGAUCAUCACUUAGCACUAGUACUGUGCGUAUAAUAUGCCUGUAUAAUUAUCUCCCUACUUAUUUCUGCCUGUUCAUCAUGUGGUGUAAGAUAUAUGUUGAGAUGAAGUUUUUGGGAUUAGUGGUCGAAAUUAACCCGAUCAUGUUUUCUCUUGUAACUAUAUAGACUUCAACUUGUACUCAUAAUAAAGCAUGCUAUAUUUAUGAAGAGAUAUUAAUCUUCAGGCAAAUAGAUAUUAUGAAAACAUAUAUAGCAAUUUAUCCAGAAGAAAUAUUAUGAAAUGAAAAGAAUAAAAAGUAAAAAAACAGAAGGAAAGGAAUUCGCACCUGCUAUGUAUGAAAGGACCAAGAUUGUUUUCCCUUUGGUUAAUGACUAGAAAAGCUCACUUGCAGAUUGCUUUCUCUGACCGUAGAUGCAACAGAAAUUUUCUCUUAAUAAUAGCACAAUGAUCGGGUAAUUGUAAGAACAAGUUGAUUUAAAAUUCCUUGACCCAAAAAAAAAAAAAAAAUCAUUUCAAAUUCAGGUCAACCCAUAGAUUUCUUGCCUUUUUCUUCUUCAUCACGUUGGGCUUGUCUUCUUCUUGAGGAUUGUAUAGGCCCAGGAAAUGCUUUGAGGUAGUUUUUGGCCUUGGAAGUUGGGACCCAACCCAACUUCACAAAAAGAAAACAGAUUUGCCAAAAAUCAAAUUUCAAGUCUCUCCUCAGAUCACUAAUACAGAUCAAAUUUUGGAUUUGAUGAACUAAAGUGGUUUUACUUUCUCUGUCAGUGUUUGAUGACUUAAUUUGUUAUUUACUUCUUUUUUUUUUUUUACUUGAUCUUUGUAGGGGUUUUUUUCUUCCGGUAACUUAAACGGGCUGGGCUGCCGUAAAGGGUAGAUUGAUGAAAUUGUCUCCUUUGUCUGAGUUCGAAAAUCAAGCCCCAAAAGCGCUUCGAAAGGGCAGUAGAGCCUUAGGAAGCGUUCUAGUCAUCUUCACCAACUAAAACAACAGCAACUUACAGAUGAUUUCUUAAGGCUUACAGAUAAAUUUUCUAGCUUGGCAUGAGAGGCUUGUGACAUGGAAGCAAAAUCAGCAUGAGUUUAGCACCAAAGAGGAAAAUAUGGCUUCCUAGGGAGAAAUGGGAGUGUUUAAGGUGAGGAAGAAGAGGUUUGCAGGCUGAUUUGGCUGAGGAGAGAGAAAGAAAGAACAAUGUUCUUCCAGUAGCUUGACAAAGCUUCUGACAGAUGUGAAAGUCGUCUGCCAUAAGAGGAAAAUGAAGAAGAAUGGUGAAUAGUGCAUGAAAUUGCUGGGUUUUUGCAGGUAAGAGAGAAAGCUUGCUCUCUGAAUUUGAGUUGGUUUUUGGUUGGGUAGAAGAGGCCCCCUUUUAUAGCUGCGGGAAACCAUCUUUUUUCAAGAAACCCUAAUGGUUUCUAUCCAUUUUGGCCAAGCUUUUCCCUUCAUUUCUCUUCUCCUCCCUUGACUUUUCCUAUCUUGGUGAAAUUUCCUCUGCCUAUUUGCACAAAAUUAGAGAUUUUGAGGAGCUCAAGACCCCUUUCCCGCAGCUGCCUCAGUGGAGAAUCCCCAUUUUCAGUCAUCUUUCUUCCUUCUUUUCUCCCAUCUUCCAAGGUUAGGUCUGAUGAGGGAAAGAAAUGGGUAUGCACACUGGUUUGAAGGGUAUUUUUGCUUGAAACUUGUUCUCUCCCAUGUGCUGGAGCUUCCCAGCAACUUACACACAUGGAUAUUUUGGCUUUCAUCGUGGCUUUUGUUUUCAGCUAGGUGCUGGAGAUUUCGCAGAUAUUUUCAUGAGUUGCUUGGGCCUUCUAGGACAAUAGGUUGGUUUAUCAAGUGAAUGGGCUAACUUCAUCAAUUGUUGGGCUAUUUUGGUUGAGUUAAUGGACUAUUUUGGUUGAAGUAAUGGGCUAUUUUGGUUGAAUUAAUGGGCUAUUUUUCUCUCUUUGUGCUCACCCACAUAUUUGGGCCUAAGAAAUGGGCUUGAGUUCCGGGGCUCCCAAGCAACCCCGGGACUUCCAUUUCUCGGCCCAUCAAUGGGCCUCAUAUCAACUUAUUACCAUCCAUAUCACAACCCACUCAAGCAAGCCCUGGGCAUCUUGCGUGGCUUGGGCCCACUUAAGCUUGUAGCGUGACGUGUUGCUUAUUUGCUUGGCAUGGCAUGUGUGCAAGCGCAUAUGACGAACUUUAGCGUGCCCAAAUUGGGUUUAUUCUCGGUAAGGUAUCGCAUUGGGCCGAGAAUUUAAUUGGGCAGAACUGUGGAUUUUUGGGCCUCAACAAUCUUAUAUAUAUUGGUUUUCUUUUUUUCCUUAAUAUUCACCACCUUUCUGUUGCAUAAGUAUUUCAGUCUUAACGGGUUUCCAUCUACCACUCAUCUUUGCUCUUUUAAGUGUAAGCUUUUUUUUUUUUUUUUUAAGCACAAGAUUAGAGGGGAGGGGGAUUUCUCAAUGUAAGCUUUGCAGUUUCAUAAUUAAUAUUUCCAAUAUCUCACUGUUAGUAAAAUAUGGAACAGGAAAAGUAUGAAUAAAAUACACACAUGUUUUAUUUAGCAAAAUUUUGACAAGAUACAACUGAAAAGUUUGGCCACUAUAUAAUAUUUUGAUAUAAUUUCUACACUUCUUCUCAAAAGAUUAGAUCACUUCACAUCUUGUGUAUGUGAAAACUAAUGUAAAAAGUUGAAACUUUAUCGUAAAACCUCGACAAAAAUGAGCUCUACUAGAAAAUGUUCAAUUUGGAUUCGUUGAUUUAAAUGGCAAUUUGACACUUGAUAGAAAUUUUUACAUACAUGUGUUAGUGUUUGAUCACUUCACAUGUUACUUACUAUAUUUAUUCCACUCAAGUUAGGUAAAUAUUAUUAUCAAACAUUUCAAUUAAUUUGUGAUUUUUUUAUUAUUUAAUCAAUUAUGAAUUAAUGGAUUCUUCUUGUUGUUUUGAAGACCAAUAAAAAAAAAAGGGUAAGGAUGGCUUAUAACUCUGAUAAAACAACAGUGACGUGGACAGCAGAUGUUACACCGUACUGAAGAUUUUUGAAGAUUCUUUAUUUGGGUUUCUUUCAAGAUGAAAACCAUAUUAUCCACAACCACAAUGAAGAAGACAGAAAAUGGAGUAAUUCAGAUGUUACCAGCCAUCCACGACAAACUGAAGUCUGCAAAGCAUUCGUAAUCUAAAGGGAGACUUUGGAAAAGCCCAAAGGAGAGAGAAAAUUUUUAAAAGAAGCAAAAAUGGACAAAAUUGCCCUUAUUUAUUUUUUGAUUUCCUAAGAAAUCCUUUACAUUUGCAUGUCUUUGGUUUGAAAGUUGAGAGGUUAUUCUGUCUUUUUUCAAAAAGCUUUGGCUUUUUCCAAAAGUGAAAGUUUUUUUAUGGGUAAAACCUAAAUUUACUUAAUCCCUAAAAAGGAUGGGGAGGCUGCGCAAUACUUAGCCACGUGUAGGCCAGGAGGCUUUCCAAUUUUAAUAUAUAUAUAAAUUGAAAAAAUAAAAUAAAAAUCAAUCUAUUAUCCUAUAUAAAAUAAAGAUUAUUGCUUCCAUGGGCAGUGCUAUGCACAGGACAGUGCCUGCCCAGCACAAAUUUUUUUUAAAUAAAAAAAAAAAAUCUACAUAUGUUAUAAGCUCAUCCAAAAAAAUAAAAUAAAAUAAAAGUAAAUUCUACAUAUAUGUUGCCCAUCUAGGUGGUUCCAUAUCUUCUCUCUCCUUCUCUUUUGGCUAUUAGACUUCUUGUUUCUCUCUCUCUCUUUGCUACCUCACAUCAGCAAGUUUCUCCCUCUCUUUUUUUGGGGUCAAAUUCUUCCUCUAUUGACAAAAUCUUCUAUUAUCUUGGGUGGGCAACUUGGCAACAACAUCUUCUCUUCUCCUUUUGUCAACAACAAGUAUUAUUCUCAUUCUCUCAUUUGCUAUAUAUCUUUAAUUAUAGUUUUAAUUUAAAAUUGAGUAUUCUAGGGUUUAAUUAGGGAUGAAUUAUAAUUUUAGAAUUUUGUUGAAAUUAAUUAAGGCUUCGAUUAGGGGUGAAUUAUUCUACUGCUUUGGUUUGGAAUUUUGUUAAAAUUGAGUAUUAUAGGGUUUAAUUAUGGAUGAAUUAUAAUUUUUGAUUUUGGUAUUAUUGAGAUGUUAUUAUGAGAAUUUGUUUCAUUUUUUUAUUGGUAUAUUUGAUUAAAAUUCUUUCUACAUAUUAUUCAUAGGCUAUCUUUUAUUAUGUCGGAUCACAAUCGGAAUCCCAAGAGAACAAAGAAUUUGAAUAGUGUUGUUUUGUAUUGCAUUGCAUUUACUUUUGGUUUUAGUUUUGCUUUUAGUGUAAAUUACUCAAAUGGUCCUCAAAUUUGUACCCGAUUUACAUUUUGGUCCAUAAACUAAAUUAUUCAUUCAAAUGGUGCACCAACUCUUUAUUAAUCAGUGCUUUGGUCCUACCGUUAUGUUUUCUAUUAAAUUUAGUCAUGUGAGCAGCACAUGCUACAUUUGUAGGGGUAAAUAAGACUUUUGACCACUUUAUCACCUAUGUAUCACCACUUUAUAACCUAUUUGGAGAACAUAGGUCAGUUAUGGACGGUUUUACAAUUAUAUUUGACGGCAACAUUAACAUAAUGUAACAGUGGGAUCAAUGGAGCGAUUAAUAUAGAGUUGAUGGACCGUUUGAACGAAUAAUUUAAUUGAGGGACCAAAACGUAAAUUGAGUAUAAGUUUGAGGACCAUUUGAGUAAUGUACCCUUCGCUUUUAUAUUUGUUGAACUUUUAUUUAUGGAUAGAUAUGCAUUUGAGGGUAAGACCCAUUAUGUUCCCCCUGACUUGGUGUAUCUUUUUAUGUUUAUUAAUGAAAUUCACUCGAACUGUUGAGUUUAGUAUGUAAGUUUUGCCUAACCGGCUUUUGAAUCCUAGAACCGCCACUGUUGCUCCAUCCUCCAUGCACUUGCAUGUGCUCUUACAAAGUGUGAAGUAGAUUUUGUGUGCUCCAAGUCAUUGACUAGAGCUGAAACAUGGUUAGCUAGAUUUAUAAGGACCCAUCUCUCUAUUUCCUAGACAUAUACCCAUCUCUCUAUAAAUCUAUAUGUAAAACUCAAUUUCAAACUUAAAUGACCAGUAAGAUAUAAGAGGUCAUAGUAUUCCUAUGUUUUUACAUCGUUGCCACCAGACUUCUUAUUUUAUUUAUAAUUUAUUUCAAGCAUUUCAUUAACUGCCAUAAUUGUAAUUAAUACUCCAUAUUAAUAGCAUAUCAAUCACCCCAUUUCUUUUGAUUGCCAUUCCCUCUAACAUAUCGCCCCUUAAAAUUGAAAACCAAAAAAAAAAAAAAUGUAAAUUACAUAUCCAAUAAUGUACCUAUGAAAAAUAUAAAUAUAAAUAUAUACGUAUAAAAAUAUAGGUUUAUUAUUUACCAAAUAAAAAAUAUAAAAAAACUAGGUCAGUUGCUUUGUAAUUGAAAUUUCUAUACAUUUUCCACAAAUUAAAAAUAGGUACACAAUAAUUUAUAGAAAAUAUAGGUGCAUUAUUUAUCCAUAGGUAAAAAUACCUAUAAAUGCACAUAGGUAAAUUAUUUACCCAUAUAUUAUUUUUUUGCUAAGGAUUUACCUUAGUUUUUAGUAGAUUAAUUUACCUACCUAGAGGCAUAGGUAGCUUAAAAAAAUUGUAGCACCUUAGUUGGUUGCAUACUAAUUUACCUACCUAGAGGCAUAGGUUGCUAAGAAAAAAUGUAGGUAAAUUCAUGUACCUAAACACAUAGGGGUCAAAUAGAGAAUAACAUGUUAUUUCCCUUCGAACAAAUUAAUUUCAAACCAUAACAAUAAUUGAAUUCGGAAAUUGGUAUAAAUAAAAGGAAAUAAAUAAGCUAUCAAUUUGAAAAUUAAAAUAAGAAAUGAUCAAGUAGUCAUAUUUGAAAAAAAAGAAAAGAAUAUAUUCUUGGUUUUUAUAGGAACAACGUGUAUAUUCAAACCAAAUGGCAGUAACUACACCAAGCUUUAAUUACUUUUUUUUAAGGCCAAAAGUCACUUUUGGUCUCUGUAGUUUGACACUUCUAUUACUUUUGACGCUGUAGUUUCAAUUCCGUCAAUUUUGCCAUUGUAGUUUCAUAUUUGUAGCAAUUCAAGGACAUGUUAAUAUUAAUGUCAAUUUGUUUAAUGAUGCAAGGGGUAAUUUCGUCAUCCCAAAAUCCUUGAGCAUAAAAGCUUGUCUGAAAUUCUCCCCAUUUCAUAUUAGGGCUCGAAAUUCAACCACUAAUCCCAAUUUUUGAAGAACCCUAUACCCAAAUGACCAAUUUCAAGCCCUAAUAACAAAUUAGGGAAGUUUUAGAUGAGCUUUUAUGCUCAAGGAUUUUGAGUUGAAGAAAUUGCCCCUUGCACUGUCAAAGAAAUUGAUAGGAAUACUGACUUGUCCUUGAAUUGCUACAAAUACAAAAAUACAGGGUCAAAAUUAACAGAAUUUAAACUAUAUGGUCAAAAGUGGUUAAAGUGCCAAACUACAAGGACCAAAAGUGACUUUUAGCCUUUUUGUUUAAAUAAGGAAAAAACUUACCUAUUAAAUCCUUGGAAUCUAUACAAAAUUGAAACACAGUUAAUCAGCAUUGAAUUGCAGCUAAUUUCUUAAACAAGGGUAUUAUAGGAAUUUAAAAAGUAUAACAUUUAAUCCAUUGAGCUUGAUUAGGAAUCUUGAUGAGUUGGAUCCUAGUUAUAUAGUUUCUCUUAUAAAAAUCGGGUUUUAUUUAUAGACAAAUAAAACAAUGGGUUGUAGGUAAGAAAAUAUUAAUUUGAAGGGAAAGUGUCACAUCCUGGGAUCGGCUCCGCCGUAGCACGAUAUUGUCCGCUUUGGGCCCCCCUCUCUGCCCGCACGGUUUUGUUUCUGGGAGCUCACGAGCAACUUCCCAGUGGGUCACCCAUCCUGGGAUUGCUCUGGCCCCCAACUCGCUUAACUUCGGAAUUCCUAUGACUCCGAAGCCAGUGAGCUCCCAAAAGGCCUCGUGCUAGAUGGAUGCGGGUGUGUACAUAUAAGACACAUCACCCCCUCUCCGUUGGUUGAUGUGGGAUCUUACAGAAAGAGUCAAAUUUACUAAAUUAAUAAAGCAUAAAUUGGAAAGGGAAAAGAUCUAGAGGAUGCAUUGUAGGAUUGCUCAUGCCAAUAAUUGCACCCUCUCGAUAUUGAAAAACCUAUUGUGUAUUAUUAUCUUCAAUCAUGAAUGAUGCACCUAAAACCCAAGUGUCCCAAGCCAACCAUUGCGCUCAUACCACUUGUUGCAGUACACAUUCACCCGUUUUUAAAGAAAGAAAUUCUACCAAUCGAUAUUGUCUCAAAUUUAAUCACAUAGGUCUAUUAUGGUUAACCAUAUGUACUUUUAUCGGCCAUAUAGAGGUACCUUUUUCCAACGUGCAACAAUUGUAUUUGAUUCACAAUUAUGUCUGAUAUACAUCACAUCAUGCCACUUGCCUCAAAUGAAUUUAAUUGAGUGAGGCAAUGGGAAGUAAUUAAGCUCUAUAUUGGUGGGUGGAGUGUUACUUCUGGAACCCUCAUCAUUCGUCCAUACAAGGGAACAAUUCCCUUCCUUCUAUAAAAUGGUGAAGCCAGUUGCUAUUGUUUGUUAGAGUUUUAGGAUCUGAGUGUUAGAUUUUGUGAGAAGAGAGAAGAGAAUUUAGUGAAAACUUCCAAUACUGCUCUGCUAUACGUGUAGCAGAGAGAACAUUCUGUUUUGUUAUAUAUUUUCAGUACAACAACACACACUUGGUGUGAGAAGAAAAAUGACUGUUAUGCACAGUACCAGCUGGAUGCUUUCCAUCAAAGUAAUCUCAGCCAUUCACUAUCUAACCAAUCAAGCUAUGACACCUGGACUAAGUAUAAAGAAAUACAACUAAGCAGAAAACAAGACUCUUAAUCCUGAAAUCAACUUAAGCACUUAUAAUUCAACACUCCCCUUUAAGUCUUGAGGUGAUUUCACUCCAAGCAUGCCUCUGAGAUAAUUGAAUCUGUCUUUGGCCAGAGGUUUGGUAAAAAUGUCAGCCAAUUGUUCAUUUGUAGGACAAUAUUCCAGAUUGAUUACCCCUUCUUGCAAUGCAUCCUUGAUGAAGUGAUACCUCCUGUCAAUAUGCUUUGUCUUCUGGUGGAAUACAGGGUUUUUAGUGAUUGCAAUUGCUGAGAUAUUAUCACAAUGCAAUGGAGUAGCUUCAGUUUGAAGCUCUCUAAAGUCUUCUAGCACAAAACGGAGCCAAAUAGCUUGAGUAGUAGCCUCAGCUGCACUGAUGUACUCAGCUUCUGCAGUAGACAGUGCAACACAGUUCUGUUUCACUGAGGCCCAAGAAAAUACUCCACUUCCAAAACUAAACGCAUACCCUGAUGUGCUCUUGCAAUCACCAACUGAUCCUCCCCAAUCACUGUCACAGUAACCAACUAGAAUUGAUCUUUUGCCUUUCACAUAUUCAAGACCAUAGUCCAGAGUUCCUUUGAUGUAUCUCAAAACCCUUUUAGCUGUUCCAUAGUGUCUAUUUGUAGGACAGUGCAUGAAUCUAGCUAGCAAGCUUGAGGCAUACAUGAUGUCUGGUCUUGUAGCAGUUAAGUACAGCAAGCUACCAACAAUGCUUCUGUAUUGUUCUUCAUUUGCAGCUCAACUCCCAUCAUCCUUAGCUAGUUUCUCAGUGGCAACAAGGGGUGUUGUCACAGGUUUGCACUCAGUCAAACCAAACUUGCUCAACAAGGUGCUAGCAUAUUUCUUUUGAUGUAGAAAUAUACUAGACUCAGUCUGAAUAACUCCCAUGCCAAGAAAGUGAUGAAGUAAGCCCAAAUCAGUCAUCUCAUACUUAGCCAUCAUGUCUUCUUUGAAUUCAGCCAACAAUGCUUGACUGCUCCCUGUAUACACAAUAUCGUCUACAUAGAUAGACACAAUUAGAAUCUCCUUAUCUCCCCUUACUUUGGUAUAUAAGGUUGUUUCACUUAAGCUUUUCACAAAACCACAUUGAGUGAAGUAGCUGUCUAUCUCUCCAUACCAAGCCCUUGGGGCUUGCUUCAGACCAUAAAGGGCUUUAUGCAAACGAUAAACCUUGUCUUCUUUACCUUUAAUUACAAAACCUUCAGGCUGACUGACAUAAACUUCCUCUUGCAGCACACCAUUAAGGAAAGCAGACUUCACAUCAAGCUGGAACAAUUUCCAAUCCUUUUGAGCAGCUAGAGCAAUAAGUGUUCUAAUGGUGUCCAAUCUGGCUAUAGGUGCAUAAGUCUCAUUAUAAUCCAGUCCAGGCUUCUGAGCAUACCCCUUAGCCACUAAUCUUGCUUUAUUCUUUUGCACUGAGCCAUCCAAAUUCAGCUUUGUCUUGUACACCCACUUAACUCCAAUCACUGGUUUUUCAGUUAGUCUAUCUACCAAUUCCCAUGUUUCAUUCUUUUCAAUCAUCUGCAGUUCAUCUUCCAUAGCCUUAAGCCAAGAUUCAUCCUGAGCAACAUCAGCAUAUUUUUCUGGUUCCAUGAUACACAAGUUACACUGAGCUAGAACAUCAUCUAGCCUUCUCCAUUUUAGAGGGGUGUGAUCAUAAGCUUGAGUUCUCCUUUCUUCACUGCUUAUAUCACCUGGAGUUGAUGAAAUGCUCUCUUGCAUAUCCAAAGUUUGAGGUGUACCAGUAGAAUUCUCAUUAGAACUGUCAGAUUUCAAGUCCAAAUCAACUUGGUUUUCAAUUGAGUAUGUUGUCAUAACUGAACCAUUUUUGUUUGUCCAAUGCCAAGCAUUUUCUUCAUCAAAUGUCACAUCCCUUGAUAGUAAAAGCUUGUUAGAAACAGGAUCAAAAACUCUAUAUCCUUUUUCACAAGUUGCAUAUCCCACAAACACUCCCUUUGUACUCUUAGGAUCCCGCUUGUGUCUCAAUUCAGUUGGCACAUGAACAUAACACAGAGAACCAAACACUUUCAGAUGUGCAAUUCCAGGCUUCCUUCCACUAUAUGCUUCGAAUGGAGUAAUGUUGUUGAGAGCUUUGGUAGGACAUCUGUUCAGCAAAUAGAUAGCUGUAUGCACAGCUUCUGCCCAUAGGAAAUAAGGCAUUCCCUUCUCAUGUAACAUUGAUUUUGCCAUCUCAAUGACAGUUCUAUUCUUCCUCUCAACUACUCCAUUCUGCUGAGGAGUAUAGGCCAUUGUAAGCUGCCUUUGAAUGCCAUUAGCUUCACAAAACUCCAAAAAAUCAGUAGACAUAAACUCUCCACCCCUGUCACUUCUUAUGCACUGAACCUUGUGUCCAGUUUGUAAUUCAGUCAUGGACUUGAACUUCUUGAAACAAAAGAAGGCUUUUGACUUGUUUCUCAAGAAGUAUACCCAAAUCAUUCUUGUGAAAUCAUCUAUAAUCAGCAUGAAAUAUCUGUUCCUUGCAACAGACUCAUUUCUCAUGGGACCACAGAGAUCCACAUGUAUUAGCACUAGUACUUUGCUUGCUCUUUGAGCUUGAUCUUUUGGAAAAACAUUUCUGUGCUGUUUUCCAAAUUGGCACCCGUCACACACACCACUUUGUUCUUCCAAUUUUGGUAAACCAUGUACCAUUUCUUUAUCACUUAGCUGCUUCAAUCCUCCAAAAUGCAGAUGACCAAAUCUCUUGUGCCAAAUCCAUGUGGAUUGAAGAAAACUAGUCUUCAUUAGUAACUGUUUUUCAGCUAGAAAAGAGACAGGAUAGCAUCUGUUACUCUUCAUUUGCACCUUUAUGAUGAGAUAAUCCAUGGAUGGGCUAUCAAAUACCCUGCACAUCCCUUCUCCAAACACUAGACAGUACCCAUGUUCAUCCAUCUGCCCAACACUUAGCAGAUUUUCUUUCAAUCCUGGCAGAUACAUUACUUCUCUGAUGUAUUUCCUGCCCUUUGCUGUAUCAAUACUCAGUGAGCCAAUACCAGCUACACUCACUAAUGCACCAGUUGGCAUUUGUACUCUCCCAGCUACAUUAGUUCUCACAUCAACCAGCAAAUCUAAAUUUCCUGUCAUAUGAUUGCUGCAGCCACUGUCAAUGUACCAUUCAUUGGUUUUGAUCUCAGUGGUUGAGCAAUUGGCAUAAAACAGGUUUCCUGUAACCUCCAUUUGAUUUACACAAUUAGCCUUCUGCACAUUUUUGCUCACUGUACAGUCUCUAGCAAGAUGUCCAACUCUGUCACAGUUAUAGCAUUUUGGUUUUCCCUUAUACCUGCACUCACCAAAAUGAUGCUUUGAACACACCUUGCAUUGAGGCUUUGUGUUUUCCUGAUUUGAGAACUGUGUUGAAGUGUGGUUCUGUGCAGAAUAAUUAUUCUGCUGUGUCUUGUCUUUUGCCUCCCAUGACUUCCCUUUAGAGUUCCAGCUUCUCUGUGACUUAGAUGAACCAGACUGAGAAGCAUUUUUGUUCUGACCCUUUGAAUUCACAGUGAAUGAGGCAAAUGCCUUCUCAGCUGUAUCAACACUAUGCAUUUCAAGCCUUUGCUCCCGACUCUUCAAAAUGGCAGUUACUUCCUGCAAAUCCACAGUUUCUAGUGUCUUUGUGUUUUCAAUCACAAUGCAUAUAGGGUCAUACUUCUUACUUAGACUAAUUAACACCUUCUGAACCUACCUCUCAUUUGACAGAACUUCACCAAAUGUUUUCAUUUGGUUAAUCAAUUCAGUUAGUCUAGUAAGAUAUUCAGAUAAGGUUUCACUAUCACGCAUCCUACUGUAUUCAAACUCACGUCUAAGGUUUUGAAGCUUUACCGAUCUAACAUGCUCUCCACCAUGAUAUUCUGAGUACAGCAGAUUCCAAGCCAUCUUUGCAGAGUCAGCAUUGGCAAUUCUGGGAAAAAUCUGAUCAGAAACAGCAUUUUGAAUGAUACCCAAGGCCUUCGCAUCCUUCAUGAGAAUCGCAGCUGUUUUCUCAUCAACUUCUUCUUCUGAACCAUCCUCAGAUUCCUGCUUCGUCUUUGAAUCUGGGAUUAAAAACCCCUUCUCUACCAAACCCCAUAAACCAUAUGAUCUGAAUAUGGUUACCAUCUUAAUCCUCCAAAAUUCAUAGUUCUCACCUGAGAAAAUGGGGAUUCUAGCCUCUGAACUUCCAGAUCCAGCCAUUACGAAUUUCAGAUUCGCCUGGAAACAAGAUGUUUUCAGAUUUGACCCUUGAUCGAGCUCAAUCAGCUUCGUGAGCUUAGAAUGAGCUCACCUCGAUCGAUUUUCUUCACAGAACAACGCCCAGCUUCAGAUAAUCAAACUUGGCUCUGAGGCCAUGUUAGAGUUUUAGGAUCUGAGUGUUAGAUAUUGUGAGAAGAGAGAAGAGAAUUUAGUGAAAAUUUCCAAUACUGCUCUGCUAUACGUGUAGCAGAGAGAACAUUCUCUUUUGCUAUAUAUUUUCAGUACAACAACACACACUUGGUGUGAGAAGAAAAAUGACUGUUAUGCACAGUACCAGCUGGAUGCUUUCCAUCAAAGUAAUCUCAGCCAUUCACUAUCUAACCAAUCAAGCUAUGACACCUGGACUAAGUAUAAAGAAAUACAACUAAGCAGAAAACAAGACUCUUAAUCCUGAAAUCAACUUAAGCACUUAUAAUUCAACAUUGUUACCAUAAGAGCCAGCUCCGACUUUCUUUAAUUUCAGUCCUAACGGGGUUUCAUCUUCCACUCAUCUUUGCUCUUCUCAGUGUAAGCUCUGCAAUUUGAUUAACUUUCCCAUUAUCUCUCACUGUACUCUAUAUAAAGGAAUAAGUGUCGUCCACUAAUUAAUUACACUUUGUGAGAUUUGAUUUUAAUUAGAGUUCGAAUUGAUGUUGCAGCUAGCAGCGGUGGCACUGGCAAACCAUGCUGCUCAACCAGCACCUCAACUUUACUGGAACUCCGUCCUGCCAAACACACAAAUGCCAAGAGCUAUCAGUGAACUUCUGCAUCCUGGUUUGUGUUGAAUAAAUAUAGUAUGUUACUGGAGUACGUAUGGCAACAUAUUCACAAAUGUGUCACGUAUUUUCCAAUAUGACGUUGAUAUAUAAUUGCAGACUCCACAAACGAAGAAAAGAGCACAAAUGUCAUGAAUGCUGUUGGGAAUGGAAAGCCAAUUGACCACAAGGGCAACCUGAAAAUACUGUACUACCACAGCUUGCACGACGCCCAUUUUCUUACAAGAGUGAUGAUCGUCCCACUGACAAUCAACUCCAUUAUAAAAACGUAGCUAUUUUCUUCUUGGAGAAGGACAUGCGCCCUGGCACAACAAUGAGCUUCCAAUUCCCUAGAAAUUCAAACACGGCUACUUUCCUGCCACCAGAAAGAGCUCAAUCGAUCCCCUUCUCCUCUAACAAACUACCAGAAAUUUUCAACCAUUUUUCAGUGAAGCCAACAUCUGUGGAAGCCAAAACAAUUAAGCAAACAAUCGAAGAGUGUGAGGCUCCAGGCAUUAAGGGAGAGGAAAUAUAUUGCGCCACAUCUUUAGAAUCAAUGGUUGAUUUUAGCACUUCGAAUUUUCGAACAAGAAACGUUCAAGCAAUCUCGACAGAGGUAUUGGAAAAAGGUGCCACCAUGUCCAUGCACAAGCAUACAACAAUGCCGGGACUGAAGAAGUUGGCAGGUGACAAAGUCGUUGUGUGUCAUAAGCAGAACUAUCCCUAUGCUGUGUUUUACUGCCAUGUAAUAAAACCAACAGCAGCUUAUGUUCUCUCCCUGAAAGGCGAUGAUGGGGUGAAGAUUAAAGCAGUAGCCAUCUGCCAUCUAGACACAUCAGAAUGGAACCCAAAGCAUUUGGCCUUCCAAAUCCUCAAAGUUAAGCCCGGAACAAUUCCCAUCUGCCAUUUCCUUCCCACUGAUCAUAGUGUCUGGGUUCCGAACCACAAAUCUGCAUGAUCAUCACUUAGCACUGUACGUAUAAUAAGCUUGCACCCCUGUAUAAUUAUCUCCCUACUCUACUUAUUUCUGCCUCUUCAUGUGGUGUAAGAUAUAUGAUGAGAUGAAGUUUUUGGGAUUAGUGGUCGGGUUGCCUUAAAAACACAGAUUACAGAAACUGCUUGAACUUAACCCGAUCAUGUUUUCUCUUGUACUCGUAAAGCAUGCUGUUGUGGUUCUACUUAAUUUCGUUCUCCCCAAUGUUUGAGUGUUUAAUUGUUACGUUGGAUAAUGCUUGUAGUUAGAGAAGCCUUCAUUUAUAUCAAAGUCCUCAACUUGUAAAGAUAUCAAUGGUCCUAGUGCUGCCACGUGUAAGAAGAUUGAAGAAUAAAGCUGUUGAGAUAUUGUUAGACCUGUUAUGCAGUUUAGGAAAACUGUUAGUAUUGAUAAGAGAAGGUUAGAGAUGUUAGAGAGGUUAGAAAACACGUGAACAAGGCUUUAACUCAGCUGAUAUAAAGUCUGUAGUUGUGCUCAGUUGAACUUAAUGAGAAAUACAACAAGUCUCUUCUCUAUCUCUGAAAUUCUCUCUGCUCUCUCUGCUUUACUUCUUUUGUCUCUGCUCUACAUUUUUUUUCAAUCUUCCUAUCUUAACAAAACUAUCAAGAAUUAAUGCAUCCAGAAACAUAUAUACCAAGACGCAAAACAACAUAUUUUUCAUGCUCUGUCUGUAACACCAAAGCAAACUUCCUUUAUCACAAAAGGAUCAAAUUCCAGUACUAAUCUAAUCCAUCAUGUAAAGCAUACAAUCUACAAGUGCCUCCCUUAAUUUGUCCAUUGGAUAUAUAUGUCACUUUUUGGUAAUUUGGUAUAGCAGCACCACGUAGUCUUGAAAUAGUAGUGCGGCUAUACCAAAUAUACCAUUUGCCCCUGCAUUUAACAGAAAAGUAAACAAAAUUGACGGUAGAACUAUUUGUCCUAACGAAACUGCAGUUGAAAGACCAUGAGAACGAUUUUGAAAAUUGAGGGACUCAAAUGAAAAUUGGGUCUAAGUUCAAGAACCAAUAAAACGAUUAACCCAUAGAUUUUGGAUCCAGUACCACAUCCCAAAGAGAAAACCACAAGUUUGCAAGCAAGUUUGUCCAUAAUAACACUACGUACAGUAUGGGCAGUGCGCUAGACUCAUCUCACUUUCUCAACCUAUCCUAUAGUUGUCUAAAAGAGUUUCUAAUUUAAUGUACUGAGAUUUACGAAAGAAAUAUCAGAGAAACAAUUUUCAGGCAAUAAAAAAAUGUCUUGGCAAGAAAAUGUACAAUUUGUUACAUAACUUAUUAAAUAUGAACAGUUGAAAGAAAAAAGAAUCUGGAUGAGGGAUUUGCAAAUUCCUAUGGCCCAAUUACCUUUUUUUCUUUGUUGUUUUUUUUUUUUUUUUUUUGGUUCUUUUGAUCCAGUAGCAUAUUCCAAAGAAUGAAAACCACAGGCAUGCAAUGCAAGCUCUUUUCCCACGUUUUCCUCUGUUUUUCUCCUAUCAUGGAAGUGAUUAAAACACACCUCUAAGCUUGUUUUGCGUUUGGUAGCCGAGUGUAAAAGCUCAAUGCAAGAUAGUUUGAGGUAGAAUUUUCUCCUAUUUUAUUAGGACAAUGAUAAUUAAAAAAAAGUGUGAUUCAUUGAAUAUUUGCGGGGUUUUGUUCAGACCUGACAAAGUUCUAAGUCAACACAUCAAAUUCCUUUUUCCAACAUGCAACAAUUGUAUUUGAUUCCCAAUUUUUUCUGAUAUACAUCACAUCAUGCCACUUGCAUCAAAUGAAUUUAAUUGAGUGAGGCAAUGGGAAGUAAUUAAGCUCUGUAUUCGUGGGUGGAGUGUUACUUCUGGAACCCUAAUAAUUCGUCCCUACAGGACUCUAGAACUCUCAAACUUCUUACAAGGACUACUUAACUCUAUAGCUUAAUGCAUAUAGCAUAUAUAUGCAAACACAAUUAGAAAUUCUACAACAGAAGCAAGAUCAAUCUCACUAUGCCUUCUAAACAAACAAACAAAUAAAACAAGCAUAUUAAUUGCUUUAAUCACUCUACUAACAUCAACACAGCACACUUAGUUUACUAACAGAUGAUAUAGAAAGGAAAAAAAAGGACCAAUAGGGAGAAAAUGGUGAACUAAGGAGAGACUAAUACUUCUGGUCCUUAGAAGGCAUAACAGAAAUAAUAGAGCACACUGCUUGAAUGCAAGUCAGUAUUAGGAGCAAAACAGCUGCAAUGAAAGAAAUAGUUGCCCAAGGUGUAUUGAAAUAAUGUUGCCUCAAAUUUGCCUUCCAUUUGUUCCAAGGCUUUCUGCAGUAGCUAUUAAGGCGCUCAGAAAGAAUAGCAAAGUAGAAGCUUUCACGAUACACUGCAAUUCCUUUUCCGAGGUUGUUAAUCAGAGUGCACACCUCAUUGUAGUCACCAAGCAUAUUUUUGACAAUCCCAUCCUUCAGAAGGAACUCCACAUCCUUUUCGGUGUUCACAAACUCAUCCAUGAGUGAAACAUAAUCACUUAUGUAAUUCUUACGGCAAUGGCACUAUUCAAAGGCAAUGAGGUUACGGAGUGUGAGCUCUGUGUAAUCGUGUAUUUUUAGUUUUGGAAUUUCUAGAAUCCCAUCGUUGAAUUGUGUUAACGCAGCUUUCCUUUCCUAGCCUACACGGAAGUCAACUUCACAAUCUCCUCCUAGCAAUUAGUCUUUCCUGCUGUAAAUCAGAUUUCCUACUGUAAAUCGGAUUGUAUUCAUGUCUAUAUUAUUUCCUACUUUAAGUAGAUAUCUUGUACUAGUAUAAAUAGGGACUUUGUGUAAUCUGUUAAAUACAAGGAAAUAUAUACUCUGCAUGGUAUCAGCCUAACCUAGGGUUCUCUCUCUCUCCCUUAUUCGAUCCUCUUCUCCUUUAGGUCCACCUCAUGGCUUUGUCUGAAUCCACCAUCUCCCUCCCAAGCCCCAACUCUUCUAUUUUAUCAAGCUUAUUGACUCCAACUAUCUUCUUUGGCUCCGCCAACUCAAACCCUUUUUAGUCGGCCAUGACCUCUGGAAAUUUAUCGAUGGCAUUCAUAAACAACCUUCUGCCCACACCUCCACCUCUACCACCGCAACACCCACAACCACCACCACUCUUACCCAAAUCAAUCAUGCCCAUGCUCAGUGGUACCAACAAGACCAACUCAUUGUUAGCUACAUCACCAAUACACUCUCUGAGUCCAUUCUCUUUCUCACUGUUGGUUGCACCUCUGCCCGGGAUCUCUGGGAGUGUCUCCAACGCCACUUCUCUCAAUCCAGUAUGGCCAGUGAAUCUACUCUUCGUUUUAAACUCAUGGAUUUGCAAAAAGGCUCUGAACCCACUUAUGCUUACAUUCGUCAUGCUAAGUCCUUUGCCGAUUCACUGGCUGCCAUCAAUGAACCUGUCUCCCCAAAAGAACUUGUCACUACUGUGCUUUGGGGUUUAAGACCCUAUUGCAACAUCCUCGUCACAGCAAUUCUCAAUUUCCCUCUGCUUCCUAACUUUGCUAAUCUUCGUGCUCGUUUGUUAGCAUUUGACGCACAGACUCCUUGAAUCUCUCCUGAUCAAAACACAGCGCAAAUGGCCACCCAAUCCUCUCCUCACACCACCGGUCAUACUUCCUUCCCUUCUCACCGUGGUGGUGGCUCUUCCAACAACAGGCGUGGUGGCCUCGGUGGCUGGCGCAAUAGCGGCCGGGGUGGCUGGCGCAGCUUCUCAUCUUCCUGGAGCAACCCGUGGAAUGGCUUCCAGCAGCUCCAAUGACCUAAUCAACCAUGGCCUCCUUUUGCUCCAAGUUCUGGAUCUCAAAGCAACUGGCCUUCCUUUCAGCCUCCUUGGGCCUAAUCUGCCGCUUCUAUCAAACACUUUGCCCGGCCCAACUCAGCUCCUGGUGUCUUGGGACCCGCUUGGUGCACUACCUGCAAUACCAAUCACAUACUACUACAAUAUGUCCUCAUCGCUACAAUGGCCCAGAAUCCUUUCUUUGCUAGGGCUCAAUUCAUGUAGCCACCUGACUCUACUUGGUACCCUGACACAAGUACCACUCAUCAUAUGAUUGGUAGUCCUUCUAAUCUCCAAAAUCAAUCCUUCUAAUCUCCAAAAUCAACAGCCAUAUCAGGUUCAUAAUUCUGUAUUUCUUGGUAAUGGAGAUUCUCUCCCUAUCUCUCAUACUAGCUCUCUCUUUUGUCUUCCAUCUCUUCGUACUAAUCUUCUUUUUGUUGCCCAUUUUACUUGUGAUAAUUUAGUUUUCUUUGUCUUUACUCUUGACUUUUAUCAAAUCUAUGACUUAUGUACUGGUUCGUUACUCUUUCAGGGCCCUUCUAAAGAUGGUCUUUACCCACUUUCCAUCUCCUCUCACUCAUCCAUAGUCCCCCAUGCCCUUACCACCGUGCACUCUCCUGCUUGGCAUCAUUGCCUUGGCCAUCCAUUCCAUCGUGUGCUCUCUCAUUUAGCGCCAUCUCUAGGCUUUAAAGUUUCUCAUGCUUUCUGUAAGGAUUGUGCACUUAGCAAAUCCACCAAACUGUCAUUUCUUAGUAAUAAAACCUUUGCCCCAUCUCCCUUUUAUUUAAUUCACUCUGAUGUAUGGAUGUCCUCGGUCAUUUCUGUCACUGGUUAUCGCUAUUAUGUCUUGUUUACAGAUGACUUUUCUCGUUACUCCUGGAUCUAUCAUAUGCACCGUAAAAAUGAGGUCUUUUCUCACUUUCAAACCUUUCUUGCUAUGGUUAAAAAUCAAUUUCACACCACUGUACAAAUUCUUUAAAGUGACAAUGGCACUGAAUAUGUUAAUAAUGCUUUCUCUGAUCUUUGCAGUCAACUAGGCAUCCACCAACGUUUCACAUGUCCCCACACUCCCCAACAAAAUGGCCUAGCUGAACAUAAACACAGACACAUUGCCACCAUGAUCUGUCCCCGGUCAUUUAUUCAACCAUCUUGACCUUUUGCUUGAUCAUUUUCCACAAGCAACCGUCCACGUACCCCAAUAAUUUAAAAGGGCUGAUGAUCUUUAAUUUGGUGAAAGCUUCUAUCUACCUACCGUGCUAUAUAUGAGCUAUGCAAUCGUGACCGUGUUACAUGACGUCCCAAUGUCGUAGGGAUAAAAAAAUAAUAGUCAUGGUUUUCUUAUUAAUGUCAAUACAUUCAUAGCAAAGAGCUUGUAGCUCUAGUGGUUAAGAGCAAUUACCCAUGCACUUGAGAUAUUUUGUGUUUAAAUCCCCUCUUCCCCAAUAUUUCUUGUAUAAAAAUAAAAAUAACAAUAAUAAUGACAUUAAUGUUGUAUUCUAUAAAGUGUUGGACAUGUUUUAUACCCCUUUCUUGCAAAUUACAGUUUGCCACGUGUACAAAAAUAAUAGAUAAGUGUUGGACAUCAAGAGCACUUACAUAUAGGUUUAAUAGGUAAGUUUUGAAUAUUUCUGUAUUUAGCUUUAAAUAUUGAAAAUCAACCUAUUAGCAUAUUAAAGAUUUGUCCAUAUUCGACGUACAUUCUCUUAUUUUUCUCUCAUUGAAGUAAAUACAAAACUAAGCACAUAGUGGGAAAGUGCGUCACGAUUAGGGGUGGGUUUAGUCUAGGUUGGUUCAUUUUUGGGCUCAAUUUGAACACCGAACUGUAAGCUUCGGUUUGGCUAUUUUGGAAACCGAAACCAAACCAUAAUUGAUGAAAACCGACCACUUCGAUUACCUUCUGGUCUUCCAACCAGAAGAAAACUCAAAACUUUAACCAUACCAAGUGCAACAGAAUUACACCAGGCUGGAUUCAAGUUUAUGAUGGUUAAAGAUAAAAACUUAUUUGACAUACAAUUUGAGAAUGGAAUCCUCAAAAUUCCACACCUGCGAAUACGGGGUUUAACAGAAAUUUUCUUCCGCAAUCUUAUUGCCUAUGAGCAGUGUGAGCUUCAUGAUCAUUACAUCAACGACUAUGUCUUCAUCAUGGACCGCCUGGUCGACAGUGCCAGGGAUGUGGAAUUGCUUGUGAAGAGUGGAAUUCUUGAAUCUAUGCUACCGGACAGCGAGGCAGCAGGGGAAUUUAUUAAUUCUCUUGACUUGGGGCCUAUUUUAGGCAAGCUUGAAACAAGACUAUUUCAGUUCACCAUGGGCUGGCCUGUCUAUUAUUGUAGCCGCUAUACUAGUUGUGCUCACAUUUAUUCAAACAGUGUGCUCCGUAAUGGCGCUGUAGGUUCUUCAUUUCCUCAAUUUCAUGUUUAGUGGUUGCAGAUUUGUUGCUCAUGUACGUGUUUAUCUAAAGUUAAAUAAGAGUGAUUGACUGGAUUGACUGUUAGUCUGUUAGUUUGUUUUUCUGGGGUUUUUCCCCCCUGUUCGUCAAAAAAAAAAAUAAAAGAGUGAUGGCUUGUGCCUAUGAAAAUUACUUAGGAGUAUGCUCCACAGAGCCAAAAUAAAUAAACUAGGGAAGUGGAGGUUCUUCUGUUUGUAUAUAAAUGAGCAAUUCAAACUCUCAGUGCCAAGGGAGUUACCCUUGAUACAUUUGUUAAAAAUUAUAUAUUUGGUCUUACAUCAAACAAAUAAUUUGAAGGGCUUUUUUGACAACUGCUGACAGCGUUUGGCAGAAAAGUUUAGAAGCGCUUCUACGCUUCUAGAUCAUAAAAGUGCUUUACCAAAAAGCACUUAGAUUUCUUAUGAAAAUUUCAACAUUUUUAUAAUAAAAGCGCUUGCUAGAAGCACUUAUAAGCAGAAGUGCUUCAUAGAGAAGCAGUCCCAAACGAGCUUGAUUUUCAAAUGUGCUGCUUAAGAAGAAAUUUAAUACGUUUUGAAAACAAAAAAAAAUACGAAAUUUAAUACGUUUGUUUUACAAAUUGUAUUAAUUGUUAUCAAUAAUACUUGUGCACACCCACAACAUACUUCUUUCUUUCUUUAUUUUCCUUCAGUACAGUUCUGCCUUUCUUUAAUUAUUUUUAACGAAUGCAAAGAGUUUGUCACAAAAUCAAGGAUUGAAAAAAAAAGAGAGUAAAUUAUGUGCUAGAGAAACUUUCCUGCAGAAAUUGAAGAACAACUCUAGUUUCUCUCUUUCGCCUUGUACUCCCGCACUGAGGUUAGUAUUGUUAUAAUGUGCAGAUUAUACGGUCACUCUUGUAUAAUGGCGAGAAGGCUCUAAUUAUAUUUUUGAACCUCUUUGACAGGACCCGCCCCGAAUUUCCCGAAACCCAAGACGAAUUCUGUGGAAAUUCCCUACAUCACCCCGAUGUUGGGCCCACUUCUAAAACUAUAUCAUUUUUCCUAAAAAGGAAUAAGGGCACGAGACUUUCUACCGAAAUUUCGGCAGAGUCUCUCCUGUAAAUUGAACAUUUCCCAAAAUUUCAACCUGCAUAAAACACAUUUUAUAUUACCCAACUGGCAGCAUGCACAAAAUAAUAACAUGCAAUUCACAUAAACGGCCUCUGGCCCUCCGGUAAUUCAGAGCAAUGCAAACUAGCAACUCUAAACCUAAUAAAACAACAUAAGUAACAUUUAGCCAGCGGCUGCACCCAGGCACUACCCUAGGCUACCUACGUACCCUUACUAAGGGAUCAAGCCACACGUAGUUCUUUCAUACAAAAUUUCCAAAUCCAUCAACAUGCAAUCAAUUACAGAAUCCCAAACAAAAUCUUUCUCAAACAUCAUUAGUUCCCAACUCAGUAUAAUAAUCCUUAAUUCAUCUCUGUAAUAAUCACAAUAUCUCCCCAUACGCCGGAACUACCAACACCACGUAUGGAGCCUGCCUGUACGCCAGAUAACCAACGACACGUGGGACCUCAUCAUCAUAUCACAUAAUCUCCCCAUACGCCGAAACUACCAACACCACGUAUGGGGUCUGUCAACACGCCGGAUAACCUACGACGUGUGACCUCAACAUCAAAUCACAAUAUCUCCCCAUACACCGGAACUACCUACGCCACGUAUGGGGUCUGUCCACAUGCCGGAUAACCUACGACACGUGGGACCUCAUCAUCAUAUCACAUAAUAUAUUAACGAUCAAGAAAUAUCACUACGGUCAUUUAAUCCUCCUGGGAAGGUAAAACUAUCUCAGGAGACUCACGGUCAACCAAGGGUCAAACUACCUCAUACUUGGACAAACGAGCCCACGGAGCCCACAACCUCCGUUUUACUAUCCAAGAGUUCCUAUAGGUUCUACAAGGUUUAGGAUACACGGCUUGCAAGUUUGGUCAAGAUCAGACGGUCGGAUCGCUCACGAUAGGACGGUUACUGCAAACCUAGCCCUAGGGUUGGCAUUUUCGGAGUAUCCGAAACUCCGUUUUACGAUCUGUCGAAUCAUAGACGAUCCUAAGGAUUUGCAGACUAACUAUAAUAAAUUCAAGACCAUCCAACGGUCUAAACCUAUCGAACCCGGAUAACGCGCAAUAGGCAAUAUCCAAAUUGAAAUCCGAGCACACCUACGCACUCGUGAGGACUAGGAGAUUACAUCGGGACAUAGUGCCCUUUUUCUACAGUGCCCAUGAGCCGCCGCACGCACCAGCAACGCGUGGGUGCCCAAAGCGAUUAUGCAUCGCCAAAAAAUCUCAAAACCACGGCUCAAGACUCCUACCCUAGGUAUAACACCCUAUUUGGAACCACUUUUGUUCUUGGACCUACCCCAAAAACUGAUCAGAAGUGGCCGGAAUGGCUGAAAUGUAAUUCAAAAAUCAAGCUACCAACGCUCAAAAUCGAUGCAAUCCUACCCAACCAUCAACUAGAUUAUGAAGAAUGGAUAAAUUUCCAUACCUUGAUCGCCAACAAUGGCGGCCGGAGGAGAGAGAUCUGAUCCGGCGAAGUUCGAGUGAAAACGGCCAAAAAUCAUCUUUUUCAGGCGGCUGGAGGGCGACCGAUGUCAGGGAAGGGCAGGGUCGUGACGCUAAGGCUGAGCCUGUCCUUUUGGCACCGGUCCCUUCCGCAGCCGUGUCCGGUGGCUGGAGUUUCGAAGAGAGAGAGAGAGAGAGAGAGAGAGAGAGAGAGAGAAAUCUGAUUUUUAUCAAACCUUUUUGCCAAAAUUACGGUUAUGCCACUGAGGGUAUUUUGAUAGUAUCUCUCUCGUUACAACUUCGAUUCGAGCCCACCACGUGUGUACGGACUCAUCUAACUGUGUUGUACGCAACGGUAUAGUCGAAAUUCCCAAAUUAUUUCCUUGUCAAAAAGUCAACUUUAAACAUUAUAAAAUAUUUUAGGGAAAAAAUGGUAUUUUCUCUCAAUAAAUUAGUAACUAAUUUAUUUAGGACUGGGUCAUUAUACUCUUUUUCGCUUCAAUGGAUGGGAAAAAAUUUUAUGUAAUAUCCCACAUCGACCAACGAAGAGGGGGCGAUGUGUCUUAUAUGUACAUGCCCGCCUCCAUCUAGCAUAAGGCCUUUUGGAAGCUCACUGGCUUCAGAGUCAUGGGAACUCCGAAGUUAAGCGAGUUGGGGGCUAGAGCAAUCCCAGGAUGAGUAACCCACUGGGAAGUUGCUCGUGAGCUUCGAGAAACAAAACCGUGAGGGCAGAGAGAGGGGCCCAAAGCGGACAAUAAGGCCUCGUGCUAGAUGGAGGCGGGCAUGUACAUAUAAGGCACAUCACUCUCUCUCCGUUGGUCGAUGUGGAAUGUUAGAAUGGAAUUGUUACCUUUGGUGUGGAGGUGUUCUAUCAUUUGAGCAAGAAAUUCCCACAUAUUCUUCAACUAUUUUUCAAGCAUGCAUAUUCCUCCCUAUCAAUCUUUGGUUUCUUCCUUUACUGUGCAUAGUAAGGAUCCAGUCAGGGACGGACCGUCGCUAUGACUAUCCUGGGCUAUAGCCCAGGCAAAUUAUUUUUUUUUCUAGUCUAAAAUAGCAAUCCCACCGCUUGCUGUAGUACUUGUUCAGUUCGUCACAAACAUGAGCAUAAUAGAAGUUAUCAACAUCUAUAUAGGAACCCCAAUGAAAAGGCUGUUAACUAAUAAUGAAGUUAACCCGUCAAUUUUUCCGCAUAUCAGAUAUCUCUCAGAAUAUGCGAUUCCAUAUUCAAUAAGCCACUCCACAUGCCCUGAGGUUUUCAUCAAACCACCCAUUAAGGAAACAUACUGACUCAUGUAAUUAUCAUUACUCAUCGGGUAAUGCAAUUGUUCAAAGGCAAGGACAUUUCUCAUUAUUUAUGUAGCGAACCCCAAUGGAAAUGGUGGGAUCUUCAGAACCCCAUCGGUGCUACUGAAUUGUAUGUCAAAUAUGUUUUCACCUUGUCACGCCUCAAACUUGACUCCAGCGUGCUGUAAUUCUGUCAAGCUGGGUAUGGAUGAUGGGAGUUUGAUGCAGGAGCAUAGGGGUGGAUCAAGAUAGAUAUUUACUAUUUAAUUAGUUAUUUCAUGAUAUAUUGUUAUUUUCUUAUUUAGGUAGUUUUAUGAUAUCUUUUAUUAUUUAUGUGUGAUUUUAUAAUUAAUUAGUAUACUUUUGGACCAAGUAGCCUUGGUGCUCAAGUCUUGUAAAGCCUAUAAAUAAGGCUAAUGUAAUAGUUGUAGAAUAGAUGUCGAUGAUUAAUAAAAUCGUUUAUUUGUGGCAUGGAUUUGCUACGAUAUAUGUGAGUUUGCACUAGCCCUAGAUUUCAGUGCUCGUGUAUGUGGUUGGUGACCUGUGUCCGGAUCCCGAUCCCCAUCAAUUGGUAUCAGAGCUAUGGCUCAAGAUCUGCUAUAUCGGGGAGGUUUUUGGAUGGAGGGUCGUUUUAACAACUACAACGACAUGGAGGAAAUUAGGAGGAUGCUACGGCAACUUAUGGAACACAUUGCUCGCAUUGAAGCUCGAACCCAGAUAGGUAAGAGUUCUGACGGGGAGGGAUGUGUGAACCCUUAUCUGAACCGAGUAGCUCGCAUCGACACUCUAAGCCGUGAGAGUCUCGACGGGGAGUACGAGGGAGAUAGCCCUUUUCAUUAUUGUGCUCCGCUGUGUGAGUCAAGUGAAGAGGGGCACGGUUAUUCUCAUUGUGUCUUUGAAGGUAUAAAUGAAUUUAGUAAUUUUGGUGCAUCUUGUUAUUCAUCAAAGUUAUUAAAUUUGGAUUUACCUCCAUUAUUUGAUCCUUGCAAUUGUGAAAAUUGCAAUAAAAAUUGUUUGGGUGUUCAAAGCAAUUUUGAUAAGCAAUUUAUUGACCAGAACAGUGAAGAGAUGAGAAUUGAGAAAACUUUCGAAGAUAUUAUUGAUUUUAUGGGCAUUAAUAUUUUCACUUGGAAGGUUGCCAAAAAUCUGGUUGAUUUUGUCAAUCGGUUGAAGAUUCUAGAGAGAAACAUUUGCAUUGCUAGAGGGAGUAAGAAGUCAAGAAUAACGAAAUAUUCCAAAUAUCUUUUUAUUUGGAAAGGAAGGUUUCAAUUGGAUGCUAAAAGAUCCAAAAUUAAUAUGCAGCAAUUGAAGAUUCUACUCGGAUUUUCCUUAAUCAAAGGCUUGAAUUCGAGGACGAAUUCUUUCCAACUAUGGGAGUCUGAUGCAGGAGCAUAGGGGUGGAUCAAGAUAGAUAUUUACUAUUUAAUUUGUUAUUUCAUGAUAUAUUGUUAUUUUCUUAUUUAGGUAGUUUUAUGAUAUCUUUUAUUAUUUAUGUGUGAUUUUAUAAUUAAUUAGUUUACUUUUGGACCAAGUAGCCUUGGUGCUCAAGUCUUGUAAAGCCUAUAAAUAAGGCUAAUGUAAUAGUUGUAGAAUAGAUGUCGAUGAUUAAUAAAAUCGUUUAUUUGUGGCAUGGAUUUGCUACAAUAUAUGUGAGUUUGCACUAACCCUUGAUUUCGGUGCUCGUGUAUGUGGUUGGUGACCUGUGUCCGGAUCCCGAUCCCCAUCAGAGUUCCCCUCCAGCUUUUGAUUCCAACGGUUGAUAGAGUUUAAAUAUUUUCCUGAAAAGAUCAAUAAUAUGUGCCACUGAUCUAAAAGUCUCCAAAUUGUCUUCCAAUUUGUCAACAGGCAAUAGAUGUUCGAAGAAACUGAAAGAAAUACAAAUUAUUGAAAGCCCCUCAGUAAUGCUGUUAUUGUCAGCAUUAGCAGGGAGUGUAAUUUUCUGUGGGUCGAAAAGAUCCUCGAGAAUGAAGAAUGGCAACUGAUUUUCAAGCAACCACGUAUCUGUCCAUGCAUCUUGCAACAUACCUGGUUUGUCAAAUAUGCGGUCAUUUUCGUCCCAAAAUUUGAAGUAGUCCUUCAAUAAGGGCUCAAUAACGAAGGCGGCGCCCACUAGAAUGAUUGUUACAAAUUCAUCACUGCUAAACUUGAUGGGUUCUCCAUAACAACGUCUCAAUCUUGCUUCGUGGUCCUUUAUUUUCUUAAUAUAAUCCUCCAAACUCACAUUGGUCCGACCUAUAAAAUCUUGCAGGUAUCUCUGUUUGUUCUCUUCCAAUACGACAUUCAAGCCUUCCUUUCCAUGGUGAAGUGGACCUAUAGAGACCGACUGCCUGAGGUGUGCAGAGCUUUUCAUUCACACAUACGUAGAUAAAAUGUCUGGGGGCUCAGAGAGUGAUGAAUGUGCAACAGCUAAUGGGAGGGUUUAUAUUCCUGAAGUAAGAAAUGAGGAAACACCAGCAGUUGGGAUGAAGUUUGACUCGCUUGACCUCGUUUACAAUUUCUAUAAUAGAUAUGCAUUCUUGGCUGGCUUUGGUAUUCGACUUCAUUCUAGCUUUUGGGGGAAAAAUAAGAAAGAGAUUUUGAGGAAAGAAUUUGUAUGUUGCAAACAAGGUGCAUACAAGAAGGAUGAAACUCGGGAGAGAAAAAGACAACGGGGAAUAAGUAGAUGCAAUUGCAAAGCAAAGAUUGUGGUUGUGAAGACAAAUGGGAGCAAGAAGUAUACCAUUUCUCUUUUUGCAGAGGGACACAAUCAUAAGAUGACACCCUCAGAAAGAAUGCAUUUAUUGAGAUCACACCGUCAUAUUUCAGAUUCUACAAAAGUACUCACAAAACAGUUGGGUUCAGUUAAUAUUCCCAUUCAUCAGAAGGUAAGUAUAUUCGAGGUGCAAUCCGGAGGAAUGGAUAAAAUCGGUUUUAUCAAAAAAGAUAUCUACAAUCUUGAAUGUAGUGUGAAUGGGAAGCUGAGGAACCACGAUGUUGAACUAGUGACCGAGUAUUUUAUGGCUGAACAGAAAAAAAAUGAGGCUUUUUAUUUCAAGAUUGAGGGAGAUGGGCAUGACAGGUUUAGUCGAUGUUUUUGGGCAGAUGCAACUUCUAGACGGGCGUAUGGGUUUUAUGGAGAUGUUGUUGUAUUCGAUACCACAUUCAACACGAAUCGAUACGACUUGACAUUUGCACCAAUGUUGGGAGUUAAUAACCAUGGUCAGACAAUUGUCUUAGCAUGCGCAUUUUUGAGCAAGGAAACGACUGAGUCGUUUGUUUGGAUGUUUGAGGAGUUUAAGAAAGCCAUGCCAGGUGGGGAACCUAAAACGAUCAUUACAGAUCAAGAUGCGGCAAUGGCCAUAGCGAUUUCAAUAGCCUUCCCGAGUACAUUUCAUCGACUUUGCAUAUGGCACAUCACAUCAAAGUUCUCUGUUAAGUUACCACGUGACGCUUAUAAGGAGUAUUGGCCUGAAUUUCAGAAAGCCAUAUGGGAUACUGACAAUAAGGAUGAGUUUGAUGCAAAAUGGAAUAUUGUGGUUAUAAAGGCUGGUUUGACUGACCAUCCAUGGCUAAGUUCAAUGUUUGAUUUAAGGGAAUCUUGGGUUCCAGCCUACGCACGACAAUUUUUUGCCGCUGGAAUGUCAAGCAGCCAAAGAGCGGAAGGUUCUCAUGGUUUUUUCAAGCAAUACAUAUCAAGGAGAAAUUCGUUGAUGGAUUUCAUAAUACGAUUUGAGAGGGCAUUUUCUCAUCAACGUGAAAAAGAGUUAGUUGCUGAUCACGUAGAUGCAUUUGAAGUGGCUCAAUGUCUUCUACCGAUGCCAAUGAACAAACAAAUGGCUACCUUGUACACAAGGACAAUGUUUCAAAAGUUUGAGCAAGAACUAAUACAAAGUACAGCAUGUUUCCUAGAGCUCAAAACAGAGGAUGCAUGUAAAGUUGUGUUCAACGUGAGCGAAAGGAAAAAUUGGGAAACAAGAGUGGCAGAAGUCGUAUAUGUCAAAGAUUCUGACCACGCAUCGUGUAGCUGCAAAAGAUUUGAAUUUGUUGGAAUUAUUUGCAAGCACAUCCUAGCAUUGUUCAGAAGGGACCAGAUUGAAUAUAUGCCCGAUAAAUAUAUUUUGAAGAGGUGGAAGAAAACUGCGAAAUGUGGAUUGGUGUCAGAUGCAAAUGGCAACGAAAUUAAAGACUGUGCAGAUCCUGGCCUUCUAAUAAAGCGGAGUACAAUGUCUCGACUUGCUUCAAAUGUGGUUGAGGAUGCAUUAAUGAGUGAAGAAGGAUGUGAGCUACUGUCAGAGACUCUAAAAAGUUUGCAGGUGAAGUUGAAGUUGCUGAAGGAUGGACCAAGUAAUAACGAAGUUGGAGGGUCCAGCUCUCAAACACAAUAUAUGAAAGACCCUAAGAGAGUGAGGUGCAAAGGAAGGUCGAAAGGAAUAACGGGAGCAAAGGAAAAGGCAAUGAAGCGAGGGAUUAGACACUGUCGGGAGUGUGGACACAUUGGUCAUGAUAGAAGACAAUGCCCAGCCUUGAACACACCGUAAGAUGCUACCACUAUUUGUAAUAAUAUCUAAAAUAUGAAAAGGUAAAAUUUUUAUGUGCUUGUGUUUGAUGUUUAUGCAGGACAUCACCGUCGAACAAUGACAAAUCAACUCCAAUACAUCGUAGUGACCCAUUAUUCGACGAUUUUGACAAGAUGCACAGACCAACUGAAUGAUUGAUAUUUGUAUUAGACGAAAUGUGGUUGUUAUGAAGAUUAAUGAUCAAGUGAAGUUUUAUAGAUUCAGUUUUUGAAUGUUAUUGUGUUUUUGUUCAUGUCCACCGAUGAGCUCUUACUAUGUCCACUGGUAAUUGAAAUGAAAAUUUUCUUGGUUUCAUUCUUCCAAGACAUUUGGAGACAUGUUAAUUUUACGUCUUCUCCCUAUUUAUAAAUUUUCAUAGACAUUUGAUCAAGUUUGAAAUUUGUAGUUAUGUGAAGAAGCAAUGACUCUUACCAUGUAAAAUGGGCAGUUUAGGGUGAAAUUUGUUUUAACAGAGAUUCAUUUUUCAAUUCCUCAGGGUAAUGCAGCAAUUACAGCAGCCAGCUGUUGUUUCCAUUACCAGUAAUCAUUUCCAGCAGCAGCCACUUUUUCCGACUGGUUAUUAGGGGCACGAUUUUGUACACUUUUGUAAGUGAAGGAUACUCGAAGCACUUUGUUGGAACAGAGCAAAUAGAAACCAGCGGGUAAAAAAAAAACAUAACAUUGCAGCUAAUUACAUUUCGAUACAUAGGUGAAAAAUAUUAAAGGGUACACUAACUUACAUAAAUACUCAUAAUUCCACACACAAAAGAACAUUUGAUUGCAAAACAUAUUAUGUGCUUCCUCAUAGCAAUACCACGAUCUCCCCAACCAACUGAACAACGGUAGCCACAAUCACUGGGUCGUACUCGUCAGCUUCUUCUUAGCAGGUCUCACAUGCUUAUGGCCACUCAUAUCCCUAGUGAUAUACACGAAAUAAAUCUUCAGCAAUAUUUGGAAUUUUAUUAUAUAUAAAUAAACCAUAAACCAUUCAGUAAACAAUGUAUAGCACAUGUUAUGUAACUUAUGACUCACGUGUCAGUUUUUUUUUUAACACAUUAGUACUCCAGCUCUUUAAUGUAAAUGGACAUGAUAAGGAGCAUUUACUGAUUCCCGGCUUUCUAUGAUAUUGACUGCUUCUUGAAUAAUAUUUCCAUAUUUGCAAAAUAUAAUGUUAGACAUUAUAACACAUGAUGACUUGCAAUACAUAGUCCCAAUAAUUAUAUAUCAAGCAAAUGAAACUGAUAUUUGUGUUAUUUUAAGUUAGAUAAUGACAUUAAGGGAGUAUAUGUGCAAUACCACGGUCACCCUCAACCAACUGAACAGCGGUAGCCGCAAUCACUUAGUCGUAUCGGUCGGCUUCUUCCGAGCAGCUUUGACGUGCUUAUGCUCAUUCAUGUCACCCCCAUCGUCUAGUAUCUCUCUCACAGCAUCAGGGGACACAUAGUUCCAAUCAUAACUUGUAUGAGUAGUUGCCGCAAAUGCUCGGAAUUUGUCGAAUCCUUCGUUGAAUGCCAACUCCAGUUCAGUAUGGUGCUCUUCGCAUCGCAUAUGGUUCAUCAAACAACCUUUGAUUUCAUCAUUCAUUACUGUAUCCAACUCCUCAGCUUUCAGCUUCCUGCUAUGACUCAGCUUCAAGUACUUGUUCUUUUGGGAUAACGCUUUGUUCACCCUAAUGUUAAGAUCAGCCAAAAUUGCCUCGUCUUCAACACAUUUCUCGUGCCAUGAAUUGAUCAGUCUGGAAUUAUAAUCCAGCUUGCCACUGACUGCAUGUAUUGCCUGUAAUGGAUCAUCGGAGUCCCCCUCACUCCCAAAUGAUGUUGAAAAAGGAAGGGGUCGGCGAGUACAAUGUGGAAAUAGAACCUGCCACUCCAAUUUGUCAUCUUCGAUUGUGUUGUUGGCGCCUGAAGAGGUUGACAUGCUUGAAUAAUCCUCUUUGUUUUGGGAGGAUGAGGAUUGCAUAUGCAAUUUCGUUUGAGAAAGGGAACAUAGGUUUAUAGACCAACAUACCAAAGCUUGUGUGUAGUCAACAUAUGUACUUUUUGGCGGGAAUUUUUUAAAAAUAGGUGUUAGGUUUUGCUUUUCAAGCAUGUCAACCUCACACUCUCCUGACACCACUGCUAGUGGUUGAAACAAAGUCAAUGGAAGUGACAUCUACUUAGUUAACUCAACCAAACUAGUUAGGAUUAAACUUAGAUUGUAUCAGACCAAAAAAUAAUUUCUACUUUGUCAACCAAAUAUUUUUUGGCGGGAACCCUUUUCUUGGUAUUACUAUCACCCCUUUCAUAUAAAAUCUCCUUCCACACAAAACUCACUCCUCCACCGAAUCUGUCUCCAUCUACCGAUACUCUCUCAAGCAAACAAACUCAUUCCCCCCAAAGAAUGAGCAUAAGCACAACCAAGUUUGAUGUGAGCAUAAUAAACACCCCUCCAAACAAAGACCGGCUUCGACACGCAAGUGAGUCACCGGACAAGCAAUGUCACAUUGCUAGACAGAAUGACCAUUUUGUUGGAAGUUUUGAGUCUGAAAGAGUUGUUGCUUUUUGGAAGGAGAGGCAUCUUCAACUUGGUGAUGAAAUCCAAAGGGCAAGGGCACGUUUGGAAUUUGUGGAAGGCCAAAUUGAAGAUGACAAAAGGCAGGCCAAUCUGGAUAGGGCGAAGUUGUAGCGCAUGAAGCGUAGACACAAACGACUUCGGAGUGUAGCUGUUCAAAAAUACAAGAACUCAUCUAAUGUAGUGGAGUCAAAGAAGCGUGUGAUGCAAGCUGGAUUCGACUACUUCCGAUCCUAUGCAAAACUCGUCGUACCCGGGUUUGAUUGGUCAUCUAUUACCGUUUCCGACGUCACCAAAUAUACUCAGCAAGGGAAGUAACCAUUUUGGUUCUCGUGUUUUAGCAGAGGCAAAUAAGUGGAAUUGGAAUUUUGGUUACACUCUGCUUCAAAGCUAUUUUGAUGCUAACUACUAUGGAAGAUUUAAACCUUAAUAUUUUGAUGUCUUUAAUUACGAAAACAGAAGAUGCAAAGAGCUCAUCUACUUCAGCCAUAUGUUGCUGCCAUGUCCAUUUGUUUUUGAUCACUUAUCAGAUUUGGACAUGGUUGCAUCAUAUGCAAUGUUGCCUUUAUUUAUUAUAUGUUAGGACAAGGUUUAUGGAAAAGCUUUUGUGAGUGCGUUUGUGACAAGGUUAUGGAAUUAUUAUGUACACUUUAUAUAUUGUUUUUUGUACUGGUUCAUUUCCUACUAUUUCUUGCUUUCUUUAUAUUUUAUGUUUGUGGAAUCCCUCUCAAAGUUAACAUAUACUGUGAAAAAAAUAUUAUGCAACUGAUUAUAUAAUCACUCAUAUAGACUAGGACAAAUAUUCACUAAGGGUUUUAAACUUGCUUCACUUGUGUGAUGUUAUUGACAAAAAGUAUGGCAUUAUUUAUGUGAUUUGACAUGAUUGAAAAUAUAUUACUGAUUCCCAAUGCGGCGUCAUAUGGACAACGUAUUGAAUACCUGUGACGUGUUAAUAACUCAAGGUGCAGUUGCAUGUGGACAACUUCUUGAAUACCUCUGACGUGUUGAAAACUCUAGGUGCAGUUGCAUGUGGACAACUUAUUGAAUACGAACUGACGUCUUCAAAGCUCUAGGCGUAGUUGCAAUGAUGGCUUCAAAGCAUGUGCAAUUAUUUUUUAUGUACAUUAUUAUAACAAAACAUAUUAUUGUAUAUAGUGAAACUAAAUAUUGUAUUAUUAGAAAUUAUAUUUCGAAUAUUAUCCGAAAUAUACGUGUUAACGUGAAUUUGGGUUAAGAGGAAAGUGAGUUAUGUACAAAUAAUUUUCAUUUUCUCAUUUUCCGGGCAUUUUUUGGAUUUUCGUAGAAUUUAUUACCUAUGUCCACAGAUUGUUGCACUAAAAAAGCCAAAAUAAUAGCAAGAGGACACCUGGAGCGAUCUCAGCCCGUCACUGAUGACUACUUGCACAAGUGUACGUCAGUCAACAUGGCCACACCCUCCCAUUUUACCCUAAAUUAUUAUUUUAUUACUUUUCCUUACAAAAAUCAGAACUAAUUACACACAAAAUAAAAAAAUUAUCCGAAAAUUGCUACGAACUCAUUGACACUCCAUCUCCGUUGCUGAAUUCUCCGAUUCAUUGUUACGUAUUUGUAAAAUUAAUUCCCAACAUUAACGGGAGAUGCUUGUUGAAGUAGGUUAUUCAAGUUGAAGUUAACAAACAUCAAUACUUAGGGUUAAGAGGAAAGUGAGUUAUGUAACACAAUUUGGAUUAUUUCAUUGCGAGACGAAUGAUUUAUAGGUUCUCCUAGUUUUAUGACGUCACAAGUAGGCCGGAGUAAUUUUUGGGGCAUUUUUACGAUUUUCCUACUAUUUUUUACCUAGUUUCAAAGAUUUUUGAACAAAAGAAUCCAAAAUGUAAAAGAAGAUGACACCUGGCGCGAUCUCAGCCCGUCACUUUUCACUACUUGCACAAGUGUACGUCAGUCAACAUGGCCACAUCCUCUCAUUUUACCCUAAAUUAUUAUUUUAUUACGUUUUGUCUUGGAAAAUUCAUAACUAAAUACACAAAAAUUCAAAAUUAUUUCUGAAAAUUGCUACGAACUCAUUGACACUCCAUCUCCGUUGCUGAAUUCUCCGAUUCAUUGUUACGCAUUUUUAAAAUUAAUUCCCAACAUUAACGGGAGAUGCUUGUUGAAGUAGGUUAUUCAAGUUGAAGUUAACAAACAUCAAUACUUAGGGUUAAGAGGAAAGUGAGUUAUGUAACACAAUUUGGAUUAUUUCAUUGUGAGACGAAUGAUUUAUAGGUUCUCCUAGUUUUAUGACGUCACAAGUAGGCCGGAGUAAUUUUUGGGCCAUUUUUACGAUUUUCCUACUAUUUAUUACCUAGUUUCAAAGAUUUUUGAACAAAAGAAUCCAAAAUUAACAAGAAUAUGACACCUGGCGCGAUCUCAGCCAGUCACUUUUGACUACUUGCACAAGUGUACGUUACCGAACAUGGCCACAUCCUCCCAUUUUACCCUAAAUUAUUAUUUUAUUACCUUUUUUCUUGGAAAAUUCAUAACUAAAUACACAAAAAUUAGAAAAACGAUCCGAAAAUUUCUACGAACUUAUUGCGAUUUCAUCUUCCUACUGCAUUCCCUGUUUAAUGGUUAUGCUACAUUAGUAUUUUAUUAUUAUUUAUCCACAAUUAUUAUAAUUAUUAUGAUAUUACUUUUUAGGCUGUCCAUUUGUUAAUUAUACCACAUCCAACUUGUUGAAAACAAUUUUAUUUUCCGUGCGAAUAGGCCAUUUGUAGUGCUUAUCGGUUUCUCUGUUCUUCAAUUUGUUAAUUUUUUUAUUUUUUAGGUUGAAGGGAUGUUUUGAAACAUAAUAUGGAAAUAUACAAGUCAUCCAUUGUACUCCUUCCACACAAAAAAAUAGUCUACGUCAUUCACUGUUCAACACCCUAGGUUAAGACACGUGUAACCAAAUCCGUUCGGAUAUGCUAAGUGGGAAAAUGUCAUUCCCAAGCACUGGUGAAAAGACACUUAUUUACUCCAUGCAUGACUUUUGGUUUACCAAAUAUGAAGAUUGGGGUCGGUGAGCAAAAUAUCUGUGUCAGUAAAAUGUCAUUCCUAGCCAUCUAUGAUGUAAGUAAUAAUUCCGCUAUAUAAUAAAUAUUAUACAUUUAUAUAUAAAACGGUUUAUGACAAAAUACCAACAUUUGAACAACAUUUAAACUGAGAUAGGUAUAACGUAGCCAGCCAACCUAGAAGUGAAGAGAAGCAAGUCCACAAUGCAUCAAAACUGUAAAUUCGUACUAAAACUAAUGCAAAAAUACGUGAUUCCCUCGCACAACUUACUCACGCAGGAUUUUGCACCAAAAAAUACUCUCACGGUGCCAUUUGCAUCGGUUGCAGCAAGUCCAAAACGCAGGAUUUAUCUUGUCUUCACUAGGCCACCCUGGAAUAACAAAAUACCAUUCAUUGUUGUUACAAGCGCUGCACCGAUUGAACUUAAUCUUCCCAUAGUCAAACAUAUCUACGAUAUGUCUUGCAACAAAUGCUCCGCGACAUCUUCCUGUUAAAGCAUCCCUGGUUCCUUUCAUAUCAAUGUUGUUACGUUGAUUCAAAGAACACAAGAAUUGUAAUGCAUCCUCUUUUGACUGACCAAUUCCGGACAUACCAAGUAGUCCAACUACAUAUGCCGCUUCCAUAUGGCCUGCCGUGGCUGCAAUGCGCAUCCCAUACAACGCUUCCACCUUACCGUCUGUGAAAAAACCUUCGAAUGCUUCUCUAAAUAUGGACUCAGGGUUAUCGCAAGCCCUGCAUUGUUGCAAGAAAUGCUGGACUGCAGGUUUGGCACGGUAGCAGAUAGGAUGGUGUGGGUACUUUGCCAUUGAAAUGGUGUUCCACACUUGUGGACUGUUUGCCAAAAUGUUGAACAAUCGGCACACACAUGCCAUACGGAAGAGAUCUUCCGAUGAUUCGGUUGCCACGUAUAACAUCACUUGAAACCAAGCGGACUCCGGGAUAAAGGCUUCGGGCAUAUCGAAAUGGAGAUGCUUCCUUCUCUUUCCUCCGACUGUAGUGAAGUGUUUCGAAUUCAUUGAAAAGUUUUUGGAAUGGAACGAUUUGAGGAGUGGCAGAGGGGAUAAAUGAUAAUAUUUGGGGUACACGUUCUACUUCCGAGCCUCUGUUUAUAGUGUUUUGAAAAGGUGUUUCCAGUUGGGGUUUUUCCAAGUUGACCCUUUUGAAAGAAACUGAAUCCAAGUGAAUUAAAACUUAAGACAAAAGAAGGGAAAACGUCAUAACGGUGCAUACAGAGUCAGACAGUUAAAAAGUUAAUUAAAUGGCUAUUUGCAUAGCCAUUUUUGGGUUUAUCCCACUAUCAAAUUCAUUGAUACAAAUGUGAUGGAUUACUGACUAGUGACAGAAGGUCCCAUCAUAUACUUUUUCAUUUUCGCACACCCAACUAUCCCUAGUAAUGUUAUUAAAAUGGAACCAAUAAUGACGGAUUCUUAUCCAACUAGUUGCCUUAAUGAAAUAUAAAUAAAUUAAUAAAAUUGAAGCAGUGUCCCGUCAUUAGUCAGAAAAUAUAUUUGGUAGUGAAGUAGUUUCUAUUGCUUUUCGGGCUAAAAGAUGUCACAAUGCUGACGGUACAGGUGUCGACAUCGUGACCAACCCACCAAAUGAUCCCAAAAAAAAGUAAUAUAACUCGAUUUGGGCAGAGAUGAGAGAGAGCUGAGUGACAAGUUUAGGGUUAUGAGUGAAGGGGUAUGAAUGACAACUAUGAGUGAGAAGGUAUGAGUCCGAAGAGGUUUCAGUGAGAAGAUUUGAGUGAGAAGAGGUACAACUGAGAAGAUUCAACAUGUCUUCGUCUUCAUCUCCUGCUCAAACAAAGAGGUGUCAGUAUUGUGGAGCUACAAUGGUGCUUCGGGUUUCAAAAUCUGAAAAAAAAUCGAGGGAAGCCAUUCUGGAAGUGUCUAACCUCCUAUGUAAGUUUUAAUUUAAAGAAUAUGUAUGUGGGUGAAAAAAAACCUAUGUCUAACUCUGACAGAAUUAUAUUCCAUAUAUGAUGCCUGCAAUUAGGGAGCCACCAGUUGCAAUGGAUUCGAAUGGGUUGAUGUAACCUCCGCUGAAGCAGAACAUCAAGAUGACACGUAUGAUGUUAGAGUGCUGAACAUGCUGAAGUCCAUUAAGGACUUGGUAUUAGUUUUAUUAGUUGUAUUAAUUGUCAUUUUAUUUGUUCUUUUAAUGAUCAUUUAACUGCACGGUUUAAAAGAUUGUGAAAGUUCUCUCGCACAAGACAUAUUGCACGCACCACCAAUGAGACCCUAAACCCAUUUUGUAAUAUUUGGUAACUGCAUGUAUUUCGCAUGUUAUUGAAUGUUUAUUGAAGGUUUAUUGAUAGUUUGCUGCAUGUAUAUGGAAUAUCAUUGCCCCAAAAUUGGAUGUUUAUUGGGGCCACAAGUAUCACUCAAGUAAGAAUGAAGGGGAGAAACGGACCUUAUUCUUUCUUAUAGUAGGAAGAACAACUGUUAAGUUUAAUAUCCUAUUCAAUACGACUUCCCUAUGGUUGGUGUACUUGGGGACUGAAGUAUAUUGCAUCAUUAUUGUGGGCAAGGGCAUGUCUAUUGUGUGUGUUAAGGGAGUAUUGUGUGGGCAAGGGCAUGUCUACUGUGUGUAUAUUGCAUGUCUACUGUGUGUAUAUUGCAUAUCUAUUCUCUGUAUAUGGCAGGCCAAGUUUGUGUAUAUUGUUUGUCUGUUGUGUGUGUAUUGCUUGUCGGUGCGUUUGUGAAUUGUGGUUCAUUUUGUGUAUAUUGUCUUUGUUUCUACUUUUAUGCUACUGAGCUGCGGAAAACCUCGCAUGUUUAGACACCUAUUAUGAUGCAACACAUUGCGAUUAAUGGUGGCUUGCAUCAACAAUGACAUAUCACUUUGCAAUGAUGUAAUACACUUAAAAAGCCGUCUUCAAAUCCCAAUUCACAUAUGCAGUCUUAAAAUUCUAAUUCAAUGCAGUUUGGUUAACAAACAUGUAAAUGUCAUGAAGGAGUUAGCGGUAGAAUUCGAUAAGGACCCGUACGUCUCUAUUGUGUAUUUACAUUAGUUUGAGAAUGGACAUUCCCAAAACCUUCUCAUGUACCAUUUGUCAUCUUCAACCAAUAUCAUGGGAAGUAAGCAUCUCCCCUUGUUAUCUCCGCAGCCAAUUUCAACCGAAAAAAAGGCAUGUUGUGCGAGGUGCAAGUAGCUAACGGAAGCUUAGCGCUGAAAAGCUCAAUGUACUUUAACACAAACAUGCCACAAUCGCCUCUGAAGCAAAACAAGAACUCGAUCAAUUCAACUAAUGACAUUCUAAUGUAAUUGACAAUUGAAAGUAAUAAAAUUAAAUUGCAAGUUGUGCUUACUCAUUAGACUGUUGUGGAACAUCCACACGCUCUAUUGGCCACGGACACCACCAAUCUCGGCUGCAAUUGUUUGCAUAAACACCUUCUUCAUAAAAGUCGAUGGUGUUGAGAAGAUUUGGAAGCGUAAUUGAUAGCGGGCCGAGUUCUUCCUUUACGAUGUCAUCUGGAAUUAGUGAAACCUUUGAAUCGUACACUUUGAUUCACACAAUACCAGAUCAAACANNNNNNNNNNNNNNNNNNNNNNNNNNNNNNNNNNNNNNNNNNNNNNNNNNNNNNNNNNNNNNNNNNNNNNNNNNNNNNNNNNNNNNNNNNNNNNNNNNNNNNNNNNNNNNNNNNNNNNNNNNNNNNNNNNNNNNNNNNNNNNNNNNNNNNNNNNNNNNNNNNNNNNNNNNNNNNNNNNNNNNNNNNNNNNNNNNNNNNNNNNNNNNNNNNNNNNNNNNNNNNNNNNNNNNNNNNNNNNNNNNNNNNNNNNNNNNNNNNNNNNNNNNNNNNNNNNNNNNNNNNNNNNNNNNNNNNNNNNNNNNNNNNNNNNNNNNNNNNNNNNNNNNNNNNNNNNNNNNNNNNNNNNNNNNNNNNNNNNNNNNNNNNNNNNNNNNNNNNNNNNNNNNNNNNNNNNNNNNNNNNNNNNNNNNNNNNNNNNNNNNNNNNNNNNNNNNNNNNNNNNNNNNNNNNNNNNNNNNNNNNNNNNNNNNNNNNNNNNNNNNNNNNNNNNNNNNNNNNNNNNNNNNNNNNNNNNNNNNNNNNNNNNNNNNNNNNNNNNNNNNNNNNNNNNNNNNNNNNNNNNNNNNNNNNNNNNNNNNNNNNNNNNNNNNNNNNNNNNNNNNNNNNNNNNNNNNNNNNNNNNNNNNNNNNNNNNNNNNNNNNNNNNNNNNNNNNNNNNNNNNNNNNNNNNNNNNNNNNNNNNNNNNNNNNNNNNNNNNNNNNNNNNNNNNNNNNNNNNNNNNNNNNNNNNNNNNNNNNNNNNNNNNNNNNNNNNNNNNNNNNNNNNNNNNNNNNNNNNNNNNNNNNNNNNNNNNNNNNNNNNNNNNNNNNNNNNNNNNNNNNNNNNNNNNNNNNNNNNNNNNNNNNNNNNNNNNNNNNNNNNNNNNNNNNNNNNNNNNNNNNNNNNNNNNNNNNNNNNNNNNNNNNNNNNNNNNNNNNNNNNNNNNNNNNNNNNNNNNNNNNNNNNNNNNNNNNNNNNNNNNNNNNNNNNNNNNNNNNNNNNNNNNNNNNNNNNNNNNNNNNNNNNNNNNNNNNNNNNNNNNNNNNNNNNNNNNNNNNNNNNNNNNNNNNNNNNNNNNNNNNNNNNNNNNNNNNNNNNNNNNNNNNNNNNNNNNNNNNNNNNNNNNNNNNNNNNNNNNNNNNNNNNNNNNNNNNNNNNNNNNNNNNNNNNNNNNNNNNNNNNNNNNNNNNNNNNNNNNNNNNNNNNNNNNNNNNNNNUUUUCCUCUCCCUCAUCUCUAUUAUUUGGCCCUUCACCCCCUUCAAUCCCUUCAUCUUCUUUUUCCUCUCCCUCAUUUCUGUUACUUGGCCCUUCAUCCCAUUGAAUGUCAUCCAUUUCCCCAUAUCCCUUAAAUAGAUGUGAGACGACACAACGAUUCGUCCUCUGUUUCAGUAAAGCUAGGUCCCUCCUUACUUCCUGCUCAAACUGAGGACCUAAACAUUGGUCCAAUAGUUUUUCCAUCCGUAUGACCUUUAAGUGAAGGACGUCUUUUUCCCGCUUUUCUUGAAACAACUCGGACCUCAACAAGCUUACCACCUUGUUCAACUCAUCAAGAUCACCACAUGAAGAAGGAAUUGACUCUGCCGAGACAACAGCAGGGCGAUCCUGUGGCCAACUCCAAUAUGGCUGUCUCAUUUCCUCUUCACUUAGACAUAGCGCCCGCAACUGAACUGACUGUUUCAGAAUACAGACAAGAGUCAUAUUAAAUCAUUCUACUUCAUAAUUUCAUUCAAUCUUAUCAAUAGUUCUAAGGGCUGCAAACCAAACCUCUUUGCUCUGGAAAAAAUAAUUGUUCAACUUUCUCAUCUCUGGAACAGACGUAGUAGUUCUCCAUCGCAAAAUACGCGGGACAGCGGUCGGAUCAACAACCUUGCAGUAAUUCAGGUCCGCCAUUCUAGGAAUUAAUUCAUAUACCCAAAUCUACACAAUUCACAGGACAAAAGUCAUUAUUUAUGUUUUAAAGAAAAACAAAACAUAACUGACAUGAACAUUAUUACCAUGUACCUGGAAAGCAUACGUGAAACCUUUAAAACUCCAGCCACUCCUUUGCGCUUCACUAUGCUUAUCCUUCUUGCCCUUCUCAUUUCUCCGGCUUGUUCCCGUUACCUUACUUUUCCCCUUCCCUCUUCCCUCUUCAUUUUCCAAGCUUUUCACAUACUUUGUUGGUGCAGAAAAUAGACUGUCUUGGGUUUUGUCAAAGGACACCGAACCCCACGGAUACCUGUUGAACGCAUCCAAGUCCUCUACAAGGGUCAGGUAAUUUAGAUUGAUGUUCAAAUGUUUGUCCCUUCCCAAAACCACUAACUCAGCAAAGUAAACAAGAGGUAGCUUGAAGAUGUCAUCUUCCUCUGUGCACCUCACAAAUGCUUCUUCUAAAGCAUUGCAUGUAAUUCCUUCGUCUAUAAAAUAUCUUUUCUGAAGUCUGAUUUCAUUACUCUCUCCACUGGAAACUUCAGGCACUUCCCCAAAACGAAGCCCUGUGAUCAAACAGAAAUCCUGACGAGUGAACUGAGCAACGUCACACCCUAAUAAGAAACUCAGUCCAUCCAAGUCUUUCACACCCUGCCCCGCUACUCUACGCAACACAACCCCAUGCACAAUCUGUCCGCUAAACUGAAUCUUAUCUAUAUUCAGAAGAUGGCCAAAGCAUGAUGUCUUGAAUUGUUCUAAUUGUUCCGCACUCAACUUCGCUCGAAUUGCAGCUAGAGAUGAAUUUGCAUGUGAGCAGUUGUUCACCCGUGAUGAAUAUACCUCUGCCUCUGGCCAUACCAGCUCCACGUUGGAUCCCAUUUCCUCAAAUACAAUGUGAAAUAACGUGAACAUAUAUACUACCACGUAUUUGCACAAUCACAACUAGUCAACCAGGCACAUUACAACUUUUACAAAGUACAUGAGCAUAUGGAUUACUCAUCACAGGCUUUAACAUCAUCAAAGCAAUAUGACAAUUUUUGUGCAAAUACCUGUUAAUGCAAUGAUUAUGUGAAUUACAAACAAUUUCACGUGUUUUAUUUAUGGAUCCAUACUCGUGUGAGUGCAAUGUAGGCAAGUUCUGCACUUCACACACAUGACAAUUAUUGUCAUCUCAUACACAACCCAAAAUAAAUAAAUAAGAAAUAUAGUGGAAGGAAGCAAAGCAAAGCAUGUACUCUGCUAUCUGCUUGCUAAGCAAUUGCCACAUCCUUCUUUCUUUCUACCUUUUUCUUCAGUCACCCACAAUCGUCAUAGAUCAACCUUCAUUUCAAAUGCUUUGCACUUUUAUUCAUGAGUUUAUUAUUAUCUGUUCUCAUUUCUCAUAGGCAAAUUUAGUAACAAAUGAAAUAAUAUUUAUUUCACAAAAUAUAUAAAUUCUAGUGCCAGAGAGGUACUCUUCACUCUGCACUGCUUCAAAUGUGGAAGGUUUUGAGAUGUUAUUGACAUGUGAUUGACUUUAUUUUCAUUCGUUUUUUAACAUAUACCCAAGCAAAAAUUAACAUGCAAUUGAAGCACAAAUAAGAGAUGCCAAAUCCAACAACAUUGAUGGUACAAAUUGGGGAAAACCAUUACUCUAACCCUAAACUCAAAUUCCUUACAUUACUCAUCAAAUGCUUUGCAGUUCUAUUCAUGAGUUUAUUAUUAUCUGUUCAAAUGUUUCUCAGGCAAAUUUAGUAACAAAGGAAAUCAUAUUUACUUCAUAAAAUAUAUAUAUAUAUAUAUAUAUUCUAGCGCCUCUUCUUAAUCUGCACUAUGCACUGCUUCAAAUGUGGAAGGUUUUGAGGGCCUCCUCCAAUUCAACACCAUUAUCUUAUUCAUAUCAUUAUUGACAUGUUAUUCACUUGUUAUUGACUUCAUUUUCAUUCUUUUUUUAACAUAUACCUAAGCAAAAAUUAACAUGCAACUGAAGCACAACGAAGAGAUGCCAAAUCCAACAAAAUUUAUGGUACAAAUUGGGGAAAACCAUUACUCUAACCCUAAACUCAAAUUCCAUAAAUUACUCACCAAAUGCUGGUUAUUGCAAGGUGUCUGUGUGGGGUCUUUCUGUUUCUUUGCUCCACAAAUGGAACCUACCACUUCCAACGAAUACAGCUUUUCCCCUUCCCCUUCCACUGCUUCGCCUCUUCACUGAUUUGGAAUCCACACCUUUGCCCCUUCUACUCCAAAUAAAUACUUUCUCGGGGUCUGGAGAACGGAGUGGCGAAUCGUUGCCUUCAACUGUCGUUAGCCGUUGCCUUCAUUGGGUAUCUCAGACCUCUGUGUUUUAGAGAGAUGAGUUCUUUCUGUUCAAACUUCGAACUUGCCUCUUCUUCUUCUUUUUCGGACGUGUUUCCCUCUUCUUCUUCUUUUUGGACGUGCUGGAUAUUCAAUUCGGGUUUGGGUUCCUUACCUACCCAAUUGUGAAACUUUAACUCAAUUCUCCCCAGCCCUUGGAUUAAUCUGAUGGCUAUAAAGUGAACCCCUUAUAACUUACCCCUUAUAACUUUCCACUCAUUAUAGUCUUGGCCAGGUAUGGCGGCCAUGCUAGUAAGUGUUGGGUCUUUGACCCAACUUAAGCUAAAUGGGUCAUAAGAUGACCGAUCAUCUUAUCUCAUAAGGAUAUAUAAGUCAUGUUAUGAUUUAGGAUUUUAUAGGGUUUCCUUUGUAAGAGGUAAGAGAGAAACAAGCUCUCUCUCUCUCUACACAAGGAGGUCAGCCAUAGCAAGGGAAAGGCUCCUAGCACUCUCCUCUCUCUUAUUAUAUCAUCCUUCCAAGGACAGCUUUGGUAUGGUAAAGUUGGAGGUUGCACACUUUGUGCACUUUGGUAAGAACUCAUCCAAGGGAGCCAAGAUUAAAUUGGUUAGCUGUUGGAUUAAAUUGGUUAGCACGAUUCAACGGUUAAUAGAUAAAACUUCACAUAAAAGUCAUAUAUAAGGCCCUCACUAUAGAAUGACUCGUUAGUUUAGUCUCUUGUUACAUAUCAAAUGUUAGAGAUAUUUUUUAAUAAGGAUCUGCCAUACCACAUAGUUGGAUAAGACAUUAUACACGGCUUUUGUAAGAGCAUCUCCAGCGCUCCAAACUAGCCCAAGCAGCAGGGGGGCCUAAGUCUAGGAAGCAGCUCCAGCUCGCAAGAUUCAACCCAGGCAAGGUGUGGAACCCACGAGGAGAUCUAGCCCGUCACCUUGCCUUUGGGUUUCAGUCAAGCUGAUGUCAACGAAAGAAUUUCAAAUUUUUUUUACCGUUACAAUGUACGCGCCAACGAUAAAUUUUCUUUGGAUUUCUUGCAUUGAUCCACAGCUACCAAAAACCAACAGCUACAAGCCACGUGGCUUCUCCAGGAGCCUCCGAUCCAAAAAUCAUGUCAAAUCUAACGGCAGUCCAUUUUUUGGCUAAAAAUAUCAAAAAAUUAUGGAAACAUGUUCUAUAAAUUCCUACAAAUAUUAUUCACUUCCCACACCAAAUCUUCAUACAAAUUCAUAUCCUUUCAAUAUUUUUCACUUUCCAUACAAGAUUUUCUACUACUAAGUUUCGUUUGUGUAAAAAUACAAAUGACCUCUUCUAUCGAAGCCGGAGGCGCGUGUACAACCGUGGAAGAUAUUUUGUUGCGUGAGUGUUGGGUCAAAGUUGGUCAUUCCCUGAUCACGGGCAAUGAGAUGAAGUCCUCUCGUAGGAGUUUCUGACAUCGCAACGAAAGUAAGAUGUGAUAUGAAAAUGUAAGGAAUUUGAUGAGAGGAAUGGGAUUUGAGGAGUUUGAUGUAGGAAUUGAUGUAGGAAUUGAAUUUGGGAGGUAUGUAUAUAAGAUUUGAGGGUAUGUGUUUAGGGAUUUUGAUAAGAGGAUUUGAGGAAUUUAGAUUUGAAGGAUUUGGAUUUGGGGAAUUUAAAUAUGAGGAAUUUGAUUAGGGUUUGGGUUUGAAUAUGUGAAAUUUGAUAUGAGAGUUUAGAGACAACAGAUGAUCGAUUGCUCUGAUACCAUGCUAAAAUAUGAUAUGGUUUGAAUACUUUAGGUUGAGUUUUAUUCUUUUCCAUAAAAAGGUAUAUAUAGGAGUUUACAUGAGUGCUUUACAAAGAAAUAGAUACAAUAAUCAAUUAGGAUAAUAUCUCCUAAUUAUACAAUAAUUUGUCAACUAUAUAGAAUAGGAAAGUAAAUUCCUUAAUUAAUCAAGAAAAUAAAUCUCAUUGAUUAAUUAGGAGACUAACGUCAACAUUUAUAAGCCAUAAAAGAGCAGAAAAAGAGGUACUUAGGAGAUUUUAUACGUCGGACUAAGGUAAGCUUAAAGGACUAUAUCAAAAAAAUAAGGGACCAAGAAGCAAGACAGAGAAGUUGUUAUGCAAACCCAUUAAGUUUAGCAGUGAUGAAUUUGUAAAAAUCAUUCUAGUGGAUUCUGCCUUCACUAUUGAGUUCUUAUUGAGGUUCUAUCUGAAAGGAUCUGGACAUGAAGGAGACCGCUUAUUAAACAAACCGUGGAUGUUUACAGCCUGACAUGUGGUUGCUUGAAAAUCAGCUCCCAUUCUUUAUUCUUGAGGAUCUUUAUCACACAUACAUAAUAACCGACUCUUUUAGGAAUUAUUACAGUACUCAUGAUCAUGAGAGGCUUUCAAUAAUUAAUAUUUCUAAGAAUUUCUUCACAGCCGGAAUAUUGAAUUUGGAGGGGAAGGGAGACAAAUGGAACAGAAUAUCAUCUUCUUCUAGUGUUGGAAAUUUUAUAUUAUUUAAUAAUAUUUAAUUUCUAUUGUGAAUGAAAAAUAAGUUUCUUUAAGAAACGUGUGUCUUAGGCCAGUUUUUCUAACUGGUCGGCUUCCUUAGAUUUGUGCCUAUUGCUUUUCAAAGUAUAAUGAUGCAAUGGUUGUAUCUCGUUCAGGCAAAUGGAAGGUAUAUAGCAAUUUAUAGAACAAUACAGUAAUCCAGAAGAAAUAUUAUGAAAUGAAAAGAAUAAAAAGUAAAAAAAGAGAAAGAAAGGAAUUCCCACCUGCAAUGUAUAUGUAUGAAAGGAAGGACCAAGUUUGUUUUAAAAUGGUAAGAACAAGUUGAUUUUAAAUUGGGUUCAGAUCAACUCAUAGAUUUCUUGCCUUUUCUGUUCUCCUUCCUUGGACAUGAACUGUUUAAUCUUGGACUCUUCCCCAUCAUGUUGGGCCUGUCUUCUUCUUGAGGAUUGUAUAGGCCUAGGAAAUGCUUCGGGGUAGUUUUUGUGUUUUGGGCAUUGGGACCCAACUUCACAAAAAGAAAACAAAUUUGACCAAAACACAAAUUUGAAGGACAUUGAAAUUGUACCCGUAGGAUAGAUUAAAACACUAUAAGGGAGGUAAAUAGUACGUUUACAGAGUUUAAGUGUAAUAAAGGAAUAAAAACAUGCCCAGAGAAUUGAUAAGUGAUAUCAAUUCUUGAAUAUACGUGAAAAUUAUUUUAUGUGGUUAAACCCCACCUCUGGGGAAAAUCCACGGAACUUCUUAGUCCAACUUCUAUCACUUAUCCUAGACACAUUCUAGAUAAUGUUUGCCAACCUCUUCGUAACUCAACUUCUGUCACGAGAUGAUCUUUCAACACUUUAUGUCGAACGCAAUACUGGUCACGAUUUCUUCAAGCUCGCCGGAGUUCUUCCAAUUCUCCUUAUAUUGAAUCUGAUACUAGUCACGAUCGAUUCAAGCUCAUCGGAGAAAAAUCGCCACAACAAUCUUGGUGCCCUCAACCGUAUGAGUCACUGAACAUGCAAAUGAAUACAAUAUGAAUGAUAAAAGUGUUUGAUAAAUCACCAAGUUAUGGAACACUUGAUGAUUUAUCUCAAAUAAAAAUUCAGCUUUCCAAAGUUUAUGAAUUGAAAAUAUGACCGUUAAAGCUCUCUAAACAAAGAAGACGAAGGUCUUAUUUUAUAGACUUUUACUUUACAAGAAAGAAAACACGUUGAAAACCAAAUCUCCAAUUUCCAAGGCUUGACAGAAAAUCACAAAAUUAUCUUUCCUAUUCUAGAGAUUGGUCACAUGAAGUCCAACCAAUAGGAAAUGAGAUAUUUAAGAAAGGAAGAUUUUGAUCAAUAUCAAUAUCAAAUGAAUUCUUAUACGCCUAGUCAAUUGUUAUGGGUAUCUUGACUCCUUGAUAUUGUGAUAUGAUUGAAACAUGAUUUCCACGUUAGAAAAUUAAGGGGAUGUUAAAACAUGAAGGUAAUAGGAGAAUCAAAUUGAUUUGGGCCAAAAUUGCCUAAAAAGAAAACACUCCUUAAUAAACUUCAAUUUACUUUUAAAAAUAGUAAAACGUGAUUGAAUCGUUCUUUAAAACAAUUCCCUAAUAUACAUGCAUGAUAGUGAUAUCACUUACCUUUGAAUCAGAUGGCUUUCACGGGUCAAGCCACAAGUUUUUGUCUUGGGGAUUGCUGAGCUUCAUCAAUCCUGCCAAUGUCAAUUUUGCCCCUAAGCUCUCUCAAAGCACGUUUACAACCUAUGCUAACAUAUAUUAGAGUUUAUGUUAGUAUCAAGAAAAUGCCAACACUAAUUUCGUAACACGUAGAAAUUGUUAGAGAUUGAAGUUUUUAUCAUUUUUUCUUCCAGACUCUCCACCACUCACUAAUAUAGUUUACUCAUGUGAUGAGUUUACAAAACCUAUUUCUCUACUCUCACAAAGACUAUACUUAGGGGGGUGUAUUCAAUUAGGAUUCUAAAGCGUUUAAAAAGAUUUUGUUUAAGUGCCAGCUUUCAUAGAACUUGAUGGAACUUUAUAAUUCGUAUAGAACUUGAUAGACUUUCAGAAGACUUCUGUAUAAUUUUUUAAUAAAACUUUCUUAAGCUUUCAUAGAACUUGAUAGGCUUUCAUUCCAAACUUAUGUAGAUGGUAUAUUUCAUUUUAUCCCCAUCCUUGACAUUUAAAGAAAGAAACUUGAAUUUUUUCAAUCAAAUUUGUUUUUGUUACCAAAGCAGCAAAAACAAAAAGUACUUGUUUGCGAUGGAAGAACAUAUGCACAGUUCAAAAUGAAAAGAAUAAGAAGCAAAGUACCUAUUUGACCAAUGAAUGCUGUGUCAACUAGAGAAGCAAUUGGAUCGGCUGUCAAAGCCAAUGCUGCAGGCAAUGCAUCGAUGGUCCAAAUUGCAAUAAAAAAAUAUUUUGAAUAAUGGCUCUUGCAGACAAAGACCACAUAAAUUCUGAACUGGUCUAGCUUGAAUAAUAAGGUUAGAUUAGCCAAUUGAUGAGAUUAAAAGCAAAGCAAGUUGAUGAAUUUAUCAUCAACUAUUUAAUAACCACAGUCCUGAUCUCUUGGACCCCUGUAGUCCAAGAGAUUUAUGGUCACCCACCGUUGGAUGUAAAUUCAACGGUUGACUUGAAUCGGGUAAUAAUCAUUUAUGUCAUAUUGCAUUUAUAUAUAUCAUUUUGAACCAUUGGAUUAAUAUCCAACGGUGGGUGACCACAAUCUCUUGGACUCCUGUGGUCCAAGAGAUCGGGACUGUUAAUAACCAAUAGAGUAUUUAAACAUAAACAACAAUGUUUGAUCAACAAAACAAAUAGUCCAAAUAUCAUCCAAAAAACAAUAACAAAAAAUCAAUCAUUCCAAACAAACUAGUCAUUCUCAAAAACUCUCAAAAAACCCACUCAUUCCAAAUUGUAGGAUAUCCAAUUUGAGCACUCCUCAGGAGACAUUUUCAAAAAUGCAUCCUUUUUUGUGUUACUAUGCAACAAAGAGAGUGCUUUAUAACGAGCAUGUUCAUCCAAAUUUGGGGUCUCCUUAAUGGCAUCCCAUAUAUAACUCCGCUGCUCUCUCUCUUUUUCCCUUUUUGCCAAUAGGUUAUGGACCUCCCGGAAGUCGAUGACAAUUGAAUCAAUGCUAAGGCUAAUUCUUCCCAUAGCUUGCUGGGUGGUCACAUUUGAGAUAGCAUUCCCUUCCAAAUAUGUUCUAGUUCGUUUCCUCUAGUAACAAGCAUAAAUCCUAGUAACAAGCAUAAACCCUAACCCCAACCUAUAACCUAAUAACAAGAAGAAAACCCAACGAGGUAUUGAUCAAAGAAAAAUUAGGGAGCAUACCUUCACAGAUGGAGGAAGGAAGCUGUUCGUCUUCGCAGAGAGAAAAUCUAGGGAAAGAGAAAAACGUCUUAUGAAAUACUUGGGGGGGAGGUUGGAUUUAUUUUGGUCUUUUUUAUUUAUAACUCUCCCCUUAAAACCUACGUAAAUUUAUCACUUAAUGAAAUCCUUCCAAAUAUAUGACCUUUCGAAUACACCUAGAUUUGAUUCAACUUUUUUAUAAUCAUAAUUGAAUACACCCAUAUUUGAAUGGACUUUUUAAAAGUUCAUAUAGGUCCGAAAUGAAUAUACUCAAACUUGUAAAACCUCUUUUAAAGUUUGUAUAAAUCCAAAUUGAAUACACCUGGAUUUUUAAAAUCUUUUUAAACACUUUAUAAUCCUAAUUGAAUACACCCCCCUUAUUCUCAAAAGACUAUAUUACUUUACCUCUAUCUCUGUGAAAUGUAAAAAGUUGAAACUUUAAUGUCAAACCUCAACAAAAGAUGAACUUUCAUCAGUUACGUUGAAUUUGGAUUUGUUGAACUUAAGUGGUUUUAUUUUCUUUGUCAGUGUUUGAUGACUUAAUUUGGUAUUUAUUUCUUCUUUUUUUUCCUUGGAAAUGUGUUCCACCAACGUGAGGAAGAAAAAUAUGCACAAAUUAAUAUAUUUAAUAGAAGCCCAAGAUUUCGGAUGCAUAUAAUUUCUACAAAAAUCUACAAAGUUUUUUACUUUACAAACUUCUUAUGUCUACCAAUUUCUACUAAAAUUAAUUUCUCUGUGGUGCUCAAAUUCAUCAUAUGUGUGUCGUUAAUUUUAUUGAAAAUUGGAAGUUCCCAUCAUUUUUGUUUUUUGGGAAUUUUCUGAACCAAGGAAAAUCAAGUAAAAUUAAUAAAGCCUAAAUUGGAAAGGGAAAAUAUCUAGAGGAUGCAUUGUAGGAUUGCUCAUGCCAAUAAUUGUACCCUCUAAAUAUAUAGAGACAUAUUUUUUUUGUUUUCAUGACAUGUGGUCCUAAAAUUAUUGUGUAAAUCUUCAAUCCUGAACGAUGCACCUAAAACUCAUCCACCCAUUCUCAGGCCAAUUAUUGCACCUAGUGGGCUCUCGACCCCCUCUCAAAUUUAACCACAUAUUUUAUGGACCAUCCAGCUGUGAGGUACAUUCCCCCCACAUGCCACAAUUGUAUAUUCACAAUUACGUCUGAUACAUCACAUCAUGCCACUUGCCUCAAAUGAAUUUAAGUGAGUGAGGCAGUUGGAAGUAAUUAAGCUCUAUAUUGGUGGGUGGAGUGUUACUUCUCGGUUCCCCUCAUCAUUCGUCUAUAAAAUGGUGAAGGCAGUUGCUAUUGUUACCAUAAGAGCCAGCUCCGACUUCCUUUAAUUUCUUGCUUCAUAUCCACUAGCUACAUCUGUUACCAAGUUAAUUUCAGUUCUAAUGGGGUUUCAUCUCCCACUCAUCUUUGCUCUUCUCAGUGUAAGCUCUGCAAUUUGAUUAACUUUUCCAUUCUCUCUCAUUGUACUCUAUAUAAACGAAAGUUUUGUGUUCCUAUUGUUCUCUCCGAUUUUAUUUAGUACGUACUUAAGUGUCGUCCACUAAUUAAUUAUACUUUGUGAUUUGAUUUUAAUUUGAGUUUGAAUUAAUGUUGCAGCUAGCAGCAGUGGCACUGGCAAACCAUGCUGCUCAACCAGCACCUCAACUUUACUGGAGCUCCGUCCUGCCAAACACACAGAUGCCAAGAUCUAUCAGUGAACUUCUGCAUCCUGGUUUGUGUUGAGCUCUUUAGAAUCUUAGAUAUCUCUUCUACCUGCCAUUUUACUAAAAUAUGUUCCACCACAUAUUUAUCAGUUAACCAUUGUCAUUACAUGAGUGACACAUAUUCACAAAUCGGCUGAUCACUUAUUUUCCAUUAUGACUUGAUAUAUAAUUUGCAGACUCCACAAAUGAAGAAAAGAGCACAAAUGACGUUGGCAAACCUGAAACUUUCCCAUUGGGCAAUCAACAUUACUCCAGUCAAAAACAUUAUGGAGGCAUACCUGAAACUUCCCCAUUGGGCAAUAAACAUUACUCCAGUCAAAAACAUUAUGGAAGAGGCAAACCUGAAACUUUCCCAUUGGGCAAUCAGCAUUACUCCAGUCAAAGACAUUAUGGAAGAGGCAAACCUGAAACUUUCCCAUUGGGCAAUAAACAUUACUCCAGUCAAAAACAUUAUGGAAGAGGCAAACCUGAAACUUUCCCAUUGGGCAAUCAGCAUUACUCCAGUCAAAAAAAGUAUGGAAGAGGUGCUUCUCCAUCCGACAAUCAACAACUCCAUUAUAAAGACUUAGCUAUUUUCUUCUUGGAGAAGGACAUGCGCCCUGGCACAACAAUGAAGUUCCAAUUCCCUAUAAAUUCAAACACGGCUACUUUCUUGCCACGAGAAAGCGCUCAAUCGAUCCCCUUCUCCUCUAACAAACUGCCAGAAAUUUUCAACCAUUUUUCAGUGAAGCCAACAUCUGAGGAAGCCAAAACAAUUAAGCAAACAAUCGAAGAGUGUGAAGCUCCAGACCUUAAGGGAGAGGAAAUAUAUUGCGCCACAUCUUUAGAAUCAAUGGUUGAUUUUAGCACUUCGAAGCUUGGAACAAGAAACGUUGAAGCAAUCUCGACGGAGGUAUUGGAAAAAGGAGCCACCAUGUCCAUCCAAAACUAUACAACAAUGCCGGGACUGAAGAAGUUGGCAGGUGACAAAGUCGUUGUGUGUCAUAAGCAGAACUAUCCCUAUGCUGUGUUUUUCUGCCAUGCAAUAAAACAUACAGCAGCUUAUGCUCUCUCCCUGAAAGGCGAUGAUGGGGAGAAGGUUAAAGCAGUAACCAUCUGCCAUCUAGACACAUCAGAAUGGGACCCAGAGCAUAUGUCCUUCCAAAUCGUCAACGUUAAGCCCGGAACCAUUCCCAUCUGCCAUUUCAUUUCCACUGAUGCUAUUGCCUGGGUUCCGAACCACAAAUCUGCAUGAUCAUCACUUAGCACUAGUACUGUGCGUAUAAUAUGCCUGUAUAAUUAUCUCCCUACUUAUUUCUGCCUCUUCAUCAUGUGGUGUAAGAUAUAUGUUGAGAUGAAGUUUUUGGGAUUUGUGGUCGAAAUUAACCCGAUCAUGUUUUCUCUUGCAACCAUAUAGACUUCAACUUGUACUCAUAAUAAAGCAUGCUAUAUUUAUGAAGAGAUAUUAAUCUUCAGGCAAAUAGAUAUUAUGAAAACAUAUAUAGCAAUUUAUCCAGAAGAAACAUUAUGAAAUGAAAAGAAUAAAAAGUAGAAAAACAGAAGGAAAGGAAUUCGCACGUGCUAUGCUAUGUAUGAAAGGACCAAGAUUGUUUUCCCUUUGGUUAAUGACUAGAAAAGCUCACUUGCAGAGUGCUUUCUCCGACCAUAGAUGGAAGAGAAAUUUUCUCUUAAUAAUAGCACAAUGAUCGGGUAAUUGUAAGAACAAGUUGAUUUAAAAUUCCUUGACCCAAAAAAAAAAAAAAAGUUCUUUUCAAAUUCAGGUCAACCCAUAGAUUUCUUGCCUUCGUCUUCUUCAUCACGUUGGGCUUGUCUUCUUUUUGCGUUUUGGGCCUUGGAAGUUGGGACCCAACCCAACUUCACAAAAAGAAAACAGAUUUGCCAAAAAUCAAAUUUCAAGUCUCUCCUCCGAUCACUAAUACAGAUCAAAUUUUGGAUUUGAUGAACUAAAGUGGUUUUACUUUCUCUGUCAGUGUUUGAUGACUUAAUUUGUUAUUUACUUUUUUUUUUUUACUUGAUCUUUGUAGGGGCUUUUUUUUUUCCGGCAGCUUAAACGGGCUGGGCUGCCGUAAAGGGUAGAUUGAUGAAAUUGUCCCCUUUGUCUGAAUUCGAAAAUCAAGCCCCAAAAGCGCUUCGAAAGGGCAGUAGAGCCUUAGGAAGCGUUCUGGUUACCUUCACUAAUUAAAACAACAGCAACUUACAGAUGAUUUCUUGAGGCUUACAGAUAAAUUUUCUAGCUUGGCAUGACAUGGAAGCAAAAUCAGCAUGAGUUUAGCACCAAAGAGGAAAAUAUGGCUUCCUAGGGAGAAAUGAGAGUGUUUAAGGUGAGGAAGAAGAGGUUUGCAGGCUGAUUUGGCUGAGAAAAGAGAAAGAAAGAACAAUGUUCUUCCGGCAGCUUGACAAAGCUUCUGACAGAUGUGAAAGUCGUCCGCCAGAAGAGGAAAAUGGAGAAGAAGGAUGAAUAGUGCACGAAAUUGGUGGGUUCUUGCAGGUAAGAGAGAAAGCUUGCUCUCUGAAUCUGAGUUGGUUUUGGUUGGGUAGAAGAAGCCCCCUUUUAUAGCUGCGGGAAACCAUCUUUUUCCAAGAAACCCUAAUGGUUUCUAUCCUUUUUGGCCAAGCUUUUCCCUUCCUUUCUCUUCUCCUCCCUUGACUUUUCCUAUCUUGGUGAAAUUUCCUCUGCCUAUUUGCACAAAAUUAGAGAUUUUGAGGAGCUCAAGGCCCCUUUCCCGCAGCUGCCUUAGUGGAGAAUCCCCAUUUUCAGUCAUCUUUCUUCCUUCUUUUCUCCCAUCUUCCAAGGCUAGGUUUGAUGAGAGAAAGAAAUGGAUAUGCACACUGGUUUGAAGGGUGUUUUUCCUUGAAACUUGUUCUCUCCCAUGUGCUGGAGCUUCCCAGCAGCUUACACACAUAGAUAUUUUGGCUUUCAUCGUGGCUUUUGUUUUCAGCUAGGUGCUGGAGAUUUUGCAUAUAUUUUCUUGAGUUGCUUGGGCCUUCUAGGACAAUACGUUGGUUUAUCAAGUGAAUGGGCUAACUUCAUCAAUUGUUGGGCAAUUUUGGUUGAGUUAAUGGACUAUUUUGGUUCAAGUAAUGGACUAUUUUGGUUGAAAUAAUAGGCUAUUUUUCUCUCUUUGUGCUCACCCACAUAUUUGGGCCUAAAAAAUGGGCUUGAGUUUCGGGGCUCCCAAGCAACCCCGGGACUUCCAUUUCUCGGCCCAUCAAUGAGCCUCAUGUCAACUUAUUACCAUCCAUACCACAACCCACUCAAGCAAGCCUCAGGCAUCUUGCGUGGCUUGGGCCCACGUAAGCUCGUAGUGGCAAUGUUGCUUAUUUGCUUGACGUGGCAUGUGUGCAAGUGCAUAUGACGAACUUUCGCGUGCCCAAAUUGAGUUUCUUCUCGGUAGGGUAUCGCAUUGGGCCGAGAAUUUAAUUGGGUAGAACCGUGGAUUUUUUGGGCCUCAACAAUCUUAUAUAUAUUAGUUUUCUUUUUUUCCUUAAUAUUCACCACCUUUCUGUUGCAUAAGUAUUCCAGUCUUAGCGGGUUUCCAUCUACCACUCAUCUUUGCUCUUUUAAGUGCAAGCUUUUUUAUUUUUAUUUUUUUAUGCACAAGAUUAGAGGGGAGGGAGAUUUCUCAAUGUAAGCUUUGCAGUUUCAUAAUUAAUAUUUCCAAUAUCUCACUGUUAGUAAAAUAUGGAACGGGAAAAGUACGAAUAAAAUACACACAUGUUUUAUUUAGCAAAAUUUUGACAAGAUACAACUGAAAAGUUUGGCCACUAUAUAAUAUUUUGAUUUAAUUUUUUUUAUUUUUUUAAUAUAUAUUAUUUUUAUUCAAUAAUAUGUGAAAAAUAGGUGUACAAUAUAUGAAAUUUGUAUGUAUUAUUGAAAAAUUCGUAAAAAAAAAACAUGUUAUUAAAUGUGAAAAAUAUGUACGUAUAUGUAUAAAACAUGUAUUGUACAUUACUUUUUAACAAACUUGUAUUUUACCUAGUCUUUAAACCGUAUAUGGAAAACGGAAGUAUUAUUGAAAAAUACAUAUGUACGUAUAUGUAUAAAACAUGUAUUGUACAUUACUUUUUAACAAACUUGUAUUUUACCUAGUCUUUAAACCGUAUAUGGAAAACGGAAGUAUUAUUAAAAAAUACAUAUGUACGUGUAUAAUAUGAGUAUUAAACAAAAAAAUGUGCUAAGUACUUAUCUUUUAAUUUAAUAAUUCAUUUCAUUUUGUGAUCUCAUACGUAGUAAUGAGAGUUCAAAUUAAUGUUGCAGCUGACAAUGGUGGCUCUGGCAAGCCAUGCUUGAUGCAGGAGUAUAGGGGUGGAUCAAGAUAGAUAUUUACCAUGUAAUUAGUUAUUUCAUGAUAUAUUGUUAUUUUCUUAUUUAGGUAGUUUUAUGAUAUCUUUUAUUAUUUAUGUGGGAUUUUAUAAUUAAUUAGUUUACUUUUGGACCAAGUAGCCUUGGUGCUCAAGUCUUGUAAAGCUUAUAAAUAAGGCUAAUGUAAUAGUUGUAGGAAAAGAGAUGUCGAUGAUUAAUAAAAUCGUUUAUUUGUGGCAUGGAUUUGCUACGAUAUAUGUGAGUUUGCACUAGCCCUAGAUUUCGGUGCUCGUGUAUGUGGUUGGUGACCUGUGUCCGGAUCCCGAUCCCCAUCAAUGCUGUUCUCCCAGUACCUCAACUUUACUGGAACUCUUUCCUGCCAAACACAAAUGCCAAGAGCUAUCAGUCAACUUCUGCAUCCUGGUUUCUAUUAAGGGACUUUUCGUGAGCUUAUCAUCUACCCAAAUUUUACUCAUCCGACGUAAUUUUAAAAGUGAUUUGAUCCUUUGGCAAAGUAAUCUUGAACUACAAAAAAGGAGGGCACUCGAAUAGGCAUGCCAUUUGGUAUUACCCACCUCUAAUUUCUUUUAAAAUUUUAGUAAUUGAUUUUUAAGAUUAGAAAAUGGGAAAGUUCAAAACCGAAAAAGUUGUUUCAGUUUUGGCAAGUAUCGGAAAAGACUAAAAUUUUCCGACUUUAUUAUUACUAGAAACAAAGUCGAAGUAUUCACCAAUCAUGUGGCCUUCCAAGUGCUCAAGGUUAAGCCAGGAACCGUUCCUAUCAGCCAUUUCCUUCCCAAGUAUGAUCAUGUUGUCUGGGUUCCAACCCACAAAUCUACAUCAGUACCUGAACUAAUCAGUUCUACAUGAAUAUUCAUUCAUGGCAACCUUGGGCUAAGUAUUUGAAUUUAUGCUCAUAAAGCUUUAAUGCUUUUGAGGGCCAAUCGUUGUCUACAUAUGGUAUUGUAGCAUCUUUAGAUGGAAGAGGUCAGGGGUUCAAUUCUUGUUUUCCACUUCUUUAUUUGUUGGUUUAUCGAGUGUAGAGUGGAGUUGCACCUAUAUGUUCGUCUCUCACCCCAUCAUUUACCAUUGAUAUAUAUUUAAUAGAAGCCUAAGAUUUCGGAAGCACAUAAUUUCUACUUUACAAACUUCCUGUGUCUACCAAUUUCUACUAAAAUUAAUUUAUCUGCGGUGCUGAGAUUCAUCAUAAUUUUAAUAGAAAUUGGAAGUUUUCAUCAUUUUUGCUUUAAGUCUCUACUCCACUCACUAAUAAAGAUUACUCAUGUGAGUUUACAAAACAUUUUUUUUUUCUACUCUCUCCUGAAGACUACACUUCUUCUCAAAAAAUUAGAUCACUUCACAUCUUGUGUAUGUGAAAACUAAUGUAAAAAGUUGAAACUUUAUCGUAAAACCUCGACAAAAAUGAGCUCUACUACAAAAUGUUAAAUUUGGAUUCGUUGAUUUAAAUGGCAAUUUGACACUUGAUAGAAAUUUUUACAUACAUGUGUUAGUGUUUGAUCACUUCACAUGUCACUUACUAUAUUUAUUCCACUCAAGUUAGGUAAAUAUUAUUAUCAAACAUUUCAAUUAAUUUGUGAUUUUUUUAUUAUUUAAUCAAUUAUGAAUUAAUGGAUUCUUCUUGUUGUUUUGAAGACCAACAAAAAAAAAAAAAAGGGUAGUGAUGGCUUAUAAUUCUGGUAAAACAACAGUGACGUGGACAACAGAUGUUACGCUGUACUAAAGAUUUUUGAAGAUUCUUUAUUUGAGUUUCUUUCAAGAUAAAAACCAUAUUAUCCACAACCACAAGCACAUCCGGCAGACAAUCUUUGGCUAUUCAUCACAAUUGGGAGACAAUGAAGAAGACAGAAAAUGGAGUAAUUCAGAUGUUACCAGCCAUCCACGACAAACUGAAGUCUGCAAAGCAUUCGUAAUCUAAAAAGGAUGGGGAGGCUGCGCAAUACUUAGCCACGUGUAGGCCAGGAGGCUUUCCAAUUUUAAUAUAUAUAUAGAUUGAAAAAAUAAAAUAAAAAUCAAUCUAUUAUCAUAUAUAUUAUAAAAUAAAGAUUAUUGCUCCCAUGGGCGGUGCUAUGCACAGGACAGUGCCUGCCUAGUCCAAAUUUUUUUUAAAUAAAAAUAAAAAUCUACAUAUGUUAUAAGCUCAUCCAAAAAAAAAAAAAAAAAUAAAAGUGUUGUAAAUUAUAAGGUGGAGCCCACAUGUUGGAAGGCUUUGCCUACAAAAGGGUUCACACCCUCCCUUUGUAAUUAGACAUUGAGAAUACUAAGGAAGACAGAAAUGAAUAGAGAGAAAACAUUCCCUUCUCUCCAUCUCAAUUCCCUCUCCAAUUCCUCUAGAUUUAUAACACGUUAUCAGCAGCACGAAUCGCUUUCAAACAAUACCAGCUGAAUUUUAUGAUGAAACCCAGAUCUCUCAUCCAUCUCUGCUGCUCCACUACUUCAAAAUAAAUCCCACAGAAAAAGAAAAAGCCUCAAUGCUCUCUCUCUCUCUCUGUCUCGCUUGGGAGACUUGGACAAUUCCUCAUCCCCGUUACUGACAAUUUCAACAGCUUCAGGGGAAGCUAGUUUAUCUUCCUCUGCUCACGAAACCAUGACUCUUUCAGAGCCAAACAACAACACAAUAGACAACGCAUGGAGACCAGACUGGAGCUCGUCGGCUAAGGCACCGACGAUCCGACCCUACCCGUAUGGACCUUCCGGAUGUGGUUCCUGGGUCUUGUCUCAUGUGCCCUCCUCUCAUUUCUCAACCAAUUCUACAAGCAGCAGAGCUUCAAAUCAAACAGAUCAUGGCAUCGCUUUCACACCUCCCCAUCUUCCUCUUCCUCCUGUUCACCGCUUUCUAUUCUACAGCUUCGCAGUCCUUCAUCGGCGCAUCCAAAGGCGACAUACCGGCGCUCGCCUCAGAUCCGAACGCGGCGGCUCAGUGGGUGAACUCGAAUGUCCUCGCCUUCUACUCGGCCAGCAACAUCGACCUCAUCAACGUCGGCAACGAGGUCCUUUUUCUCCAACGACCAGGGCCUCAUCUCGCAGCUCCUCCCCGCCAUGCGAAAUGUCCAAUCUGCCCUCUCCGCCGCGUCCCUCGGCGGCAAGGUCCGUGUCUCCACGGUCCACUGCCUCGCCGGAUCGGGAUCCUUCCUUCAAGUGUUUCUCUGUCUUCGACUUGAAAAAGAAGGUCAUGGCAGGCCUAUGUAAAAAUUGCGAAAAGGAAGGCAAUCUUCAACCUUUUCUCCUGUCUCUCUCUUGAUCAAUUCAUGGAAGGCACAUUUGGGUCUUCCGGGGGCUCAUCAAAUGAGUCAGCAAUGUCAAAGGUGGAGGUGGUGGAGCAAGACUACGUGGGGAUGUCAUAUGAGGCAACCUCAUACCCAGCUGAGGCAGAGCUUGUGCUGGGCCUGGGCCUUGGCCUGAGCCUUCGUGGUGGUGGUGCAGGGAAGCAGCCAAAGCCAUGUGCAUGGGGUGAGCGUGGUAGAAUCUUGACUGCUAAAGUUAGGUGCUGAGUUACACUGUGUUCUCUGCUACUGACCCUAAGAGGAGUGCUAGAAACUUCCAUGUUCCGCCAUCAUUUCGCUUUCACUGUUACAAGGCACUGGAGUAUGUUUAAUUGAAAAGUGAGAUACACAGCAAGUUGAUCAGCCUAGUGGAAAGCAAAGGAUUAUUGCCAGGGAUAUGAACACCCACCGAAAUAAAGGGAUAAGUACUCUUUUUCCCUUCGACCAGUUUUUUUUUGUCCCACUGGGUUUUUACUGGCAAGGUUUUUCACGAAACAUAUUCCGUAUCAUUUGUGGUCUCUAAGAGGGAGUGUUGUAAAUUAUAAGGUGGAGCCCACAUGUUGGAAGGCUUUGCCUACAAAAGGGUUCACACCCUCCCUUUGUAAUUAGACAUUGAGAAUACUAAGGAAGACAGAAAUGAAUAGAGAGAAAACAUUCCCUUCUCUCCAUCUCAAUUCCCUCUCCAAUUCCUCUAGAUUUAUAACAAAAAGUAAAUUCUACACAUAUGUUGCCCAUCCAGGUGGUCCCAUAUCUUCUCUUUCCUUUUCUUUUGGCUAUUAGACUUCUUGUUUCUCUCUCUCUCUUUGCUACCCCACAUCAGCAAGUUUCUCCCUCUCUUUUUUUGGGAUCAAAUUCUUCUUCUAUUGACAAAAUCUUCUAUUAUAUUGGGUGGGCAACUUGGCAACAACAUCUUCUCCUCUCCUUUUGUCAACAGCAAGUAUUAUUCUCAUUCUCUCAUUUGCUAUAUAUCUUUAAUUAUAGUUUUAAUUUAAAAUUGAGUAUUCUAGGGUUUAAUUAGGGAUGAAUUAUAAUUUUGGGAUUUUGUUGAAAUUAAUUAGGGCUUCGAUUAGGGGUGAAUUAUUCUACUGCUUUGAUUUGGAAUUUUGUUAAAAUUGAGUAUUAUAGGUUUAAUUAUGGAUGAAUUACAAUUUUUGGUUUUGGUAUUGUUGAGAUGUUAUUAUGAGAAUUUGUUUGAUUUUUUGUUGGUAUAUUUGAUUAAAAUUCUUUCUACAUAUUAUUCAUAGGCUAUCUUUUAUUAUGUCGGAUCACAAUCGGAAUCCCAAGAAAACAAAAAAUUUGAAUAGUGUUGUUUUGUAUUGCAUUGCAUUUACUUUUGGUUUUAGUUUUGCUUUUAGUGUAAAUUACUCAAAUGGUCCUCAAAUUUGUACCCAAUUUACAUUUUGGUCCAUAAACUAAAUUAUUCAUUCAAAUGGUCCACCAACUCUUUAUUAAUCGGUGCUUUGGUCCUAUCGUUAUGUUUUCUAUUAAAUUUAGUCAUGUGAGCAGCACAUGCUACAUUUGUAUGGGUAAAUAAGACUUUUGACCAGUGGCGGAUCCACGUUGGGACAAGAGGGGUCGGACGACCCCUUGGAAGGCUGGAAAUUUGGCAAGGGAGUCCAUGAAAGCCCCCUUGGACAGCUGCUGGAAGCCCCCUUGUAUGCACACAAUGUGCUCGACGAAAUGCCCCAACGAAAUGUCCUGCGCAGCUGUGCUGCGCCUUGCGCGUAAUUUUUUUUUAAAACCAGCCUUGCCAAACGACGUCGUUUGGUCAAGGCUCAGUCAAAUUUUUUUUUAAUUAACCUGGCCUCAAAACGACGUCGUUUUGGGCCAGGUUUAAAAAAAAAAAAACAGAACAGUACACACGCACAGCAGCUCUGCACAGAUUCAUUUUCUCCAAACCUUUCAUUCCCAAUUCCACAGCCCCUCUUCCCAUCCUCUCAAACCCUAACCUCCCAACCUCCCAACCUUGGACAACCUCCAUCAACUCUUCACCGGUGGCCCAAUGCCGAUCACCACCACCUUCUACCGCCGUCCGCCGCCCAUUUUUUAAACUACAAGUAAGUAAGCAUGGAAAAUCUGAUAUUAAUAAUUAUAGUGAUAAUAUAUAUUGUUGAUAUUGAUAUUUUUUUUUUAUGUAAUGAAAUUUAUGGAUAUGAAUCAUAUUGAUUGAUUGAGUUUAUGCUUGAAAUUUAUGGAUAUGAAUCAUAUUGAUAUUUUUUUUUAUGUAAUUAAAUUUAUGGAUAUGAAUCAUAGUGAUAAUCAUAUUAAUGUAGAUUGAUUGAGUUUAUGCUUGAUUGAUAAUAUGAAUUGAUUGGGUAUAUUAAAUAUUGAUUGCUAUUUGAUAUGAUAAUUUGGUAUAUUGAAUAUUGAUUGAUAUGGGUUUAGGGAGUAUAUUGAAUAUUGAGAGUGGGUUAUUGAAAUUUUCAUAUUCAUAUGAUAAUUAGGAUAAAAAUUAAUGAUUGAUUGAAUUAAUUGAUUUGUAGAUUUAUGGAACGAUUCUUUAAAAGAAAAUUAUCUACGGAUAGUUCUUCUCUGUCUAAUCCGGGUAGUUCAAAUGCAAGACCAAUUGAAGUAGAUGAGAUCUUAGCUAAUCUUCAAGCAGACCCUGGACUAAGAACUCGAAUGGCGGAUUAUAGUCCUAAUAUUAGGGAUGAGAUCCGAAGAGCAUAUCUACAAAAGGGACCUUGUCAACCUAGAAGUUAUAAAUUCCCACAAACUAAUCAAUCAGGAAUUAAUAGACGCUUCAUUGCUCAUUGGUUUGAUGAUCAUGAUUGGUUGGAAUAUAGUAUUGCUAAAGAUGCUACGUUUUGUCUUCAUUGUUAUCUCUUCAAAUCUAAUUUUGAUCAAGUGGGUGGUGAUGCAUUCACUGGGGUAGGCUUCAAUAAUUGGAAGAAGGCGAAAGAAAGAUUUAACCUUCAUAUUGGACCGGUUGGUAGUGUUCACAACCAAGCUAGAGAAGUUGCUUACAAUUUGAUGCAUCAAACUACACACAUUGAAACAAUUGUGCUCAAGCAAACAAGCCAAGCUCGCACGGCUUAUCGCACUUGCUUGAAUGCAUCACUUAAGUGCACUAGGUAUUUGUUGCGGCAAGGGCUUUCUUUUCGUGGUCAUGAUGAAAGUGCACAAUCAAGUAAUAAAGGGAAUUAUUUAGAGCUCUUGCAAUUUCUUGCGGAUCAUGAUGAAAAAGUUAAGGCCGUUGUAUUGGAAAAUGCUCCGGGAAAUUUAAAGUUAAUAGCUCCUUCAAUUCAAAAAGAUCUUGUCAAUUCUUGUGCCAAAGAAACCAUUGAUCUUAUCUUGAGUGAUGUAAAAGAUAGAUAUUUUUCAAUAAUGGUGGAUGAAGCACGUGAUGUUUCAAUAAAGGAGCAAAUGGCAAUGGUGUUGCGUUAUGUGAAUGACAAAGGACAAAUAAUUGAAAGGUUUGUGGGGGUUCAACAUGUAACCGACACUACUUCAAGUGCACUAAAGGAAACAAUUGAUGAAUUCUUUUCUUCCGCGAAUUUGAGCUUUUCCAAGCUACGAGGACAAGGUUAUGAUGGAGCUAGCAAUAUGAGAGGUGAGUUCAAUGGCCUUAAGAGAAAGAUUUUGAGAGAACAACCUUGUGCAUUUUAUGUUCAUUGCUUUGCUCAUCAACUUCAACUAGCUCUUGUUGCGGUAGCAAAGAAAAACAUUGAUGUCAACUCUUUUUUCACAACGGCUAAUAGUUUGGUUAAUGUGGUUGGAGCAUCUUGUAAGCGUCGCGAUGCACUUAGAGCACAAUACCAAGAAGAGCUUGUGAGAGCUUUUGAAGAUGAUUGUCUUAUAACGGGGCGGGGCUUAAAUCAAGAAAGGACUCUCAAACGUGCCGGCAAUACACGAUGGAACUCACAUUAUGGUACGUUGAUUAGUAUCAUUUCUAUGUUCCCAUCUGUGGUGAAUGUGCUUCAAAUGAUUGUUGAUGAUAAUCUUAAUGAUAGUUCGGGUGAAGCCUAUAAGUUAAGGAGAGAAAUACAAUCUUUUGAGUUUGUGUUUCACUUAUUUGUAAUGAAAGCUAUAUUGGGAAUAACAAACACUUUGUCUCUAGCAUUGCAAAAGAAAGAUCAAGACAUUGUGAGUACAAUGAAUUUAGUGAAAACAUGCAAGGAAAACCUGCAGUUGAUGAGGGAUAAUGAGUUUGAAGAAUUGGUUGGGCAAGCAUCCUCGUUUUGUUACAAAUAUGAUAUUAUAGUUCCUACCAUGGAUGAGGAAUAUGUAAUUCCAGGGAGAUCAUGGCGUAAUGCUCCAAUGAAGACAAAUUAUCAUCGUUAUCGUGUGGAGAUCUUUAUUCAUGUAAUUGAUGGGCAACUUGCGGAAUUAAAUGAUCGCUUCAACGAGGUAAGUACUGAGUUACUUACUUGUUUGGCAUGCUUGAGUCCAAAAAAUAACUUUGUGACUUUUGACAAACGAAAGCUAGUUCGUCUUGCUCAAUUUUAUCCUUAUGAUUUUUCGGAUAGAGACUUAUUGAUGCUUGAAGAUCAACUUGGUGUUUAUGUUCAUCAUAUGCGUUCGAGUAGUGAUUUUUCUCAAUUGGAAGGGAUUAGUAGUCUUGCGGAAAAAAUGGUGGAGAAAGGAAUGCAUGAAAUAUUUCCUUUUGUAUUUGCUUCUUACAUUGGCUUUGGUUUUACCGGUUGCAACUGCAUCAGUGGAGAGGGCAUUUUCCGCUAUGAAUAUUAUUAAAAAUCCACUUCGCAACAGAAUGGGAGAUCAAUGGUUGAAUGAUAGCUUGCUUGUUUACAUUGAGAGAGAUGUUUUUGCUUGUAUUGAUAACGAAAUUAUAAUGCAAUGUUUUCAGAAUAUGAAAACUCGUCGUGGACAAUUGUAACUUGUAUUAUUGGUUUUGUUAUGAAUUAUGAAUGAAAGUACUAUCUUUCUAUCUUUUUAGCAUUAUUUUCUUUGUAGAAAAAUUUCAGAACUUUUACACUAAGCCCCCUUGGCUACAUAAUCCUGGAUCCGCCACUGCUUUUGACCACUUUAUCACCUAUGUAUCACCACUUUAUAACCUAUUUGGGGAACAUAGGUCAGUUAUGGACGGUUUUACCCUUACAUUUGACGGCAACAUUAACAUAAUGUAACAGUGGGAUCAAUGGAGUGAUUAAUAUAAAGUUGAUGGACCAUUUGAAUGAAUAAUUUAAUUGAGAGACCAAAAUGUAAAUCAAGUAUAAGUUUGAGGACCAUUUGAGUAAUUUACCCUUCGCUUUUAUAUUUGUUGAACUUUUAUUUAUGAUAGAUAUGCAUUUAAGGGUAAGACCCAUUAUGUUCCCCUGGCUAGGUGUAUCUUUUUAUGUUUAUUAAUGAAAUUCACUCGAACUGUUGAGUUUAGUAUGUAAGUUUUGCCUAACUGGCUUUUGAAUCCUAGAACCGCCACUGUUGCUCCAUCCUCCAUGCACUUGCAUGUGCUCUUACAAAGUGUGAAGUAGAUUUUGUGUGCUCCAAGUCAUUGACUAGAGCUGAAACAUGGUUAGCUAGAUUUAUAAGGACCCAUCUCUUUAUUUCCUAGACAUAUACCCAUCUCUCUAUAAAUCUAUAUGUAAAACCUAAUUUCAAACUUAAAUGACCAGUAGGAUAUAAAAGGUCAUAGUAUUCCUAUGUUUUUAUAUCGUUGCCACCAGACUUCUUAUUUUAUUUAUAAUUUAUUUCAAGCAUUUCAUUAACUGCCAUAAUUGUAAUUAAUACUCCAUAUUAAUAGCAUAUCAAUCACCCCAUUUCUUUUGGUUGCCAUUCCCUCUAACAUAUCGCCCCUUAAAUUUGAAAACCAAAAAAAAAAAAUGUAAAUUACAUAUCCAAUAAUGUACCUAUGAAAAAUAUAAAUAUAAAUAUAUACAUAUAAAAAUAUAGGUAUAUUAUUUACCAAAUAGAAAAUAUAAAAACCUAGGUCAGUUGCUUUGUAAUUGAAAUUUCUGUACAUUUUCCACAAAUUAAAAAUAGGUACAUAAUAAUUUAUAGAAAAUAUAUGUACAUUAUUUAUCCAUAGGUAAAAAUACCGAUAAAUGCACAUAGGUGAAUUAUUUACCAAUAUAUUAUUUUUUUGCUAAGGAUUUACCUUAGUUUUUAGUAGAUUAAUUUACCUACCUAGAGGCAUAGGUAGCUUAAAAAAAAUGUACCACCUUAGUUGGUUGCAUACUAAUUUACCUACCUAGAGGCAUAGGUUGCUAAGAAAAAAUGUAGGUAAAUUCAUGUACCUAAACACAUAGGGGUCAAAUAGAGAAUAACAUGUUAUUUCCCUUUGAACAAAUUAAUUUCAAACCAUAACAAUUAUUGAAUUUGGAAAUUGGUAUAAAUAAAAGGAAAUAAAUAAACUAUCAAUUUGAAAAUUAAAAUAAGAAAUGAUCAAGUAGUCAUAUUUGAAAAAAAAGGAAAGAAUAUAUUCUUGGUUUUUAUAGGAACAACGAGUAUAUUCAAACCAAACGGCGAUAACUACACCAAGCUUUAAUUACUUUUUUUUAAGGCCAAAAGUCACUUUUGGUCCCUGUAGUUCGGCAUUUCUACCACUUUUGAUGUUGUAGUUUCAAUUCCGUCAAUUUUGCCAUUGUAGUUUCGUAUUUGUAGCAAUUCAAGGACCUGUUAAUAUUAAUGUCAAUUUGUUUAAUGAUGCAAGAGGUAAUUUCGUCAUCCCAAAAUCCUUGAGCAUAAAAGAUUGUCUGAAAUUCUCCCCAUUUCAUAUUAGGGCUCGAAAUUCAACCACUAAUCCUAAUUUUUGAAGAACCCUAGACCCAAAUGACCAAUUUCAAGCCCUAAUAUGAAAUUACGGAAGUUUUAGAUGAGCUUUUAUGCUCAAGGAUUUUGAGUUGAAGAAACUGCCCCUUGCACUGUCAAAUAAAUUGACAGGAAUACUGACUUGUCCUUGAAUUGCUACAAAUACAAAACUACAGUGUCAAAAUUAACAGAAUUUAAACUAUAGGGUCAAAAGUAGUUGAAGUGUCAAACUAUAAGGACCAAAAGUGACUUUUAGCCUUUUUGUUUCAAUAAGGAAAAAACUGACCUAUUAAAUCCUUGGAAUCUAUACAAAAUUGAAACACAAUUAAUCAACAUUGAAUUGCAGCUAAUUUCUUAAACAAGGGUAUUAUAGGAAUUUAAAAAGUAUAACAUUUAAUCCAUUGAAUUUGAUUAGGAAACUUGAUGAAUUGAAUCCUAGUUAUAUAGUUUUUCUUAUAAAAAUCAGGUUUUAUUUAUAGACAAAUAAAACAAUGGGUUGUAGGUAAGAAAAUAUUAAUUUGAAGGGAAAGAGUCAAAUUUACUAAAUUAAUAAAGCAUAAAUUGGAAAGGGAAAAGAUCUAGAGGAUGCAUUGUAGGAUUGCUCAUGCCAAUAAUUGCACCCUCUCGAUAUUGAAAAACCUAUUGUUUAUUAUUAUCUUCAAUCCUGAAUGAUGCACCUAAAACCCAAGUGUCUCAGGCCAACCAUUGCGCUCAUACCACUUGUUGCAGUACACAUUCACCUGUUUUUAAAGAAAGAAAUUCUACCAAUCGAUAUUUUCUCAAAUUUAAUCACAUAGAUCUAUUAUGGUUAACCAUAUGUACUUUUAUCUGCCAUCCAGAGGUACCUUUUUCCAACGUGCAACAAUUGUAUUUGAUUCACAAUUAUGUCUGAUAUACAUCACAUCAUGCCACUUGCCUCAAAUGAAUUUAAUUGAGUGAGGCAAUGGGAAGUAAUUAAGCUCUAUAUUGGUGGGUGGAGUGUUACUUCUGGAACCCUCAUCAUUCGUCCAUACAGGGGAACAAUUCCCUUCCUUCUAUAAAAUGGGAGCAAUUCUCUCACUGUACUCUAUAUAAAGGAAUAAGUGUCGUCCACUAAUUAAUUACACUUUGUGAGAUUUGAUUUUAAUUAGAGUUCGAAUUAAUGUUGCAGCUAGCAGCGGUGGCACUGGCAAACCAUGCUGCUCAACCAGCACCUCCACUUUACUGGAAUUCCAUCCUGCCAAACACACAAAUGCCAAGAGCUAUCAGUGAACUUCUGCAUCCUGAUUUGUGUUGAAUAGAUAUAGUAUGUUACUGGAGUACGUAUGGCAACAUAUUCACAAAUGUGUCACGUAUUUUCCAUUAUGACGUUGAUAUAUAAUUGCAGACUCCACAAACGAAGAAAAGAGCACAAAUGUCAUGAAUGCUGUUGGGAAUGGAAAGCCAAUUGACCACAAGGGCAAACCUGAAAAUACUGUACUACCACAGCUUGCACGACGCCCAUUUUCUUACAAGAGUGAUGAUCGUCCCACUGACAAUCAACUCCAUUAUAAAAACGUAGCUAUUUUCUUCUUGGAGAAGGACAUGCGCCCUGGCACAACAAUGAGCUUCCAAUUCCCUAGAAAUUCAAACACGGCUACUUUCCUGCCACGAGAAAGAGCUCAAUCGAUCCCCUUCUCCUCUAACAAACUACCAGAAAUUUUCAACCAUUUUUCAGUGAAGCCAACAUCUGUGGAAGCCAAAACAAUUAAGCAAACAAUCGAAGAGUGUGAGGCUCCAGGCAUUAAGGGAGAGGAAAUAUAUUGCGCCACAUCUUUAGAAUCAAUGGUUGAUUUUAGCACUUCGAAGCUUCGAACAAGAAACGUUCAAGCAAUCUCGACGGAGGUAUUGGAAAAAGGUGCCACCAUGUCCAUGCACAAGCACACAACAAUGCCGGGACUGAAGAAGUUGGCAGGUGUCAAAGUCGUUUUGUGUCAUAAGCAGAACUAUCCCUAUGCUGUGUUUUACUGCCAUGUAAUAAAACCAACAGCAGCUUAUGUUCUCUCCCUGAAAGGCGAUGAUGGGGUGAAAGUUAAAGCAGUAGCCAUCUGCCAUCUAGACACAUCAGAAUGGAACCCAAAGCAUUUGGCCUUCCAAAUCCUCAAAGUUAAGCCCGGAACAAUUCCCAUCUGCCAUUUCCUUCCCACUGAUCAUAUUGUCUGGGUUCCGAACCACAAAUCUGCAUGAUCAUCACUUAGCACUGUACGUAUAAUAACCUUUACCCCUGUAUAAUUAUCUCCCUACUCUACUUAUUUCUGCCUCUUCAUGUGGUGUAAGAUAUAUGAUGAGAUGAAGUUUUUGGGAUUAGUGGUCGGGUUGCCUUAAAAACACAGAUUACAGAAACUGCUUGAACUUAACCCGAUCAUGUUUUCUCUUGUACUCGUAAAGCAUGCUGUUGUGGUUCUACUUAAUUUCGUCCUCCCCAAUGUUUGAGUGUUUAAUUGUUACGUUGGAAUAGGCUGCUAAUGCAUGUAGUUAGAGAAGCUUUCAUUUAUAUCAAAGUCCUCAAACUAUCAAGAAUUAAUGCAUCCAGAAACAUAUAUACCAAGACGCAAAACAACAUAUUUUCCAUGCUGUGUCGGUAACACCAAAGCAAACUUCCUUUAUCACAAAAGGACCAAAUUCCAAUACUAAUCUAAUCCAUCAUGUAAAGCAUACAAUCUACAACUGCCUCCCUAAAUUUGUCCAUUGGAUAUAUAUGUCACUUUUUGGUAAUUUGGUAUAGCAGCACCACGUAGUAUGCAUUUAACAGAAAAGUAAACAAAAUUGACAGUAGAACUAUUUGUCCUAACGAAACUGAAGUUGAAAGACCAUGAGAACGAUUUUGAAAAUUAAGGGACUCAAAUGAAAAUUGGGUCUAAGUUCAGGGACCAAUAAAACGAUUAACCCAUAGAUUUUGGAUCCAGUACCACAUCCCAAAGAGAAAACCACAAGUUUGCAAGCAAGUUUGUCCAUACUAACACUACGUACAGUAUGGGCAAUGUGCUAGACUCAUCUCACUUUCUCAACCUAUCCUAUACUUGUCUAAAAGAGUUUCUAAUUUAAUGUACUGAGAUUUACGAAAGAAAUAUCAGAGAAACAAUUUUCAGGCAAUAAAAAAAUGUCUUGGCAAGAAAAUGCACAAUUUGUUACAUAACUUAUUAAAUAUGAACAGUUGAAAGAAAAAAGAAUUUGGAUGAGGGAUUUGCAAAUUCCUAUGGCCCAAUUACCUUUUUUUCUUUGUUUUUUUUUGGUUCUUUUGAUCCAGUAGCAUAUUCCAAAGAAUGAAAACCACAGGCAUGCAAUGCAAGCUCUUUUCCCAUGUUUUCCUCUGUUUUUCUCCUAUCAUGGAAGUGAUUAAAACACACCUCUAAGCUUGUUUUGCGUUUGGUAGCCGAGUGUAAAAGCUCAAUGCAAGAUAGUUUGAGGUAGAAUUUUCUCCUGUUUUAUUAGGACAAUGAUGAGCUAUAUGUGACAACAAAUUGCUUUAAUAAUGAAAAUUAAAAAAGUGUGAUUCAUUGAAUAUUUGCGGGGUUUUGUUCAGAGCUGACAAAGUUCUAAGUCAACACAUCAAAUUCCUUUUUCCAACAAUCGUAUUUGAUUCACAAUUUUGUCUGAUAUACAUCACAUCAUGACACUUGCAUCAAAUGAAUUUAAUUGAGUGAGGCAAUGGGAAGUAAUUAAGCUCUAUAUUGGUGGGUGGAGUGUUACUUCUGGAAUCCUAAUCAUUCGUCCCUACAGGACUCUAGAACUCUCACACUUCUUACAAGGACUACUUAACUCUAUAGCUUAUUGCAUAUAGCAUAUAUAUGCAAACCCAAUUAGAAAUUCUACAACAGAAGCAAGAUCAAUCUCACUAUGCCUUCUAAACAAACAAACAAAUAAAACAAGCAUAUUAAUUGCUUUAAUCACUCUACUAACAUCAACACAGCACACUUAGUUUACUAACAGAUGAUAUAGAAAGGAAAAAAAAGGACCAAUAGGGAGAAAAUGGUGAACUAAGGAGAGACUAAUACUUCUGGUCCUUAGAAGGCAUAACAGAAAUAAUAGAGCACACUGCUUGAAUGCAAGUCAGUAUUAGGAGCAAAACAGCUGCAAUGAAAGAAAUAGUUGCCCAAGGUGUAUUGAAAUAAUGUUGCCUCAAAUUUGCCUUCCAUUUGUUCCAAGGCUUUCUGCAGUAGCUAUUAAGGCGCUCAGAAAGAGUAGCAAAGUAGAAGCUUUCACGAUACACUGCAAUUCCUUUUCCGAGGUUGUUAAUCAGAGUGCACACCUCAUUGUAGUCACCAAGCAUAUUUUUGACAAUCCCAUACUUCAGAAGGAACUCCACAUCCUUUUCGGUGUUCACAAACUCAUCCAUGAGUGAAACAUAAUCACUUAUGUAAUUCUUACGGCAAUGGCACUAUUCAAAGGCAAUGAGGUUAUGGAGUGUGAGCUCUGUGUAAUCGUUUAUUUUUAGUUUUGGAAUUUCUAGAAUCCCAUCGUUGAAUCGUGUUAACGCAGCUUUCCUUUCCUAGCCUACGCGGAAGUCAACUUCACAAUCUCCUCCUAGCAAUUAGCCUUUCCUACUGUAAAUCGGAUUGUAUUCAUGUCUAUAUUAUUUCCUACCUUAAAUAGAUAUCCUGUACUAGUAUACAUAGGGACUUUGUGUAAUCUGUUAAAUACAAGGAAAUAUAUACUCUACAUGGUAUCAACCUAACCUAGGGUUCUCUCUCUCCCCCUUAUUCGAUCCUCUUCUCCUUUAGGUCCACCUCAUGGCUUCGUUUGAAUCCACCAUCUCCCUCCCAAGCCCUAACUCUUCUCAUUUUAUCAAGCUUACUAACUCCAACUAUCUUCUUUGGCUCCGCCAACUCAAACCCUUUUAGUUGGCCAUGACCUCUGGAAAUUUAUCGAUGGCAUUCAUAAACAACCUUCUGCCCACACCUCCACCUCUACCACCACAACACCCACAACCACCACCACUCUUACCGAAAUCAAUCCUACCUAUGCUCAGUGGUACCAACAAGACCAACUCAUUGUUAGCUACAUCACCAGUACACUCUCUGAGUCCAUUUUCUCUCUCACUGUCGGUUGCAUCUCUGCCCGGGAUCUCUGGGAGUGUCUCCAAUGCCACUUCUCUUAAUCCAAUAUGGCCAGUGAAUCUGCUCUUCGUUUUCAACUCAUGGAUUUGCAAAAAGGCUCUCAACCCAUUGAUGCUUACCUUCGUCAUGCUAAGUCUCUUGCCGAUUCACUAGCUGCCAUCAAUUAACCUGUCUCCCCAAAAGAACUUGUCACUGCUGUGCUUCGGGGUUUAGGACCCGAUCACAAAAUGCUCAUCACAGCAAUUCUCAAUUUCUCUCCGCUUCCAGACUUUGCUGAUCUUCGUGCUCGUUUGUUAGCUUUUGAUGCACAGACUCCUCGAAUCUUUCCUGAUCAAAACACAACGCUAAUGGCCACCCAAUCUUCUCCUUACACCACCGGUCAUACUUCCUUCCCUUCUCACCGUGGUUGUGGCUCUUCCAGCAAUAGGCGCGGUGGCUGGUGCAGUAUUGGCCGUGGUGGCUGGCACAACUUCUCAUCUUCCUAGAGCAACCCGUGGAAUGGCUUCCAGCAGCCCUAAUGACCUAAUCAACUGUGGCCUCCUUUUGCUCUAAGUUUUGGAUCUCAAAGCAACUGGCCUUCCUUUCAACCUCUUUGGGCCCAAUCUGCCGCUUCUAGCAAACACUCUGCCCGACCCAACUCAGCUCCUGGUGUCUUGGGACCCGCUUGGUGCACCACAUGCAAUACCAAUCGACAUACUACUACAACAUGUCCUUAUUGCUACAAUGGCCCAGAAUUCUUCCUUUGCUGGGGCUCAAUUCAUGCAGCCACCUAACUCUACAUGGUACCCUGACACAAGUGCCACUCAUCAUAUGACUGGUAGUUCUUCUAAUCUCCAAAGGAAAUUAAAUGAAGGAGUCCUACGAAGGCUCAAGGCUCGAAAGCACACGAUCCGGCUCUGCUGCGGAGCUCACUCAACUACUGGCUGAGGGGGCGCAAAACAGAAAAUUGUGAGUGGACAAAAAUAAAAAUUCAGUUCAGUGUAAACCAACGUAAUAUAACCCCACCGUUUAGAAAACCAUGCAAGAAAUCCAAAUGCAUCUCAAAACCAUCAUAAUCAUCAAAUCAAAAUCAAAUACUGGAUGCCAAGUCCGAAAUCCAUAAAGAAAGCUUUACAAACCCACCAUCCAAAUCUUACAAUCCCACAACUAAACUCUCGAAAGCGUACCCAUUGGCAGUACCAGCAAGGAAGUAUCCUCACCGAGAAACAAGAACAAAAGAAUAGCUAUAUAUAUAAUUAUAUAAUAUAACCACACCUAGUUGUACCGGGAAAACAAUCCAACCGGGGGAUUGUUUGACUAGUCACCAUGGCAGAGUCAAAGUAAACAAAUUCCUCAAUUCACCAUGUGACUAGGGAACGAGCUGUCCAACUGGGGGACCAACUCUCAGCCAGCAUGUACCGUCGAUAGCCUCAAAACCCGUACGUCUGUGACCAGUCCUACGCGUGCAGACUACCCAAUCAAGGGUUUACAGCAACAUCCCAUCAAGGAUGCCCUAGGUUCCCACAAUUCCAAGUAUCUCAAGUUUGCGUAUCCAAGUUCCAAAUCCGGGGAGGUACAUAGGGUAGUGCUUAUAGCACUCCAAAUUGACAUUCUAUACUCAUCACUUUCCACAAUCUCAUCUCAACAACCUAAGUACCCCACACAUAGCCAAACAUAUAUAGAAAUUCUCAAAAUCCAUAUAUACAUACUCAAGAUACUCAAAUAUGUCAAAAUCCAAAAUAUAUUUCCAAUGCAUCAUAAAAAUAUCACUUUUAACAAUUGAAUAAAUAAUAUAUAUCCAAUAUACCAAUUAAAACAUCAUGCAUAAUAUUUCCCAUCAUAAAAUCAUGCAUAAGAUUUGAAAACAAAGUCCACUCACAAGUAGUCCCACACUGCUUGACCUUGAGAGGGUCCCGCCUACUGCGUAUGCGUGGUUGGAGUACCUAUUUCAGAAUACGUAUACGAGAUUAAUAAGAAGCGUUUCGAACGAGAACUUUGAAUUAAAUAUCCUAAUUUCCCAGGUUUCUAGUAAGUGUACUAGGAACGAGACGUUCUAAGGUUCCACUACCCAAUUCGAACCAUGGAAGAGCUUCGGGAGACACUCGGUCAACCGGCGGUCAAAUUCCCAAAUCGGGUCAACUGGCCCACGGGACCCACGACCUCCGUUUUUAAAAUCCGUAAGUUCCUAAAGGUUUCACAAUGUCUAAGAUACUACUAUCACAAGUUUGGUCCGAAACGGACUGUUAGAUCGCUUACGAUCGCACGAUCAGACGGUUAUUGUAAAACGUAAACUUUAAGUUAUUGAAUCAGAACAUCCGGGGCUCCGAUUCACGAUCCGCGAAUUCCUACACGAUCCUAGGAAGGUCUAGAGUAACAUAUAUUGGAAUGGAGUCGAUCCAAAGGUCCGAACAUAUCGAACCUAGACCGGAUAACUCCUAAUAUGUGAGAUUCGUUCGGGGUUCGAACAUCAACCAAAUUGGAAUCCUAAGGUACCUACGUGCUCGUGACAUUAAGGGGAUCAAUUGGGACAAAAAUGCCCCUCUGCUACAGUGCCCACGUGCCACCACACGCGGCGGUAGAGAGUGGGUGUCCAAAGCGAUUUCUCUUCGCCGGAAAAUCUCCAAAUUACAAGCCACUCUCCUGGCUACAGGUUCUACUCAACGAGUGGAACACUUUAUUCAACUACAGCCAAGUCCAAUUCGGACGGCAAGUGGCCGGAAACUCACGGUUUAACCCGGAACUUCAUGGCUUGGAUUGGGCGACCAUCGUCACCAUUGUCGUGGCACAACCUAGGAAAUAGCUAAAAGGAGAGGAGGGCUACCUAUUCCAAGCGAUGGCGCAGCUCGCGGUAGCCGAAAAUGUAGCCGAUGACGUUGGCAGUUUUGGCCGGUUUUUCACGUCGUUGCCAUCGCCGUUUGUCGAGUUUUCGAUUGGAGAAAAGGGGUGGGGUGAGUAGAGGAGGAAGAGAGGAAGCUUUUGCAAGAAAUGACACUUGUCAGGGAGGGGGGGGUUGGGGGAAGAGAGAGAGAGAGAGAGAGAGAGAGAGAGAAAAAAAAAAAAUUUCAGAUUUUCAUCCAAACCCUUUUCGAAAUAUUUACAAGUUUGCCACUAAACUACUUUUGGUUGCCAAAUCUUCGUUAUAACUCCGAUUCAAGCCUACCACGUGUCUACGGAUUCGUCUCAAUACAACCUACCCAAAAAUACCAGUCACUGCCCCAAACUCUUUUUGGGUAAGAAAAUGACCAAAAUACCCCUACCCCAAGGGUAAAUUCAUAAUUUCACUUCAAUAAUUUAAUAAAGAAUUAAAUUUGGAGUCGGGGUGUUACAUUAACUACCUGUUUAGUAGGUGUGGGGUUUUAUACAAAAAGCAUCGAUGUUAUUGGGAGUGGAACCACUUAUUAUAAGUUGUGAUUUAUUUAGUCAAGUUUCCUAUGUGGGAUUUUCUAUUCUUCAACAAGCCCCCUCAUGUGGGACCACCACAUAGUGGGCCACAUGUAAAGCUAAGUCCACAUCGGAGUCAAUCAUUCAAGCCCAAUACCUAAACACCACGUAUUGUGUGAGGGGUAGGGGUAAACAUUCAAGCCCAACAUGUGAACCACCAAAUAUUAAGUAAGGGUAAAGGCUCAAUUCAGGCCCAAUCAAUGAACCCAUUAUGAUAUCAUGUUAAAUUUCAGAUAGACGGGACUGUGGCCCACCACUAGCAACAUUGAUAUUGUCCCCAACUUAACUACAUGUUUAGUAGGUGUGGAGUUCUAUACAUAAGGUCUCGAUGUUUUUAGGAGUGGAACCACUUAUUAUAAGUUAUAAUUUAUUUAGUCAAGUUUCCAGUCAACCUGACUUUGAUACCAUGUUAAGAUUUUAAAGGGACGAACUCUUGGCACUAUUAGUAACAUCGACAUUGUCCCCAACUUAACCACCUGUUUAGCAAGUGUGGGGUUUUAUCCUAAAGGCCUCGAUCUUAUUAAGAGUUGAGUCAUUUAUUAUAUGGAACUUUCUAUUUUGUUAACUCUGUGUAUUCUUCAUCAAUGUGAACACCCCUAAACCAAUCAUACCUGAUACGAAUUGAAACACAAGUUUGUUUUUUGCCUUUGGUAGAUGAGUAGCUAGAAAAGCUCAAUGCACUUGCUCUUCUGCUACAUUUCAAUAUAAGAACAAGGUUUGGAAGUCAGGUCAACUCCUCAUAGCUUCCUUGCCUUUGCUUUGACAUGUCUAUGCACUUCUUGGGGAAGUUUGAAUAAUCCAUUGCAGGCCCCAUGACAACUAAGGAACCAACAUUUUGUAGAAGGUUUUGUCUAUACCUUUUGACUAUAAGUAAAAUCUUUUGUAUCUGCUCUUAUGUUUCGGUGAAGUUUCUAUGUGUCCUUUGUGCCGAGUUUCUAUGCGUCCUUUGUUGAACCAAAAAAUGAGGUUGUUUCUUACUAGAUUCAAAUACUUAAAAGAAAAAAAGAAAUUGUUGUUUCUUAAUGGAUUUUAUGAUGAACAAUAUCAAACUCUCCUCUUAUACGUCUGUUGGUAAAUUUUAACAACAAUAUUAAAACCUUGCAAGUGCACAAAUCAAAUGAUAGUAUAGUAAGCAAGCAAGGGUCGAUCCCACGGAGAUUGUGAUCUAAAGAGAUGUUUAUCAAUGUCACGCAAUGAAAAUCAAAACAAAGGACUUCCAAACACACGCCAACACCAAGGGGGGUUUUGAUUUGUUUUUGUGAAUCAAACAAAAUAAGGAAAAGGAAACAAAAGAGAAUUUAAAUUAGAGUUUAAGAGAAAUUGGUUUAAAAUCAAUCAAGAUCAAUAGCUAGGACUUACUAUCCACCUCCAAACAAUCAAUCAAUCCAUAAACAACAAUAGAUAAUCAAUUUCUAGUAAGCACACUACUACAAAAAAGCAAAAAGACGACGGUAAAUCACCGUCGUGUAUUCGGUUUUUCAAUGGUCGUGGAAUCCACCGUCAUCUUUUCCCUCAUAAACCACGACGCUAAAUCACCGUCGUUGUUACAAUAUACAACGUCAUCAACAAAUACAAAACGACGUCUUUGUACUGCAAAAAGAUCUAAAAAAGCAAUCGAUGAUGAGAAAAGACGACCAACUCUCUAAACAAACCGUCGUUAAAAAGAAAAAAUAUGACACAUAUUAACAGAACAUGGCCGCAAGAUAGACAUACAACGACGAAAAUUAAAAUAAGACGCCGUUAAAUAUCAUUUUCACGACAAUAAAAAAUAUGUCGUCUUUAAAUACAUUAGAAGACGACGUUAUUGAUACCUACUACGUCGCCUAUAUAAAAAUAACCGUCGUAAAAUAAAUUUUCCACUUCGAUUUUUCUAUAAAAGAUGACGUGGAAAUAGUUGUCAGUGUCAUUAUUUACGACGUAUGUAUUUAUAGAGUAGACGUUGAACAACGAAACAACGUCGGUUACAAAUAUAUGAGAGUCGUAUUACAAAAUUUAUACGUCCUAUUUUCAGAAACAAACAACGACGAUAAAUAUUAGACGUUGUUAAAUAAAACAACGUCGAAAACAAAUAAAAACAGACGUGUUUAGUCUGCUAAAGUUCUAAAAAAUAGUCGAGGAUGAGAAUAGACGACCAACUCAAACAAAUCACCGUCGUUAAAAAGGAAAAAUAUGACACAUAUUAAAAGAACAAGGCCGCAAGAUAGACAUACAACGACGACAACUAAAACACUACGCCGUCAAAUAUAAUUUUCACGACAAGAAAAAAUAUGACGUCUUUAAAUACAUGAGAAGACGACGUUAUUGAAAUAUACUACGUUUCUUAUUUACAAACAACCGUCGUGAAAUAAAUUUUCCACUUCGAUUUUUCUAAAAAAGAUGAUGUGGAAAUAGUUGUCAGUGUCAUUAUUUACGACGUAUGUAUUUAUAUAGUUGACGUUGAAAUGCGAAACAACGUCGGUGGCAUUUAUAUAGUCGACGUUGUAUUUAUAUGUAUUCAUUACUCACGACGCACUUAUUAAUAUAGACGACGUUGAACUUCUAAACAACGUCGGUUCCAAAUAAAUGAGAGCCGUAUUACAGAAAAUAUAGAUGGCGUUGAUUAUGAUGAGAGCCGUAUUACAAAUAACGUCGUUUAAUUGAUAUUAGACGGCGGUUAUAAUGAAUUACCGUCGGAAUUCAUUUCGUUCCUCUUCGUUUAUAAAAGAACUUGCGACGUGGAAAAUGUAUGAUGACGUCGUAUUUUUUAACGUUCAGAUUAUAUAUCUCGUUUUUUAGACGUCGGUAUUAUGGGAUUGGAGUCGUGUUAUUUUGAAUUACAUGGCGGUUCUUAAUCCUUCCCCGACGUGAUAUCCUGAAUAAUUGCUUCAUAAUAGCGUCGUGGUUCUUCAUUGUUACGUUGCUUUAAGACGUCGGUAAAUAUGCUGAAUAACUGGUUCACAAUAACGUCGUGUUUUAUUUGAACGUAGAAAGUGAAGAAAUCACAUUACAAUAUAUUACAAAAUUAAUGUCAUACACUGCCAAUUACAUAAGCAUCAUUCAAUCCAUAUAUCUUCACACCCAUCUCGAAUAUUUUGACCGCCUAACUCACCCACCAGUUCAUCAAAUGUGUCAACAUUUGGCAUCCCUCUAGUAAAUGGCUCACACUCAAUUAUCACAUCACCUAAGACUUCAUCACCAAUAACAUUAUUAUAUUCUCUAUUAGGCAUUGAUAACACUACCGACCAACCACGAUGCAUCGGGUCGUCAACAAAAAAUAUUUGUUUGACUUGAGAAGCCAAAACAAAUUGGUCAUUCCUAUGUCCAAUUUUACUCAAAUCUACAAGGGUAAAUCCAAGUUCGUCGACUACAAGACCAGAACUAUCUAUCCAAUCACACCUAAAGACUGGGAUUGUAAACUUUUGGUAGUCAAGGUCCCAAAUUUCUUGAAUGACACCAUAGAAACCCAUAUUUGAGAGAAUUGAGUUUUUAUCCUUGGCACUAGCAACUUGCAUGGUAUGUGCAAGUAAAUAAACUCCACUAUUUUGAGUUGUCCGCACAUCAUCUUGUGCCUUGAUAUUGAAUUUAAUACCUUUAAUAAGAUAGCUCCUAUAUAAUGGCACAGCCAUGUUUGGACCAGCUGCUAGCCACCUUAAAUUUUCUGAUACGCCAUGAUUGUCUUCCUCAAGUUCACUUUGAACCUGCAAAUUAAUCAUAUAUCUUAAUGCAAUCUAACAUAGAAAUAAGAAGAAAAUUAAAAGAGAAAUAUGUUAUUCAACAACAUAUACCUUGAAGCGUAGCCAUUGAAUGAAAGUGUUAUUGUGCUUAUCCUGCAGCCACUUUGUGAUUUAAGGUAUGACAAUCAUGUGAUUUAAGGCCAAGAAGUCUUGAAUCUUGUAAAGAUACAAGAUUUUUAAUAUUUGAAGAAUAACCUUCAGGGACCUUCAUACCAUAGAAAGAAUUGCAAACCUCUCUCUUCUCUGCUCUUGACAAAUUCCAAGGCCCAGGAGGCAAACGAGUACGUCUUUCUCCAUACUCGGGUUGCAAAUCAGUUUUGACCCCCAUGUUCAAUAAAUCUAAUCGAGCAGCAAUCCCAUCUUUAUUUUUUCCAGGGAUCUCCAGCAAUGUACCAAUGAUACUAUCGCAAACAUUCUUCUCAAUGUGCAUAACAUCUAGGGCAUGCCUCACAGGAAGGUAUUUCCAAUACUCGAGAUCAAAGAAUAUUGAUUUCUUCUUCCAACAAACUCUGUCACCAUUUUCAACCAUGUGCAGCACUUCUUCUCCGGUUAAUGGCUCGGGAGGUAUGCCAUAUUCAGGUUUCCCAUUAAAAGCUGCACGUUGCCUCCUAUAUGGAUGAUUGAUUGGUAACCAUUUUCUAUGCCCAAUGUAACAAAUUUUGUGGCCAUUUUCAACCUGUGACUAGGUGUAUCAUCGCCGCAUAUUGGACAAGCUUUAUAUCCUUUAACAACACAACCAGAUAAGUUUCCAUAGGCGGGGAAAUCAUUAAUUGUCCACAUUAAUGCAGCUCUGAGUGUAAAGUAUUCUCCAUUAUGUGCAUCAUACACUCCUCUAAUCCCAUCCCACAAAGAUUUUAAAUCAUCAAUCAAAGGCUCCAAGUAGACGUCUAUAUCAUUUUCGGGUUGUUUAGGACCGGAAAUCAAUAAGGUUAACAUCAUGAACUUUCGUUUCAUGCACAGCCAUGGAGGGAGAUUAUAUGUAACUAAGAUAACCGGCCAACAACUAUAUCUGCUACUUAGAGAACUGUGGGGAUUGAAUCCAUCAGAUGAAAGAGCCAAUCUCAAGUUUCUCGGCUCAUUACCAAACUCAGGCCAUUUAUCAUCAAGAAGUUUCCAAGACGGGGAAUCCGCCGGAUGAGACAUCUGACCGUCAAUUGAUUUUCUAGCAGCAUGCCAAGUCAAACUCUUAGCUGUCUCAUGUGAUUGAAACAUCCUUUUAAACCUUGGAAUUGGAGGAAAAUACCACACCACCUUCGCUGGCACAUCCUCUUUCAAGAUUGAAUCUUUGCCUUCCUUCCACCUUGAGAUACCACAAGUAGGACAAUUAGUUGAAUCCUCAUACUCCUUCCUAUACAAGAUGCAAUCAUUGGGGCAUGCGUGCAUUUUCUCAUAACUCAGCCCCAAUGCACACAAAGUCUUUUUUGCCUCAUACAUAGAGGUUGGUAUUGUAUUUCCUUCUGGAAGCAAAUCGCCUUGAAGUAUCAAUAAUUCUGUAAAACAGACAUCACUCAUCCCAUGUUUUGCCUUCAAAUUAUACAACUUCACUAAUGCCGAUAACUUCGUGUACUUUCUACAACCAGGGUACACUGGUUGAUCUCCAUCCCCAAUCACAUUGGCAAACUCAUACGGAUCGGAACCAAAAUCACCAAAAUCAUUAUCAUCCAUAUCAAUUUCUUCAGACACAAAACUGUACCUACUAUGGCCAUCAUCUUCUUCAACAUUUCUACUAGCAUUAGUAGUUGCUUCCCAAGGUUCUCCGUGAAAUGUCCAAUUCUUAUAGCUUUGGUCAAUUCCAUUAAAGUAUAAGUGAUCCCUUAUAAUUCCAACCCCAAACAACUUCAAAUUAACACAUUUAACACAUGGACAACGGAUAUGUGUUGUAGUUAGAAGAUUUUCUACAGCAAAGUUCAAAAAUGCUUCCACCCCAAACUCAUAUGCCUUCGAUCUUCUAUCCGAGUGCAUCCAUGACUUAUUCAUCUCCGACACUAUAACCUAUUAUCUAUAAUAAAGUGAAAAUACAGGCAAUGACCAUCACUAUAGCAGAUUAUACAAAGAUCUAAUAGCAAGUAAUACAUAACAGAGACGACGGGUUUUAAACAAAAACAGACGUAUUUGGCAUAUAUAGACGACGGAUUUUCAACAGACGUCGUCUAAUAUAAGUAAUACAAACGACGGUUUAUGAAAAAACCGUCGUGUAUAAGUAAUACAACGACGGUUUUUUCAUAAACCGUCGUGUAAUCGUCGUCGUAUGCCUAAAAAGGCGUCGUGUCUCAGUUUAUUUUCAAGAACCCAAAACCCAUUAAGAACACAACAUAUAUAUGAAACCAAGCAAGAAACCAACAUAUACAUGAAGCCAAGCAUGAAAACAAUAAAUCCAUUCCCAAUUCAACAUAACAUAGGGUGAUUAAAAGAUCCGACAAAAUUAAAACCAUUCCCAAUUCAACAUAACAGAUAAUGUAAUCCAUGAACCCAUUAAACAGAAAAUCCAUGAACCUAUACCUAUAAGCACAUUAUUAACAGAUCGCAAAGCAUAUACCUAAAACCCUUUAACAAAACAACCUAAUAUCAUUCAAUGAAUUUACAAAGGGAAGAUAGGGUUUGUACUUACAGGUUGGACGAGCUCACAGAUUCGACGAAGCCUGGAGAGUGCAACUUUUAAUUAGAGCAGAAGUGAGAGAGCGAAUGUUAUGUUGCGCGAAAUCUGAAAAUUUUAGGGUUCAGGGUUAGAAGUAUAAGAAUAAGAGCCAAAUAUAAAAAAAUUUAGGGCGCGCGAAAAUUUUUAGAGCGCGCGCUCUUUAAAACGUCGAAAGAAAAACCAUGGCGAAAGUUCUACAAGAACCGACGUAAAUGUAAUAUUCCACGACGAAAACACUUAACGUAACGCCGUUUAUUUUGACGUUCAUUUUUCGGAUUAAUUUUAAAUUUAUUUUGAAUAUUUUGAUAUAAAGACGACUGAAAAACCACGUCGAAGUUAAGAAAUUGAAAACGUUGUAAAUUAUAAUAGACGACUUACAUAUUAAAAUGACGUCGUUUAAAGUGGAAACCAUGUCGGAUAUUUUACUGCACGACGUAACAUAUGUAUUCCACGACUCAACCACCGUCGUUAACAAUUAAUACCCUAAACCCUUAAAACUAAAUUAUAUAAUUUUAAAAAUUAAGUUUAUAAAAGGGUUUAUGGUUUUACAGCCUAAUAUAUACCCUAUACUACCCAAAAAUUAUACUUUAAAAAUAAACCCCAAUAAAUAACAACCCUAAUCUCUAAACCCUAGACUCUAAACCCUAAACCAUAAAACUAGAAGUGAUUUUAUGACUCAUCAAAACAAUUUUGUUUUGGAUGGUCAUUUUAAAUUUUUUUUAUUCAAAAUGAAUUUUUUCAAGGUUUAGGGGGAAGAAAAUAUAUCAAUGACUUCAUAGGAGUUGACUUUUCAUUUUUCUGAUUUAUUUUAAAUUUAUUUUGAAUAUUUUGAUAUAAAAAUAAUAAAAUAUUCUUAUCACAAUAACAAACCACGUCGGUGUUAAUAAAUUUUAGACGUUGUAAAUUGUAAUAGACGACUAAGUUGUUAAAAUGACGUCGUUUAAAUGAGAAACCAUGGCGGAUAUUUAACUAUCCGACAUAAAAUAUAUAUUCCACGACUUAACCGCUGUCGUUACAAAGUACUACCCUGAACCCUUAAGAAAUUGAAGACGUUGUAAACCAUAAACGACUCAAUUGUUCAAAGAACGUCGUCUAAAUAUCCUUUUACGUCGGAUUUGGUUAAAACGAAACAACAAAAAACGACGGCUUUUGACUUUAUUACGUCGUUGGAAAAGUAUUACACGUCGGUUACGCAAUUUGUAUGUUUGUUUUUUUUUUUAAUUUAAGAAAACCUCAACAAAUUUUUACAUUAUAUAUUAUAGACAAAAUUUGUACAUUAUACAUAAAUAUCAAGUGUUCAAUAAUUCCCCUAUUCCAGGUGAAGGCAAACAAACUCUGACCAUUCAUUCCGGACUUCAUCAAUUGCUUCUUGGGGGUAUGGCGCUUCCUGUUUUCCCUUGGCAUACUGCAUAAACAAUGACUAUUAGGGUUUAUAAAUAAAAAGAAAUUCAAUCACAGACGACGAUAUUUUUCAUAACCGACGUACUAUAUCUAUUCAACGACGGUAAUUUUACAUGACCGUCGUUGAUAAUACAAAAAACGACGUAAAAUGUAUGAAGGUAAUUUCUUCUUACCUUCUUCUCAAACCCCAAGGAAGGAUCCAUGAUGAUGUCCCUCAUGAAGCGCAUCACAUAAUACCCGCAUUCGACAUUGCUGGGUUGCUUUGGUGUCCCUGACAGAGUUUUCCAAAUGGCUGCCUUACGGCCUGGUCUGGCUAUGUGAGAAUUAUAAAUUUUUAUAGCACUGUUCACAAUGUUUUUGGCCUCUUCAUCGACCACACGAUUUCCUGGCAGAGGAUCCAGAAAAUAGACGGUUUCUCUCUUUGCUCUUACAAUCAGCAAGAUCCAAUGACGGCUGCACAAAAUUAAUAUAAAAACGACGGUUAUUUACAAUAACGACGUAUUAUAAUGUUUCACACGACGAAAUAAAGUAGCAAUCGACGACAUUUUACAUUUAUCACGACGAUAAAUAACUACCGACGUGGUUAGUAGUUUCAAACGACUCAAUAAAAUAAAACACCGACGUGGUUAGUUUAUACGCUGUAAUUUAUUGAAAAUCAUAAAAACAAAAUCCUGUUAAGGAGACUAACCCUGGAUUGUAAGGCAUCAGGAAAAUCUGUUCACCGUCAGUCUUUUGAAGUCGAGCUGCUAGUAAGCGUGAUCUGUCAGCUAUUGUGCCAGAGUUGGCACUAACUGUAGCAAGGUCGAUAAAGCCAACCAUAUUGCACAUAUUUGCUCGUUUCAAAACAUCGUGCAAGUGCCUAAAUAUAUAAAAUAAUAUAAACAAGUCAGCACAAAAAAACACACGACGGUUAUGUAUAACAAAACGACGUAUUAUAAAAUUUCACACGACGUACUGAAAUAGACAACGACGUUAUAAUAUAUUUAUCACGACGGUAAAUACUAACGACGUGGUUAGUUAGUUAAGACGACGUAAUAAAUAAACCAACGACGUAUUAUUUUAGAAUGACAAACCUCAUAUAUACAAAAAAACACGACGGUUAUGUAUAACAAAACGACGUAUUAUAAAAUUUCACACGACAUACUGAAAUAGACAACGACGUUAUGAUAUACUAACGACGUGGUUAGUUGGUUAAGACGACGCAAUAAAUACACCAACGACGUAUUAUUUUAGAAUGACAAACCUCAUAUAUACAGCAAUGACAGUGGCUCCUAUUUCUUCCAUGCCUGCAAAUUGUGUAAUAUCUUCAGGCAGGAGGAAGGUAUCGCGCUCUAGACCAAACACCUCCUUAUCAAUUGUAAAGUGCAGGGUCUUAUCCUGAGGCACGAGUGUCGUUUCCACAUAACGACAAAGGGAGUUUAAAGAAGAUGGCGCCUCCAUAUUUGAAUAAUCAACAACUUUAAUAACCUGUUUAAAGAAAUAUAAAAAAUGACGUGGUAAUUCAAUAAAAACGACGGUUUAAGGAAUAAAACGUCGUCUGAAAAGAAUUUAAACGUCGUCUGAAGAAACCGUCGUGGUGAAUAAUUUAUUACGUCUUAAAAAAAAUUCCGCCGUCUAAGUUGUAAACAAACGACGGUUUAAAGAAAAAUAUCGACGUCUGGAAUUUUGAAAAACAAAUAAAAAAGGCAAAGUUAUGUGAACAUACCUGGUCGUCAUCUUCUUUCUCCUUUUCAUCAUGUUUUUCUUCUGUCUUCCCUUCAUCUAUUACGUCGAGAAUGACUAACUCCGUCGUCUAAAAACCACAAAGUUUUAAAAUAACGACGUUUAAUGGCGUGUAAAACAAGUAAACUAAAUACGACGUGGUAUUGAAAUACAAACGACGGUUUAUGUUUAAAAUCGUGGUGGUAUGUAUUUCAAACGACGGUUUUAUUAAUAAUAACGACAUCUAAUGGUUUUUAAAAAAACAGAGAAUUCAAAGUUCAGAUAUGUUACCUUUUCUUCCUGAUGUUUCCCAUUUUUGGCAGUAUCAUCCUCAAAAUGCUGGGAUCUCACAUCACCUCCAGAGCAGCUUGCUUUGUCAGACAUUGGAUUUUUGGGACUUUGGCUAAUUCUGGGUUUAAGCAUGCUUGGAUCAAAAUUGGGAAUUAAUUGGGAAAGCUGACUCAGGAAAUGCUCCCUCUCAGCCUCUACCAAUUGUUUCGUUCUAGCCUCCAUCCUUAAAGCCUCUUCCCUUGCCUUAGCUUCCAUCUUUUUAGUCUCUUCUUGAAGGAGAACUCUUAAACUGUCCUUCAAACGGUCGUCAAAGCUCACUCUCUGUGGUUUGGGUAAAUUGAAAUAUUGCCUUGGUGAGAUCCCAGCACCUACUCCUCUCACUCUGCCUGGAUGCUCGGGGCCCAAAGCCAUGGUCAGCACAUCAUUGCUGCCAGAAACAGUGACUUUGCCUUCCGAGACUUGUUUUUGCAAUUCAUCCUAAAACAAAGAUAUAUAAAAAAGUAAGAACAAAAACACACGACGGUUAUUUAUAUACAAACGACGUAUUAUAUAAUUUCACACGACGCAAUAACAUAUAAAUCGACGUUAUUAUAAUUUAUCACGACGGUAGUUUUUAAACCGACGUGGUUAGUUUUUAAAACGACGAAAUGAAUAAACCACCGACGUCUUAUGCUUUAUUUACAGAUAACAGAGGGAUGAUUCAAUAUUCACACCUUUAACGACCUUGUUUAAAAUAUUUCGACGUAGUAAUUCAAUACAAACGACGCGAAAAUGAACCACCGACAUCUUAUGCUAUAAUUACAGAAAACAGAGUAGUGAUUCCUGAUUUAGACCUUUAACGAUGUGGUAAUAUCAUUCACACGACGCAAAAUAUAACAUAAGACGUAAUAAGAAUUAUUCACAGUUUAAUAAAAAUUUAAAACAGAGUGAGUAGGCUUACAAUUAAUUUUGCUUUCUCUGCCACCUUUGGAUCCGGGAUGUUACCAUGUUUGUCCUGUCUAGCUCUCUUCCAUAAGGUAGAUCGAUCAAUUUCUACCCCAGGCAUGGUUUCCUCCAAUUGAUCCUCCAAACCAGCAUAUCCUUUUCGAGACAAUCGAUGAUUGUACUCAAGUUUCUCCCUAAUCUGUGCAUGUUGAGAAUGCACAGACUCAAAAUCUUUGGAUAACCUUGAAGCUACAAAGGCAUCCCAUUGUGCUUUCUCUAUGAAUUUAUAUAUUUCAGGGGGUUGGCUUAAUCUCUCCCUGUCAUUAGUGUAUGGAAGGAUAUAUUGCCUCGUUAGUGUAGACUUGAAAUCCUUCCAUUUCUUGGCAGCAGAAGCUAACACAGAGCUCUUGCCCCCUUGACCUACCACAAAAGCAAUGUCAACUGCUUCCCAAAUCUGCUCCUUUAUAUCCUUGGAGAUUUGAGCCUAUUUCAUGUCCACAAGUGGAACUCUGGAGCGUGCCAACACACCAAUGUAGGACUGCAUCUCACUAUGUGCUUGGCCAAUUCCUUUCCCCCUUUUAUUGUACUCAACAAUUGGCCUCAGUUUCUGAAGUUUUCUCUUCACAACAUGAGGCAUUGUGCUCAUACCUCGACCAGACUUUGAAUCAUCAGAGAUUGUUGUCGUGCUGGUUCGUUCUGUCUCAGCAGAUGAUGAAGCAAACUUCAUCUUCUUCGAAGGCUUCACUUGAGGAGGUACCAUUCCAAGGUCCUUACCUCCAUUUUUCUUGGAGCCAGAAUCCUUACUUUGGUCUUAGUGAGAAACCAUUUUUACAGACAAAACUGCAAGUGAAAAUAUUUCAGGAAAAGAUUAAGAACACAAACGACAGUUAUUAAUAAAAUACGACGUAUGAUAUGAUUUUAAACGACGCAAUGAAAUAAUCUCAGACGUAAUAAAUGUUUAAAACCAAGGUAAUUAAACAACGACGAAAUAAUUAACUAUAAACGACGUGAUAAUUAACUAUAAACGACGAAAUAUUUAUAUAACGUCGUGGUAUUGAUGUUCACACGACGUCAGUCGUAAUAUACCGUCGUCUAUAUAAGGAUCCAAAACCCUUCUUUCUUUCUCUGUGAAUGUUUGAUUGCAGAUUUGAUUUUUCUGAACCAUGGUUUUUGUUUUCUAAUUUGAUAAAAUACAAGGCCAAGAAAGAAAGUUUUGGAAUCUUAUAUAGACGACGGUAUUUUAAUAUGACGUCGUGGUAUUAACAUUCACACGACGUAAAACAAUAAGAUACUGUCGUCUAUAUUAGAUACCAACCCUACUUUCUUUUUCUUUAUAUUUUAUCAAAUUAGGGAAAAACAAAAACCAUUGUUCAGAGAAAUCAAACCUGCAAUUAAACAAGCAAAUAAAAAAAAGACUAUAAUUUUAAAAACAACUUUGUCAAUUUUCAGACGACGCUAGAACGACUGACGAACCGUCGUGGUCUACAUAUUUAACCACGUACAUAAGAAGCUACCGUCGUCUUAUUUAGUUGAGGUAGUUGUCUUCAAAGUUGGAAACUUUCCCUCUUUGUCUGUAUAUUUUAUUGAACUUGGAAAGAAGUAAAAUGAUUUUGGCCAGAAAAAAGGUAAAAAGAUUUUUCAAACAAAAAACGUAUGAGCAUGCAAAACAACAACCAAAAUAGUGAAAAUGAAAGCUUACCUUUUGCGUGCAAUGAAAGCAAGAGGAAGAUUAUGUUUAAGUUCAGAGACGACGAAGAAGAAGAGAGGAAGACGAUGAGAUACUCUGACAGUGCUCUGACAAGGAAAAAAGUCUAAAAGUUUUCUCUGGGAGAUUGAACUUUUUAAUCGGGUUUGAAAACGGCGCAUGUGUAUGUCAGGUAGACGAAAAGUUGCUUACAUAUAAAACCAUUUCAAAAAAAUAAUACGGCGGUUACAUAUAACUACGACGUAUAAAUUACAAAAUACGACGGUACAUUUAACUUCGGACGUGGUAAAUAAAUACGACAGUAGUGUUGUAGGUACCGUCGUAGUAAACUCAAAAAUUAAAGUACAUAAGUAAUAACUCGCGUCAUGGUAGAUUAUUUAACACGUCGUUUUUAUUAAUUUACCGACGUGGAUUUCUGUAAUAUACGUCGAUAAUACCGACGUUGAUUUUACAAUUUAAACGGCGGUUUUUUUGUAAGGACCGCCGUUGGUUUUAAAAAUUUAUUCUAUAAAUUUGUCGCUUUCAUUCAUUUUCGGUUUACAUUUAAGGUUCCAAGUUCUUCCUCUCUCAGUCUCUCACGUCUCAAAGACAAUAAUUUGGAUGUCUUUCUCAAAGAGAAAUUGAGCUUACUCGCAUCAAAUAUAUGUCCACAAGAAGAAGCUUGUCAACUAGCCUUCUCACUUCCUUGAUCAAGCCUGAUAGGACACUUAGUGCUUCUGAAUACUCCUUGCUUUCCAUCAAAAGAGAUGCAAGCCUGGCCUCCACUCGCUGUCGAAGGAAAGUUCGCUUCUCAGGGAAAUCUUCUUGAUUUUCUUGGCUAAGAAGAUCCGUCAGAUUUGUGAUAGCCUCUUCCUUUAUCCGUAGAGCUUCAGAAGAAGAAGAUGGGUUUCAAGAAUGCGAUAAAGAAUAGAAAUGGCUUCAGAUGGCCUCUAAAGCAUGAGCAAUCGAAUCAGUAGUUGUUGGGAGAUAUGAUGAAGACAUUGUCAAUGCUUUGAACUAUACAAGUCCUGCAGAAAGAUAAAGGACCAAACUGUUAAAGAAACUGAAACAAUGGCGGUUUUCUGUUCUACCGUCGUCUUUUCUCGUCGUCUAUAUUAAGGUAAGAUGGCGGUAGAUUUAUAAUUACCGACGUAGAUUAUUUUGUUAAACGUCGUUAAGUGUACUACAACCGACGUGGAUUUUAUUUUUAAAUUAUAAAUAGAGUUUUUUUUCCCCUAUUCUUUCAGUUUUAGUUUUCAAUUACAAAGCGUGAUAAAUAGAUUUUUCUUUCCCGAGGAAAUUUAAAAUGAGGGAAAUUAAUGUUCUAGAAUUUGUAAACUAACACGACGCAAUAUUUGCAAAUCUGUGUCAUCUGUUAAGAUUAUGAUGUGGAACAGAGUUCCAUCUGGUAAGAUUUCGUAACCCUUGGGAUCUCAGACAAAUCUGAUUAUGUCGGCGGUUUUCUAUAUAAAUCGUCGUGGUUAUUUCAAUUCUUGUCAUUAAGUAGAUCUACCGACGUAGGAUAAGAAAAUCAAAGAAAAAAAUUGUUAACAAAAAUUCUUAUUAAGACGACGGUUAAAAUUAAAGGUACGACGUAUAAAAUGAAUAAAUACGACGUUAAAUUUUAUUGUACGAUUUAAAGAUAACGUCGUAGAACUAUAAGAGAAUGACGUCGAUAUAUUUAUAUUUUCCGUCGUUGUACAUUAAUUUAAUACGGCGAUAUUUUGUAUUUUAAAGCCGUGGAUUUGUUUGUAAUUAUACGGCGUCUUAUACGAAAACCUCGUCGUGUUAUUUUAUGAGUAAAAACGGCAGUUUUUAUUGAAAUCGUCGUCUUUACUUUCUACGUCGGUCGAUUCAUAACUUCUGCCGUUCUUUGUUGGCAUUGAUUUUACACUGCGAAAAUCUGUUUCAAAUAGACGUCGGUUGUUUAAUUAUGUACGUUGUUGUUUUUGAACAGCCAUUUGAAUCUCCAUUUUUUAGUUGUCUAAGGUUGUAUUACACGACGGUGUUUUUAGAACCGUCGUCUUUUUAAAAACCACGACGGUUUUCACUUAGACCGUCGUUGUUUUCUGGUCGUCUUUUUCACUUUUUGUAGUAGUGGCAUAUGAUGACGACACUCACAACAAGAUCAUGGCAUUUGACUCGAGUUGUAUGAUUCUCUCUUAAGUGUAUGUAAAGUGUAUGACAUUUACAUCAAUACGUGUAUUCUUAAUUGAAAUCUACUAUGGCAUUUACUCAAAUUAACAAUCAAGAAUCCAUUAAGAUCAAAGAGAAUAUGAGUGUCACAAAAACCCUAAAACAUGGCAUUUGUUAUUAGGAAUUCAAGAAUCGAUUUCUCAUAACUAGUUCUUAACCCAAUUAUUCGUUGCAAAUAAGAACACAUUCAAUAUGGCAAUUGACCUAUGUUCUACAACAAUUUAAUUCCAAUACAUGCUUCUAAGUUAGCUACUCAAAGAAACAAAAUAUCAGAAUUCACAUAACAUAUAGAAACCGAAAACAUCACGCUUGUAGAAACUAAAAAUCCAUUAACCUUGUUUAUAAAAUUGAAAUCAUGUUUAGGGCUUCAAGAUUAAGCCCUAACUAACAAGAAAUUAGUUACUCAUGGUCUUGGAUGAACUCAAAAAUAAAUACAUAAGAACUGAAAAUUAAAGAAGGAAGGAAAAGAAAGAACUCGUUCGCAGCUUUCUCCUCUUGCGCUGUUGAUCUCUUUAGGACGUGAAUCCUUUUUAUCAGCCUUGCCUCGUCUUUUAUAUCACUUAUAUCAGAGUUCUAAACCCUAAAAUUGACUGAAAAGUCGUCCAAGAAGUCUUGGUAAACAAGGAAUCCAAAUAGGAAAGUAAAAAUCACAAUUCCUAACUCCACUGGGAAAUACAGCUCAGCCCAAUGUUCACACGAUUUUGGGAUCUUCGACCUUGUAGAAAAAUCAUUAAAAAUAUAUUUUAGAAAGAUAAAUGUCUUAUCUUUCCAACCAUAUAUAGCACGUAACUUGAAAAAUUCGGAAAGGCUUCCGUUUCUUCACAUUCACGUAGCAUGUACGAAACUGUCCUGUCUGCACGUGGGCUAACUUUACUUGUAAUACUGUACCAAUUGGCUCGGUAGAAAAUUCUAGAAAAAUCAUAGAUUGAACUUCAAGAUGUUAGCUUUCAUCUCCAAUCAGGGGCGGCCUUGGGGAGGUGCAAGUGGCGCCACCGCACAGGGCCCCCGAAAAAAAAAAUAUUUAUAUUAUAUAUAUAUAUUAAUAUUAUAUGAAUCGUAUAUAUAAUAUAGCGUCUGGAUAUUUGCACAACAGCGUGUUCAGGGGAGUUGGAUGGAGCACAUCUCUCUUUGGCAAAAGGGCCCGAGUUCGAUGCUCCUUGAUGUCGUUCUACUGGCUAGCCUUUUGUGAUAUUAUUUUUGCAUUCAAACUUUACAUAAUUAUUGAACCAUUGGAUUAAUAUGCAACGAUGGGUGACCACAAUCUCUUGGACUCCUGUGGUCCAUGAGAUCGGGACUGAUAUUACAUGACUUAUUUUAUUAAAUUAUUAUCAUGUUGAUGAUUGGUUGUAUGAGAAUAUAGUUUGUAGAAAUAUUUAUCUAUUUCUUGUUGGGGUUUUCUUCCAGGUUAUAGGGUUUUGGAAUUUUUCUUUGUAAUCUAAACAUGCCACCUACUAGAAAAUACGUUUAUGGAUAUACAAAACGGCUUAGAAAAAGAAAAUUCGAGGAAUUGACUCAAUCUCAAAGAGGAGCUCUUGAUAGAUUCAUUGUUAGAGAAUCACAUGCUACAAUUGAUGAAAAUAUUUAAAUUUUUAUGAAUUUAAUUUCUGAUUUUCAUUGCAUAUUUAUUGAUGGUGAAUUUUAGUUAUAAAAAAAAAUUGUUUAUGACAUUAAGUUAUGGCAAAUUUUUAUAGUAUUUUCGUAUUAGAUUAUGCAAGGCCCCAAUUUAAGUUUCGCACAGGGCCCUCAAAAUCUCAGGGACGGCCCUGUCUCCAAUUGGUCUUGUGCUAAAAUUCCUCCGAAAAGUUGAUUUUCCCUUAAAAACCUUCUAAGAGUGCAGAAAAGCUGAAAAUCAGAAAAAUAAAGUAAUAAGCCAUUUUUAAAUCUAAUUCUCUUACAAAACCAAAGUAAAAAGAGUACAUAAAUGAGUAUAUUUAUGGACUUAUCAACGUCUUCUUCGUUGGACUUGGGGUUGUUUUCCUUAUAUGUCCCCUAUAUAUAUAUAUGGCCUUUAGUUGAGCCCACAAAUACCUUCAGUUAGUUUUUGGGUUUAGGGGCCUACAGAACCUGCACUAAACAAUAAAAGAAAAUACCUAAUUAGUUUAGUACGAAUUUAUAAUGAAGGCUUUAUUAGGUGAAGUUUUAUUUCUUAAUCGUUAGAUCAAAUUGGUUAGCAUCUGAAGUCGCCCAAAGAUUUGAGAGGGAUUCCACAAACAUAUAAUAUAAAGAAAGAAAGCAAUAGUAGGAGAUGAACCAGUACAAAAAACAAUAUAUAAAUAGUACAUAAUAAUUCCAUAACCUUGUCACAAACGCACUCACAAAUGCUUUCCAUAAACCUUGCCCUAACAUAUAACAAAUAAAGGCAACAUUGCAUAUGAUGCAACCAUGUCCAAAUCUGAUACGUGAUAAAAAAAAAAGGACAUGGCAGCAACAUAUGACUGAAGUAGAUGGGCUCUUUGCAUCUCGUGUUAUCGUAAUUAAAGACAUCAAAAUAUUAAGGUUGAAAUCUUCUAUAGUAGCAAGCAUUAAAAUAGGUUUGAAGCAGAGUUUAAAGAAAAUUCCAAUUCCACUGAUUUGCCUCUGCUCAAAGACGAGAACCAAAAUGGUUACUUCCCUUGCUGAGUAUAUUUGUUAACGUCGGAAACGGUAAUAGAUGACCAAUCAAACCCAAGUACGACGAGUUUUGCAUAGGAUCAGAAGUAGUUGAAUCCAGCUUGCAUCACACGCUUCUUUGACUCCAUUGCAUUAGAUGAGUUUUUGUAUUUUUGAACAGCUACACUCCGAAGUCGUUUGUGUCUACGCUUCAUGCGCUGCAACUUCGCCCUAUCCAGAUUGGCCUGCCUUUUGUCAUCUUCAAUUUGGCCUUCAACAAAUUCCAAACGUGCCCUUGCCCUUUGGAUUUCAUCACCAAGUUGAAGAUGCCUCUCCUUCCAAAAAGCAAGAACUCUUUCAGACUCAAAACUUCCAACAAAAUGGUCAUUCUAUCUAGGAAUGUGACAUUGCUUGUCUGGUGACUCACCUGCGUUUCAAAGGCGGUCUUUGUUUGGAGGGGUGUUUAUUAUGCUCACAUCAAACUUGGUUAGUAAAUCCAUUCUAUGGGGGGAGUGAGUUUCUGUGGAGGAGAGAGUUUCAGUAGAUGGAGACAGAUUCGGUGGAGGAGUGAGAUUUUUGUGGAGGGAGAAUUUCUAUGAAAUGGGUGAUAGUAAUACCAAUAAAAGGGUUCCCGCCAAAAAGUAUUUGGUUGACAAUGUAUAAAUUAAUUUUUGGUCUGAUACAAUCUAAGUUUAAUCCUAACUAGUUUGGUUAGUUUGGUUGAAUUCACUAACUAGAUGUCACUUCCAUUGAGUUUCUUUCAACCACUAUCAGUGGUGUAAGGAGAGUGUGAGGUUGACAUGCUUGAAAAGCAAAACCUAACACCUCUUUUUUUUAAAAUUGAAAGAAAGUACAUAUGUUGACUACACACAAGCUUUGGUAUGUUGGUCUAUAAAGCUAUGUUCCCUUUCUCAAACGAAAUUGCAUAUGCAAUCCUCGUCCUCCCAAAACAAAUAGAAUUAUUCAAGCAUGUCAACCUCUUCAGGCGCCAACAACACAAUCAAAGAUGACAAAUUGGAGUCGCAGGUUCUAUUUCCACAUUGUACUCGCCGACCCCUUCCAUUUUCAACAUCAUUUGGGAGUGAGGGGGACUCCGAUGAUCCAUUAGAGCUAAUACAUGCAGUCAAUAGCAAGCUGGAUUAUAAUUCCAGACUGAUCAAUUCAUGGCGCGAGAAAUAUGUUGAAGACGAAGCCAUUUUGGCUGAUCUUAACAUUAGAGUGAACAAAGCGUUCUCCCAAAAGAACAAGUACUUGAAGCUGAGUCAUAAAAGGAAGCUGAAAGCUGAGGAGUUAGAUACAGUAAUGAAUGAUGAAAUUAAAGGUUGUUUGAUGAAUCAUAUGCGAUGCGAAGAGCACCACAGUGAACUGGAGUUGGCAUUCAACGAAGGAUUCGAAAAAUUACGAGCAUUUGCAGCAACUACUCAUACAAGUUAUAAUUGGGACUAUGUGUCCCCUGAUGUUGUGAGAGAGAUACUAGACGAUGGUGGUGACAUGAAUGAGCAUAAGCACGUCAAAGCUGCUUGGAAGAAGCCGACCGAUACGACUAAGUGAUUGCGGCUACAGUUGUUCAGUUGGUUGAGAGUGAUCGUGGUAUUGCACAAAUUAGAAGUAUAUUCCCAUAAUGUCAUUAUCUAAUUUAAAAUAACACAAAUAUCAGUUUCAUUUGCUUCAUAUUGUAACACCCCGACCCCAAAUUUCCCCAAAAUUUACCCUCAUUUAAUUAAUUAAUUAUUUAAGGGUAUUUUAGUCAUAUUUUUAACCGGAGAGAGUUUGGGACCAUGACUUGUAUUUUUGGAUAGGUCGUACUGAGACGAGUUCAUAGACACGUAGUGGGCUCGAAUCAGAGUUGUAACGAGAGAGAUAUGGUCAAAAGAAACCCAGUGGCACAAUCGUAAAUAUUUCAAAAUGGGAUUUUUAUAAAAAUCUGGUUUUUCUCUCUCUCUCUCUCUCUCUCUCUCUCUCUCCCGCGACUUCUCUCUCUCUCCCGUCGGCUCUCUCUCUUUCUCUCCUUGUAUCUCCGGCCACCGACCACGGCUGUGGGCGGGGCCGGUACCAAACUGACCGGGACGACGUCCCCUUCCUUCCCCGACCAUUCCCCGCCGGCAACGCGGCCGUUGCUGGCCGGAAAAUGCAGAAAACCGCCGGGAGGUCGUCGAAACUUCAACGCCGUCGAUCUCCCUCCUCCGGCCACCAUUUUCGUCGACCCAGGUAUGGAUCUUGAACCUCUCGAGCUGUUCUAGCUGUUUGUUGGUUGGGUUUUGAUCGAUUCGAUCUCUAGAUCACUCGAUUUUCGAAUUGAAAAUUGGCCGAAACUUCGGCCGCCGUGAUCGGCCAUUUUCGGCCACUUUUUGUGGUAGGUCCAAGAACAAAAGUGGCUCCAAAUAGGGUGUUAUACCUAGGGUAGAAGUUUGGAGCCGAGAUGUUGAGAUUUUCCGGCGAAGCGUUAUCGCUUUGGGCACCCACGCGUGCGGC
This 135267-nucleotide long non-coding RNA is filed under the name Prunus persica (peach). Its description in RNAcentral is "long non-coding RNA (PPER_LNC001496)". Lineage: Eukaryota; Viridiplantae; Streptophyta; Magnoliopsida; Rosales; Rosaceae. The record is from RNAcentral.